UAUUUUUGGUCCAAGACUCGGGGUACGUUUUGGAUAACAUUUGGGUCAGUACCUGUGGCCCUUUUUUAAUACGAAGCCCACGAAGGGUGGCGAAGUCUGGCAACACGCGAAUUGGAGUUGUGCAAGGAUUCUGAUACCUCGCGGGAUUCGAUGUCCUCGCGGGAUCCUUUGUUCCAGUUCGUGUAGGAUUCUACAGUGCAUGGCGAGGUAGAAUUGGAAAUGGAUUGUAGUACUCCGCGGGAUAGGAUCGUUUAGUGUUUGAGUUCGCGUACGACGCUACAGUGAGAUGAUGCGGGGCGGUAAGCAAGACCUAGGCGAGGUUUGUUCUGGACACGUGUUGCAUGAAUCGCGCGGCUCGCGAGCUGGUCGUAUCCUUGUGGGAUUCUAAUUGCUGAGUCCGAAUGGAUUGUGAUUAGGUCUAUGCGAAUUGCUAUAUAAGGGAACUUGACACAAAUCAAAGACACACAAUCAAUCAUACAAAACAACUGCAAAUCUUCAAGCAUCCUCGAAACCCUAAGUUCUAAGUGCACCUCGUCUUAGAUCUCAGAGCCCGUCUGGACUCGCCUCUCCUUCCUAAUUGUUGCUCUGCUCGCUUCGAACAGUGAGUAUCGAUUCACAGGUGACUAGAUAGUUUGCUCGUAAUUCCUCGCCCGCGAGGUGACACCGGAGCUCUACUUCGCCUGAUUAGAAGUCAAGAACGCGCACCGUUCUCGUUCCGCGUCCGCGCGGUGGCACGCCCUGCAAACCCUAAUUUACUUUUGGUAGCACAAGUUACCUCUCUACCCCUGCUGAGGAUCGUGGCCAAAACAUUUGGCACGCCCAGUGGGACCGGGAGUAUAACAUUCUCGUCAUCAUUGGGAAGUCAGGCAGAUCCCCAUACGGGAGACCCUCGAUUUCUUGUUUGAAACACAAAUCACCGCGUUACCAGCCUCAUAACAGCGCGGCCUGUCGCUCACUCACGAAAGACCAAGUAUUAACUCGGUUCGGAAACCCAGAUUUUAGCGAACCUACGAUGGCAGAACUAACACCUACUAGCAGCACUGGCCCCGUCACUCUAGCUGAAGACCAGAUAACGGCCCUGGUCGACCGCCUAACGGCUCACACCGACCAGGCAACCCGCCAAUUGCAGGAGGGUCUUGACUCCCUCACCCUGACUGUUAAGAAUCUAUCUGAAGUAGUCAUGAAGGAUAGAGAUAUCUGGCUUGCUAACCAAGAAAACCUUUCUAGGCUCAGCGAGGACUUUAACUUCCAUGCCGGUCAAGUCAGGGAGGACAAAGAUUUGGUGGAAGGUUCCCUUCAAAGGAUCCAAAAAGAACUGGAUCAGAGCAAGGUGACUUUCACAGAAACCAUGCAGCUUACCCGCGCAAUCGUGGAUGAGCAAACCCGUCGCUUGGACGAGCAUGAUACCAAGCUACAAUUGCAGCAGGACGCUUCCUUCUUUGGAAGUAAGAAUGACAUAGAAAAGCUCGAGAAAUAUAAGGAGCAACAUGAUAACUUGAGCUUAAGGGUCCUGCAAGUGGAAGACUGGAUGCGGUCUCAGGCACCAAAGAAUCAUGCUAUGAACUUAAUUAGUUCAAGUGCAACUGAGGGAUCAAGGUAUAUUCCACCUAAUGAACGCCCUAGGGGGAAUCCGAAGAUCGGGGCCCAGAAGACUCCCCAAUUCACAUUGGGAGCCAGUUCGUCAAAAACACCACCCCUUCUACCCACGACAGGCAACCCUAGAGUCGCACUUGGGGGCGCCGGUGUCUUCCCAUCCCAAGGGAUCGGGACACCAGAUGACUCAGUUAUAGCUUAUUCCAGUUCGACCCCUAAAAACAUCGGGCAGGCCCCUAGCCUCUCUGCAUGGCACAGCCACGAUCAGGGGGCAAAAUACACACCAGUAACGGCAGCCGAUUGGCGCCAGCUCAUCUCGAGCAUAGUCAAGGAGCAAACCGGAAAAGGUGAUGCUAGCUUGCAUUAUCGUGAUCCCUAUCCUGAUAGCGUGGCACAAUAUCCCUUCCCUCAUGGGUUUAAGAAUAUUGUCUUCACCACUUUCUCCGGGGAGACAAGGGAAGAUGCAGCAACACACAUGGCCCUUUUUAAGGUCCAAUGCGGCCAAUACGGGAAUGAUGAUAUGCUCAAACUCAAACUCUUCGGGACUUCUCUGUCCGGGGCUGCUUUCACCUGGUACUCCAGAUUGAAGCCUGAGUCAAUAGCAGAUUGGCCCACUAUGAAAAGACUCUUCCGAGAAACAUACGGCACGAUUGAGCCUGAAGUUGGCCUCGACUCCCUCACACAGAUGAGCCAGCAGAGCAUGGAGUCCAGAGUUUCUUUCCUCCAACGCUUCAAGAUCCAGCAAGCCAAGUGUGAUUACCUGCUACCUGAGCAGGAAGCCAUUAAGUUGGCUAUUAGAGGUCUGGAGCACCGCCAGCGGUUGAAGCACCAUGGAGAGCGCUUUAAUUUCCAUGGGUGACCUGAUUAACAAAGUCGGCAGCUACGAGCUAAUCCUGAACGAGUUGGACGACAAAACAAAUGGUUCCAAAGGAACUUACAUACCAGGGAAAAACCGGAUAGUGGGGGCACUAAACAUACAAACCCCUACUCAUGAUCUAUAUUAUCAAAGACCUGAGGGAGUUCAUACGAAUCAGGACCUAGAUGACAUUGGCGCAGUAGAAUUGACUGGCAAGCCAUUAGCUCAUAAGUUGAAAAACCUGAAGAUGACACGUGAGCCAAUCACCAUCCAGUCCUUUGCAUGGACCAAACCGGAGUACGAGUCAUACACCUAUGAUGCUAAGAACGCCCAUCUGGUCUUUAAUGACCUAAUCAAGGCAAGAUACGUGCGCUUGGAUCACAAGAUACCGCCCAAGGAGGAGCUGAAAGACAAGAAGUACUGCGCCUUCCACAAUGUUUACAAUCAUGACACUAAAGAUUGUGUCAAGCUUCGAGACCAGCUGCAGACAUGGCUGAACUCAGGCGAACUAAAGAUGAAAACACCGGGUAGUACGGCCUCGUUGGUUGAUAUAGACCCUUUCCCGCCUGUAGUUGGCAUGGUCGAGGUAAACUGGGCCAAUCAGACCAAGGACGACGAUCGACGCCGGGCACCUAAAAGGGGUCGCGAGGAAGGUGACGACAGUGCCCGCCGGCCACGUCGCCAAUACACCUACAACGAAGAUCUUGCACAUGAGGUUUUAAACGAUCUCAUCGACGAUGGGCUUGUCACAGUGGCCAAUUCCUUGCCUUACGUAGAAUAUAAGGAGGGGCGCAAUCACUGCAAGUUUCAUAAUAGUUGGGGGCACAGAACCAGCGAAUGCCAGCAGCUUAGAGACCAGGUUCAAGACUGGCUCGACCUCGGGUAUAUUCGCUUUGAGAAUAAGGGCGACUUCAUGAUCGCAACGGCUGACUUCGCUUGGCCUCGAGUUACCCAGCGAAGAAUCACAUUAGACUUGUCACCAAAUGCAGGUUUACGUGAACCGUCGGGCCGAAAUCGCAAACGGCCGGCGAAUAACUAUACUGUCCCGAAUAACCAGCAGGGGAAAGCAGACGACCCAGCUCGACAGUUGGUCGCUAAGCUCGAAACAGACCGCUCCUCCCGCAAAGAUAAGGGCAAAGCAAUCAUGAGGGACGAUGGACCGUUCCCCGUUGAAGAUCCCCAGCCUAUGAGUCCCAGGACUCGAGAAGAGCUGGAAAGGAGGAUAGAGCGUCUCGAGACGUUCGUCUAUACACGUUGGGCAGAGGCGGUACCUUCAUCCCCUGCCACAAGUGAGAUGGACAUGUCAGACUCCAGCGGUGAGCGUCACAACAACGAGGCCUCGAGCCUUCGUAAAGGUGUCCUAACCGACCCCUAUAUUCCCCCGACGUCCAAAUCAGCAAUCAAGGAUGGAGUCUGGUACACACAGCAAGAGGGCAAGGCAGUUACCAUCAGCAGGGCUAAGAAGCGAAAUCUCCAAAAGCGAUACGGUAGUAUCCUAUGUGCCUUACGGGCUGUCGAAGAGGGCGCUGUACGCCCCUCACAGCUCGCACAGACGCAUGAGCGGAUGUGGAGGGAAGCAGAGGGUUUGCGCGCAUUCCUUCAAAUGCUGCCAGUCACACCCCCAAGGAUUUGCGAGCAGUUCAGCGAUGAGCCUGCACCCAAAGCAAACGUCUUUUGCCGACUCGCGGUUCCACCAAAGCAGGAUCCACAGCCUUCCAGGCGCAGGCCAUCACCAGAACCUGAAAGAAGAAGGGAUCCACAGCCUGCUAGGCCCAAACCGUCACCAGAGCCUGAAAAGAGGAGGGAUCAACAGCCUUCCAGGCACAGGCCGCCACCGGAGCCCGAGCGGAGAAAGACUCCGCCUACCGGUCCCAGGCGUAAGCUGUUCACAACCUCGGACCUAGAGUCCAAACGCGAACCGUCUCAGCCCUCACGGCAACGAGAACGUCAAAAUCCGGAGGCCAAUAUCAGAAGGGAGCCACCACCACCACACCAGCCUCGGGCACGAUCUACCCCGGAGCCCGAGACUCGGAUAGUUCCCCGAGUAUCCGCCCUACAACGGUUGAAAAAAGAAGACAACGAUAAGGCACGGUUGAAAAAAGAAGACAACGAUAAGGCUCCUCUGGCAACAGACAAACAACCAGCCAAGGACCAUCAGCCUUCAACCAAGUCAGUAUGGCGUCCGUGGCAACCCGAGGCUCAAGAGCCACCAAUAGCCGCACAGGCGCUUUCCAGUCCUAACCUCGCCCAACAAAUGGCCCAGCGUUUCCGCGAGAAUUCAGAAGACGAUGAGGCACAUUCAGAACCUCGACUUAACCUAGAGGAAGACCGGGACGAAGGGCAGGCAGAAUCAUUCACCUGUAAUAUGAUAGAGAUCUCAGGAUGGGGUGCUGAUGAAGGGUUUAGCAGCGAAGCAGACGCUUUCGCGGUGCUCGAAGAGGAACACGGGAUCAUUGACACUCCCUUGGUCCCAGUUCCUGAACAAUCCUCCUUUCAAGUAGGGAUGGUGUUCUUCAUUUCGGAAAGAUACGCUCUCCCACCAAACACAACCUGCAGUGCGGCGGAUAUUCCCGUCAGCAGCGAGGAUGUCAGUAGCAUACCCCCGGCAUGCAGCAGCGAAAUGGGCCCAGUUCCGGCACAAGCCGACGAUGCCUCACAGGUGGAAAUUACGAGCAGCAUCAAACAUAAGCAAACUCUAACCUUCUCCACACCAACUUUGGACAUGGCCACUCACAUGCGGCCACUGUAUAUCACGGCCGAAGUCGAAGGAAAAAUGAUCAACAAGGUCAUGGUCGACACCGGUGCCGCGGUCAAUGUUGUCACAACCCGUACCAUGGGACUCCUAGACAUCCUGCGCUCGAUGAUCCAAACCACGUCCUUAACAGUCAAGAACUUCACCGGGCAAGUGUCCAGAACCCUAGGCUUGCUAUUCCUACGGGUCAAGGUCGGGCCGGCAUCACGGGUUUACACCUUUUUCGUCGCUGAAUGCGCUUCCUCUUACAGCAUGAUUCUUGGCCGAGAUUGGAUCCACAGAAGUUUUUGCGUGCCUUCCUCCAUACACCAAGAACUCAUGUUUUGGGACGCCGAGAACCGUGAAGUGGUCAUCAUCAAAGCCGACCCGCGGCCAUUCUCUAUCUCCGCCAACUUCAACGAUGCCUGAUAUUAUACUACAGACUUGGGUCCGUUGGAUGUUCAAGGCGUCGAUAACAAGGGCCACCCAUAUGGAAUAACGGCCUCUAAUCUAACGCGAUGGGGACUUACCCAGGCGAAGGACGAUUUGCAACGUCCUCACACCAUCGCGAGUUCCACACCCCAUUCUGAUGAAUAGUGCCUUCUCAGAGGAGGCACACGAGGCUGGCGAGUCCUUGUUGUGCGAAAGACUCCUUUCGUACUGGGCAGAACGCGAAGCCUACGACAAGGUCGCGACUAUGGAAUAUGUAGAUGAAGUGGUGGAUUAUUCCGAUACCAAGGAGGAAGUUAUUCAUUUAGCUCCCGCCGCCUUGGACGACACACCACCUCAAGUCCGCGACCCCAUUUCACAAGUUGACGUAGGGACUGCAGAAAAGCCCUUACUUAUUUCUAUCAGUGCUAAGUUGGCGGAAGACGAAAAUGAAGCCCUUCUUGCCCUGUUAUGUGAGUACAGGGAUUGCUUCGCCGACAAAUACGAAGAUAUGCCCGGCUUGUCCCCGGACUUGGUCUGCCACCGGUUACCAACUUAUCCCGACCGACGUCCAGUACAGCAGGACGGCCGGUUCAUGCGAACUGAGACUCAGAUCGUAGUCAAGGAAGAGAUCGAAAGCAUGCAUCGAUCGGGCAUCAUUCGCGUGGCAAAGUAUAACGAGUGGCUGUCCAAUGUUGUCCUCGUUCGCAAGAAAAAUGGCAAGAUGCGCGUUUGUGUUGAUUACCGCGACCUAAACAACGCAACACCGAAGGAUAUAUACCCCAUGCUUGUGGCUGACCUACUCAUUGAUGCCGCCGCGGGGCACGAGGUGUUAUCCUUUAUGGACGGAACGGCCGGAUACCAUCAGAUUCCCGUCGCUGAGGAAGAUCGACACAAGACCGCUUUCCGCUGCCCUGGUUUUGCCGGCGCGUUCGAAUAUGUUGUCAUGCCUUUCGGACCUAAAAACGCAGGGGCAACGUACCAGCGCGCCAUGAACCUCAUCUUUCAUGACAUCUUGGGGAAGUUGAUCGAAGUAUACAUCGACGAUGUGGUAGUCAAAACCAAAACACGGGCAACCCACGUUGAAGACCUGCGGCAGGUGUUUACACGGAUGCGCCGACAUAACCUGAAGAUGAACCCCCGCAAGUGUGUUUUCUCGCGGAGGCCGGCGAUUUUCCCUCUUGGUUUUCCUAGUGCAUCAAAGNGGCAUCGAAAUCCCAAAGGCAAGGCACAGGCGNNNNNNNNNNNNNNNNNNNNNNNNNNNNNNNNNNNNNNNNNNNNNNNNNNNNNNNNNNNNNNNNNNNNNNNNNNNNNNNNNNNNNNNNNNNNNNNNNNNNNNNNNNNNNNNNNNNNNNNNNNNNNNNNNNNNNNNNNNNNNNNNNNNNNNNNNNNNNNNNNNNNNNNNNNNNNNNNNNNNNNNNNNNNNNNNNNNNNNNNNNNNNNNNNNNNNNNNNNNNNNNNNNNNNNNNNNNNNNNNNNNNNNNNNNNNNNNNNNNNNNNNNNNNNNNNNNNNNNNNNNNNNNNNNNNNNNNNNNNNNNNNNNNNNNNNNNNNNNNNNNNNNNNNNNNNNNNNNNNNNNNNNNNNNNNNNNNNNNNNNNNNNNNNNNNNNNNNNNNNNNNNNNNNNNNNNNNNNNNNNNNNNNNNNNNNNNNNNNNNNNNNNNNNNNNNNNNNNNNNNNNNNNNNNNNNNNNNNNNNNNNNNNNNNNNNNNNNNNNNNNNNNNGAAGUUGCGGCCUUGGACCCUAUCGACGAGGAUUGGCGGCUACCAUUUAUCGCCUACCUCCAGAACCCCAACGACUCCGCUCACUCCAGGCAAAUACGUUUCCUCGCCUUAAACUUUGUUUUACGCAAUGGCGAACUCCGGCGGCGUGGGGAAGACGGAAACGAUUUCCGCUGCGUGUAUGGGAACGAAGCUAAACGUAUCAUGCGCGAAGUCCAUUGUGGGGUUUGAGGUUCGCACCAGGCCGGGCCCAAAAUGCGAUGGUUGAUCCGUCGCCAUGGGUACUACUGGCCAACCAUUCUGAAAGACUGUAUUGCCUUCGCCAAAGGUUGCCAAGACUGCCAGGCUCACGGACCAGUGCAACAUAUUCCCAACAUCUCGUUGCAGCCUAUCAUUAAACCUUGGCCGGGUCGCGGUUGGGCGAUAGAUUUCGUUGGCAUUAUUCAUCCCCAUUCUUUUGAGCAGCAUAAGUUCAUUAUCGUCGCCAUCGAUUUCUUUACCAAGUGGGUCAAGGCCGAACCACUCAAGGUUGCCUCCGCCAACUCGGUUCACAACUUUAUUUUCCGCAAUAUCAUCUCCCGCUUUGGUAUCCCGGAGUGCAUCGUUACGGACAGGGGGGCAGCUUUCAUGGCUGAUUCAGUUGUUAAGUACUUAAACGACUACGGAAUCAAGCUUCUCCACUCUACGCGAUAUUAUGCACAGUCCAACGGCCAGGCGGAGGCUAGUAAUAAGGUCAUCCUUGGCAUCCUCCGCAAGAUGUUGGAGUUGAACCCGCGUGUCUGGCAUGAGGAACUCUACCACACCUUGUGGGCCUACCGCACUUCAAAGCGCGGCCCGACGGAUACCACCCCGUACGCUCUCAUGUACGGUCAUGAUGCCGUCCUUCCCCUUGAGAUCAAUAUCGCUUCACUCCGCGUUCAGGAACAGCAUCAACUACUUGGCGAGGAUUACGUCCAAGCCAUGUGGCAGGAGCUUGAAGAUCUUGAUGAGCACCGCGUCACCGCUUUCAACAAUCUCGUCCUCGAGAAACAACGCAUCGCACGUUCGUAUGAUAAGGUCACGCGCGAACGGAGCUAUGCUGAGGGCCAGAAAGUGUGGCGCGCGGUACUCCCAAUUGGGGAAAAAACCGACGGUCGGGGCAAGUGGUCCGCUCGAUGGGAAGGCCCUUUUAUUAUUCAUCGUAUACUCCCCAAGGGGGCAUACCACCUGCGCGACUUGGACGGCACCAUUCAUCGCAAUCCUAUUAAUGGCCGCUUCCUCAAGCGCCACAUUGCAGGAGUUUGGGAACGCGAGGAUCCUCCACCUCCCCCAGACCCCGUCACCACAGUCAAUAGUGAUACGCGCCAUCGCGUUCUCGCUCCGCCGCCUAGCACUAGGGGGCAAUCCGGGAUAGAAGACUGAUAGAGUACGUUGUAACAUACCAGCCUAAAAAGGCCAGUAUAAGAUUGGGGCCUAUUCCAGAGGCCCUAAAAAAAAAGAUAACUCUAUUUUUCUUCAUUUUCUGUAAACGUGNNNNNNNNNNNNNNNNNNNNNNNNNNNNNNNNNNNNNNNNNNNNNNNNNNNNNNNNNNNNNNNNNNNNNNNNNNNNNNNNNNNNNNNNNNNNNNNNNNNNNNNNNNNNNNNNNNNNNNNNNNNNNNNNNNNNNNNNNNNNNNNNNNNNNNNNNNNNNNNNNNNNNNNNNNNNNNNNNNNNNNNNNNNNNNNNNNNNNNNNNNNNNNNNNNNNNNNNNNNNNNNNNNNNNNNNNNNNNNNNNNNNNNNNNNNNNNNNNNNNNNNNNNNNNNNNNNNNNNNNNNNNNNNNNNNNNNNNNNNNNNNNNNNNNNNNNNNNNNNNNNNNNNNNNNNNNNNNNNNNNNNNNNNNNNNNNNNNNNNNNNNNNNNNNNNNNNNNNNNNNNNNNNNNNNNNNNNNNNNNNNNNNNNNNNNNNNNNNNNNNNNNNNNNNNNNNNNNNNNNNNNNNNNNNNNNNNNNNNNNNAAUACAAGUUUCGAACAUCAGCUUUGCGGCCGAAGCAACUACAUUGACAGAAAUGGUGAAAUUAGACUAUGUUUACAUUUAGAAGCAUAGAUCUGCAGAUAUUGGAAGCCUCAACCCGUAUAUCUUGCAGGGUUGAAGAAGAGACUGCCGCCGCAUCCUUCAUUUAAAGUUGGCAAGCGCCCCGCUUUCAUAAACCAGCACGAGCUUUGACACCGGCCCGGACCUAAGACAAAUUGUUGGUAAGCUAGAGGUCCACUGGAACAGCAUCCCUCAUGCUACCGGUCAUGCCUGGAAGGUGCUUGAAUGGCACUGACCAGAACCUGAAGCGCAAGCGGAUGCGGAGCCCCGAGAACCUCACGUUUGGACAGAACAGCCGGUGCAAGGCAGAAGGUACCCGACCAUUAGCUUGUCCAAACAAAGGCUUGACCUGAGAGUAGAUUUUCAAAAUCACUCCCGGCCUGAGAGUAGAUUUUCAGAAUCAGAAAGAACGAAGAGUGAAAAUGUGAGGAGGGGGUUUUGCUUUAAGCAGGGAUAAGAGGAUGUACAGAAGGGUAUAAGAGCCCAUGGCAAGGGGGCAAAGACUUAACUGGUACUUCGCCCCGGCCAAGCGUUUCUUUUUAUAGGCGGAAAGAGUGUUUUUCCUUUCAACAGAUGUCCUCCAUACAGCGAUUUGCUCCGAGAUAUGAGCUUUGGAGAUAAGGUUGAACGCGUUGUUCCAUAAUGACUUCCCGCGUUCCAAGCGAGUAGUUGCAUUGGAAACCCCCACCAAAUCUUGGAAGAAGAUUUUUUCCUGGGAAGGCAGUUCUUACACAAGAGUUCACAAGAGCGGGAAAUGUUCGAUUUAAUAAUAAUAUUAUUAUAAAAGUUCAUACAAAGGGGGCAAAGCGCUGAUCGGGCCUAAACCCGCCUAGAAGCCCUAUACAAAUCUAUGAGAAGGCCUUCUAAGGCCAACUCUUCGACGUCUGCCUGGGCUUGGGCUUCGUCGGCAGCAGCAGCAGCCGAGUCCAAAGCUUCCUGGGUCUCUUCCGCGGCCUGCACAUGGGUUUCUGCCUCUUCAGCUCGGGCCAAGUUUUGGCGAGCUUGAGCAAGCUGAGCUUGCAGCUCCGCUAUCUGAACCUCCAGGGCCUCCACUUGCCGAGCAUAGACAGUGCAUGGGUUCUCUGACGAUGCCUCAGGGAUUUCAGCGUCAUCAAGCUCGGCUAAAAGGGCUGCCAUCUGAUCGUCUAAGGCUUGGCGGACUUUCUCGUGAGCAGCCGACUGGGCACCGACAUCUUGAACUCGGCGAGCCUGCAGCUCGACAGCGUCGGUGAGUUCCAACACAUGGUCUAGAGCAGGGUUGCUCCCAGCGAGGUGCCGAAUCAGAGCUUCAUGGGCCUCGCGGGCGCGCCUCACCAAGUCGAAUACGUUCAUGUGGGGACCUUGGCGCAGUAACCCGUGAAAGAAAGCCCGGGCCAGGCGAAUAGGCUCUGGAUCGGCAGGCGGGGUAAUCCGGGCCCGAAGACGAGCGGUCCGGGUAGCCAAAGAAGAAGCCGCCUCGUCAGAUGUUCUCGUUGGGGCCGGAGUGGUUGGUUCAACCUCUGCAACUGCCUCAAUCUCUGGAACGGGCGGUGGGACCUCAAACCAAGUAGGGACUGUCGGUUCUUCGGUGGUCUGGGCCGCUGAGUCUGGUUGCAAAGGAGAGGGCUCAAGCACCGGUUGAAGGUCCUUUGGCGGAACCGCCGAGGGGCAGCAAAAUCAGAAAGCCGGGUGGUCUGGCCGAGAUCUUCAUCUUGAGCAGGAGCCAAGGUAGGCUCUGGAGGCGGGCCAGUUUCGCCUAGAGCGUCGGUUGGAGAAGGGUCGCACGGUGACUUCCUCUGUAACCAUGGUUUGAUCCUCGACGAUUGGUUCCGGGAUUGGGACUUCAACUAUCGUUGUUGCUCCUUCAAUGACAGAGAGGCGAGGUCGGAUGCGGCGGCGAACCUGUCAAAUACAAAGUUAGCAAAUCGUUUGUUGGCUUUAAUGAGUUUGGUUCGAAGAAAGGUCGCUUACCAAAGCGUGCUCUUACCGAUAUCGUUCAUCCUCUAGCAGUUCUUCUUCGUCCUCGAUAGGGCGCUUCCGCGAGCCUUCGCCGCUUGUUGGCCGGGGAAUAGCGGGAGCAGUCUCACCGUCAUGGUCCGCCGCGGGCUCCUCUUGAGCAGGUGCUUUCCCUUUGUCUCCGGCACCCUCAGGUCUUCUGACCGAUCUCCGGCGGGGUGCAGACUGUAAAGGUAGACAGGAGAGUUAGGAGGAAGCAUUUUGUUGAAGUGGUAAAGGCGGUAUGGAAUUUACAUAGUUGGUGGCUUACCUCGGGUGCGGGAUCGCGUUCUCGAAUGACGAUCCCGGUCGAGUGAUGAGUAGCGGGAACCGGUGGGAGCGCAGGCCUAGACCAUGUCGCAGCCUUUGAACCGCUCUCUUCACGUUUGCGCUGGACAUCAAGGAUGACGCGGUCUGACUCGCCCAGAGUGUCGUAUAGAGGAUAAAAGAUGGCAGCAAAGACAGCAUCAUCUGGGAACCCCCAAUGGUUGUCGGACAAGGAUCGCCACCAAGAGAGAUAGGCGGGGUCAACGCCCAGUGAAGGCUCAAUCUCGAGCAAGUCAGGAGUGAGAGGGAAAAUGUUCUGCAGCGGGGUGACCCGGUCGGACUUGCCAAUCUUCCUCCAGGAGGUGUACUUGUUCACCGAAUGGAAGAGUGGAUAGGGGAUCCCUUGAAAGAAGCCAAGUUGUUUGGCGAAGUGGUUGGGGGCAUACAGCUCGAAGCCUUGUUCAUCCUCGGCGAGUUGAAGGUCGCAGCAUGAGGAUGCUCUCAUGAAGACGGUCUUGGCGUCUGAGUCCGAAUCAGAGCGCGGGAAGAAGCCCGUCGAUAAGACUUCAGGGUGGCGCCGGCGAACCAUCAUGUCUAUGGUGGGAGGCGGUUCGAGUUGGUUGUACAGGAUAGAGAGGCUGGCGAAGAAGGAUAGGGGAGUCCGGUUCGCAGCGUUCCUGCACACCGCAAAGCCAAGCAAUUGGUCCUUGGGCAGGAAUUCCAGCGGGGCUCGCCGGAAGAGCAGGAAGUACAGCUGCGUCCAUAAGUCCAGGAUCCACAGAGGGCCAACAGAGAGAUGGUAAGGUCUUAGGGACAGCAUGUGCAGGGUCCGGUAGAGCGCGCCCAGUACGGGCUGCCCUAGCCCUACUUCGAUCCCAUUGUAGAGUGCCUCGGCCAGCUUGGUCCAUUUCCCUGUAGGCUUGUGAGCACUGCCACAGAAUAUGAAUUUAUCAAGCCAGUACUCAAGGAAAGCGAUACCUCCUUCGUGUUGUUCUGCAUGGCCGAUGUAGAACUUCCUCCAUACUCCAUACGAGCCUUUCAGGGCGCGGCGGGCCCCCUGGUUGCAGGAGUGCGUAAACUCGGUCGAUGCAAAGUCAUCUGGCGCAUAUGGCUUUGCAUGAAUCGGCAGCCCGGUGAUGGCGAGGAUGUCCAGUAGAGAAAUGCCCAUUUGCCCGAAAGGAAAAUCGAAAGUGUUGGUGGCACUGUUCCAUAAGCAGGCCGCGGCAGCAAUGGGUGCUCGAUCAGCAUGAGGAGGCAGUGAGAAGCUCAAGGCAAUGGCUUCAUUGAUGCCGGUUGCUUCCCAGAUCGCUUGGUCGGUCUGGAGGCGAGCCGUGUACCAUGCCCGGUCCUCCGCGGUGACGCUGGGCCAUUCCCCGACCCGUAUAUUUGUAUGAGAGCGGGCUUGGUGGAACCAGGAGGCGAAGUUUCCCGGUUCGCGACGCUGGGUAAGGAUUGGUCGGCGCACGGAGGCGGUAUAGUGGUUUAGAUCAACGGCGGACGGAGGUUGUGAAGGAGUCGGACCGAGCAGGGCUGCCCCUGUUUCAAGGAAAUAGAUGGGUGUUCCUUGAGGAGGGUUGUUGGCAAAACGGCGAGCAAGGCCGGUCGACCAAGAGCUCGCCGCCGUGAGGUUAAGGUUUGGAUCGUUAGCGGUUGGUUUGGGAGCCAUUGUUUCUGGGCGGAGUGAGUCCAGUUGUGAAGUUCUGUUGGUUGCAGAAGAAAGGGAAAAGCUUGGUUGGAAAGCGAUGGUGAGAUGUGGGGACCCGCAUCGAGGUUUAUAAAGGAGACGGACCGUAACGUCUUUUCAAUUAGUAGCCGUAAUGAGGAGAUGCGAUGACGACCGAAACGUCAGCACGUUUCAAAUUUCAAACAGUCGCAAUGAUGAAAAGAAGCGAUGAUGCCGAAACGUCAGCACCUUUUGAAUUGCGAAUUCCCGUAAAUGGCUCAUUUAGGCCUUUUCGCUUAACCGUUGCGAAGUGGAUUAAGCUCAAGGCCUAGGGGGCAAUGUUUGAGCCCAGUGGGUAUUUUUGGUCCAAGACUCGGGGUACGUUUUGGAUAACAUUUGGGCCAGUACCUGUGGCCCUUUUUUAAUACGAAGCCCACGAAGGGUGGCGAAGUCUGGCAACACGCGAAUUGGAAUUGUGCAAGGAUUCUGAUACCGCGCUGGAUUCGAUGUCCUCGCGGGAUCCUUUGUUCCAGUUCGUGUAGGAUUCUACAGUGCAUGGCGAGGUAGAGUUGGAAAUGGACUGUAGUACUCCGCGGGAUAGGAUCGCUUAGUGUUUGAGUUCGCGUACGACGCUACAGUGAGAUGAUGCGGGGCGGUAAGCAAGACCUAGGCGAGGUUUGUUCUGGACACGUGUUGCAUGGAUCGCGCGGCUCGCGAGCUGGUCAUAUCCUUGUGGGAUUCUAAUUGCUGAGUCCGAAUGGAUUGUGAUUAGGUCUAUGCGAAUUGCUAUAUAAGGGAACUUGACACAAAUCAAAGACACACAAUCAAUCAUACAAAACAACUGCAAAUCUUCGAGCAUCCUCGAAACCCUAAGUUCUAAGUGCACCUCGCCUUAGAUCUCAGAGCCCGUCUGGACUCGCCUCUCCUUCCUAAUUGUUGCUCUGCUCGCUUCGAACAGUGAGUAUCGAUUCACAGGUGACUAGAUAGUUUGCUCGUAAUUCCUCGCCCGCGAGGUGACACCGGAGCUCUACUUCGCCUGAUUAGAAGUCAAGAACGCGCACCGUUCUCGUUCCGCGUCCGCGCGGUGGCACGCCCUGNNNNNNNNNNNNNNNNNNNNAUGGUAUCAGAGCCCAUGGUCGCGAUUUUGUGGCCUUGUGGCUUCUGUGAUUAGCUUAGCUUCCGCGUUUUGAUUCCAGUUUUUCAGUUUUCAGUUUCCCCAACUUCAAUUACCCUAGCUUUGCGUUUUUCCCAAACCCGUUCAUCAACGAUCCCAAACUCAAAAUCUUCGUCUUUGGCGCUAUAAUCUUCUCUUCCGGCGUGAGAUUGUCGAUACCCAGCCUUCUCUAAGACCUCUGGGCUUCGAUGUUCGUUCUCCGCGUCGUCACCUGCGCGGCUCGCCUCGUAUGGCUCUGUUCUUUGUUUGCGGGUUUUCUCCUUCAGAUCCUCGAGUAUGACGUCAGGGGAGGACUGUAUCAGUGUGAUGCAGCGAAUCUGUUCUCUGAGACUUGGUAAUCUUCGAGCCCUUUAUUUUGUCACUAUGUCUUUGCGCUGCAAUUCUUGUUGCUGAGAGUAUCUAGUAGACUAGUUGUUCAAUCUAUUUGCUCUGAAGGUGAAUGGGAGACGAAGAUGUGUAUAUUUUGAUAAAUCUGGUUGGGAAGAUGAGUAUUUUUAAGGUUGAAUAUUCCUGGGCUUAUUGUUCUGAUGGUGAUUAGAGAUGGUUAGGUCUUAUGACUGGAUUUUGUGUGCUUCUUUCUCUGCUGUGCGCUUCUAUGUGCUAAGUGGUUGGUGACAUUAAGUUGAUAGCUGCUGUUGUUUAGUGUUCUACCACAAUAUGUUUGAGAUACUGACCCUGCAACAAAACGUAUGUUUGGAAGUAGUAGUAAUGUAUGUGGAAUUGUAGUAUGGAGGUAGUAGCCUCUGUAUGAUCGUAGAGUUGUGGUAAUCACAACUAGCGGUAGUAGCCUCUGUAUGAUCGUAGAGUUGUGGUAAUCACAACUAGAGGUAGUAGCCUCUGUAGAACAAAGUGGUGCAGAAAAUAUUGUAGUGAGUCAAGGUUUCAAUUGAGAUGUGGAGGGAAACAUUAUUUUUUGCAGCAGCUUAUAUGUUUGGGGUAUGAACGCAUGGGAUUUGAUUACAGCAAGUUAAUAUUGGUAGAGAUAUGCAGUAUGUAGCAGUGUUCAGUCCUUGCAGUUAGUUUUUUCAGAUUCUUCAUUGGAUUGUUUGUUGCCUUGCUUCCAUGGAUUUUGUCUUCUCAGCUCUGUGUUGCCUCAAUGCUCUGCUGCAACCUACAAUCUUGUCAACUGACUGUGGAUGAUGUUCUCAUACUGCUAAGUGGCUGUUGGGUUUUGAUUUUUGGGAUGAUAAUCUUGUAAAUUGUUCUACAUCAUGUAUUGUGCUUCUUGGUCCAACCAAGCAUAUGGUUGCGGGGGGAUAGUUGAGUCAUUUACUAUUAUCCCUACCUAUAUAAAGCUAUGAGUUGUGUACACUGUUCAUCAAUUGAGAAAUACAAGAUGUAGACGUUUACUCUCUCCUGUGUUUUCUUUACUUUUCUGCUUAGCAUUUUCAAUUCAAUAAUUCCAUGAAUCCUAUCAAGAGAAGCUCACAACAUUCAACCAUAAUCCCUAUCCAUCUCUUCUAUCUCAAAUCACCACCAGAUUUAGAAGCCCAGAGUAUUUACAUAUAAUAUCAAUCAACACUGUCAUCUCCCCUACUUCUACAACCAACCACAUCCAAGCGAUAAACACACAGGAGAGAGGGGGAUAGAGCACGAUGACGACGAAGCGAGAUAGAUGACGAUGACUUCCAAGAGAAAUUAUGCUUCGAUUCGAAACUGAGAAGAAGAAGACUCAUCGGGCUUCGUCGAUCUGAGGACAACACGGCAUCAACUAAGAAAAUCAGUCACAGGAGAGAACAAGGACGUCGACAAGGCUCGCACGCCGACUAUGCGUCAAUAAUCAUUGACUGAAUCGACUGGGUGUGAGGGAAAUUGGAUUUUGGGGUUAGGGUUCUGAAAUUGGGGUUAAAUCAAAUCGAGAACGAAGGAAACUGAUAACAGCGGAAGCUAAGAUAGACAUACAGAAGCCACAAGGCCAAAGAUCAUGACCAUGGGCUCUGAUACCAUGAUAACAUUCAUGGAUUUAUUCAACGGAAGAAGAAAAGGAAGAAGACGACUGAAAGUAAGAAACGCUGAGAAUAUAAACGACUAUAUCGUGAAUUUUCAAUACAUCACAACACUACAAUAAUCCCUAGAUAUAGAACUAAUCUAAUACUGAAAUGACAGGAAUACCCUUGAAAUAUAUAUCUGUAUAUUUCUAACAUUUCUUUGAUGUUUCCAUCUAUGGUGUUGGCCUCUUAAUGCUUCCAUUCCCUUCACCUAAACGAAUGUGGCGGUUUCGAUUGAUCCUGGUAUGUCAACGAAUAUAUAUAUUUCCACUACUUUCUUAUCUACUUGUUUGUUCAUAACUGGCUGCUAAAGUGCUAAUACAAAUCUUUCUGACCUUUCAGAGUGCAUCAGGCAUCAUAUUCCCCAUUAUAAAGGGGGAAGGAGUUAGACAGAUGUUCUUUCCUGCCACAUUAUCAGCAUAUUACAGAAAUCCUCCUGUUCAUUGAAGAAAUGGAAACUUGGAUCGAUAUGACUGUAUACAGUGAAGAACAAUUUUCAAAUACAUGGAAGUAAUCGAAGAACUAGAGCAUGGACUCCAGCUUAAGGCAGACAUGGUACAAUAUUCAUAAGCCCGGCCUCGUAAGACCGAUGGCUUCAACCAUCUCUAUAACCUGAACUACAACCCAGAUAUAUGAACGUCUAGUUAGAAUGCAUGACCGGAAUCAUUUUUGAAUGCCAUCACAGCUCAACAAUCCAAUCUAUGGUGUGCCUUGGCUUUGAAGUAACAUCAAAAUAUACAGUGAAAUGUUCAAACUUAUUCCUGGAUUAUUUGUCAGAGUUCUUAUGUAUCCACAAAGAAGGUUUGUCCAGCAUAAAGACAGAAUAUAUAAAUAUACAAUAUGUGAAUGCAUGUGUGAGUAAAUCAUGAAGACUUCCAUAUCCAACAUAAAACAACUAUUUAUUCUACCAACUGAUCAUGUGCAACUACAUCUUGAAAGAUAGAAUCUUUAGACAAAACAACAGAGCUGAUGCCUAUUGGCAAUAUCAAAAUUUACCAGAAAGCAAAUACAGUAUCACACUAGCCACUCUUACUCCUCUCAGAUCUAAAGUUGCAGUCUUAGAAAUGGAAGAAGGUGAACCGUCUAUUCUUUAAAUCCUAUUCUUUAAAUCAAAAAAGGAGAGUCGAUUUAUACCAACAUUCUGUUAAAGAAAAAUAUUUAUAUAUAUACACAGAUACGUGAUAUGCUAUUGUUAUUCAAUAUUUAUGUCGAAAUGUAACGAGAGUCGUCAAAUUAGCUCCUCAUCCAAAGGCCAACCCAACCAAAACUUAUUCGUACAAUUUAUGAUCAUCCAAACUUAACACUGUUUCCAUGCAUAUAGUUGAGGUCGAUUUGUAUACAUAAAAUCAUAUGCAUAAAAACUUAACAGACAGGAAAGAGGAAUUUGGAAAACGUUGCUACUUGGCUUGAAUGCUUGGAAAUGGAAAGCGCACGUAUGCGCAAGCUUUGUUUGACAAAAUCUAGUCUCAAAUGGAGAGCUAGCUCUGCAACCGAGUGCAUGCAGCAACACCGUUUGACUGAAAUUCUUUUUAUAUUUCCAAAUUUUUAACUAUACAAUGUGAGAAACUUGAUUUUUACUAUAUUAAUUUAUGAGAUUAUUAUCACUAGUUUUUCAGUAGGAGAUCCAUUGUUCGACAAAUAUUAUUGUUUAUGUAAUUUAUAUAUUCUAAUACAAUAAUGAGUUUUCAAAGACGACCAAAAGUAAAAAUUAUACUUGUUAUUAUCGAGACUCUACAUAUACGUAAAAGAACUUUAUAUGUUAGUAACGAGUCAAAAUUUAUUUUCUACGAAGAAACAAGACAAUCAUUGUAUAAGUCUUAAUUGUUACGGUGCCUAAAACAAAUCCUUAAUGUCAUAUCGGACAAUCUCAUUCUAAGAAUCAUUCAAAUAACUUAGAAAGUGAAGUUAAAUUUGGUAAUUGGUGAGCUACACUAUAAGCCCUUAAGAUAAGCCCUAGUGAUGCUUAGAGAGAGGUUGAUAAUUUGUUUAAAAUUGGCUAGAUCAGAAGUUCGAUUUCAUUGGAGUAAAGAAAACAUGUCGAAAAAAAAAAACAUGUCGAUAAUAACUCCCGCCUAAUAUAACAACCACGAAAAUUCAUCUCGUCACACAAUUAUAUACGUUGAGCAUAUAUAAAUAAGUGACAUUAUAGUUGAGGAUAUAUAAAUAAUAAGUAUACAUUUUUUUUGUUACAAUAAUAAGUAGAGACUCUUUUGUUGUAUAAUAGCAAGUGACAGUUUCUGAUCACCAACUCAAAUUGUUUUCCCAAGAAGGAAGCCAUGUUUUACCAAGAAAACAAAACUUUGACUCUCCCAAUAUCAGAAAGUGACACAAGGUUGAGUCCUUGGUUGGCUCUGUCUUGCACUUUGAACCCUAUUUUCGUCCAUCCCAAUCUUCCAUACGCUCCCCCACACCCUACCCCAACCCUCCAAAUCGGUUAAAUAACAGUGGCGGGCGCCUUCCAUUUUAACCCCCGAAAGCCAGAACACAAGUCUCUAACUCUAUAUAAACAACACCUUUCCUAGCUGUCUCUAACCAUAAGUCCCUUCCCCACUUCACACAUCCCCACACGUAAAACCAAAACCAACCCAAAUCACAAGUACACCCCACAAGAACAAGAAGAAGCAAACCAGAGCUUCUCCAUUGUUGUUGUUCAAACUUAACCAAGAUGGUGUCGUACGAGUAUGUUCUGGGUGGAGUUCUGGCUUCUCUGCUGGCCUCUGUUUUCAUCAUGAUUAUUAAUAGCGCUAGAAAGGUGGAGGGGGUGGAAAAGAGUAGUAAUGGGUUUGUGAGGAUGCCGGAAAACGAUGAGGAGAAAGGUACCGACGUCGUCAUUGUCGGCGCCGGAGUUGCCGGUGCGGCUCUUGCGUACACUCUUGCCAAGGUCAGAUUUUGUUACGAUUUUUUUAGUGUGGUAAGAUUGAGUCUUUUGAAUGAUGGGAUUGGGUUGGUUGUUACUUGUUAGUAAAAUAUGAAGUGGUCAUUGUUGGUUUGAUUUUUGAUUAGUUAUUUUACCAACUACUACCCAGCUAAACAAGUCAAAACUUGAAGCCGUCUUCUUCUGACUCUGGUUUGUGUUAGUUUAUUGUUUUCCGAUUUCAACUUAUUGUUUUGGUGAAUAAGCGAAUGAGUCUUGUUUGCUUGGGUUAUAUGGGUUGUUUCAUUUUAUUUUUUCCUUUAGGAUUUGUUGCAGUUGGUACUGAUUUGAAUGGAGUAAUGCAGAUCCAAAGUGUUUUUGAUAUUGCUAAAUUUAGUAUGGGAAUGGUUUGUGAUGAGGUUUUGGGGAACAUGUGAAUUGAUUGCAUGAACAUUAGCACUUAAAGCUGAAACCUUUAGAGUUUAGAUCUUCCUGUAAAUGCUGAGCUUUGAGCAAGCUCCAUUAUUUGGGCUUUUGGGUUAAGCAAAUGUUUGCAUCUUGUUACAGGAAGGACGUCGUGUACAUGUCAUCGAAAGAGACUUGAGUGAGCCGGACAGAAUUGUUGGUGAGCUUUUGCAGCCUGGGGGUUAUCUUAAGUUGAUUGAGUUGGGUCUUGAGGGUGAGCAAUUUCCUAUCUCAUUUAGAGCCUCUUUGUUAAAUUAAAUUAGUUUGUGAUAGUUUACACUCUUACUGAAUGGUUAGUAACCAAUAAUAUCAAUUAUGGCUUCAGACUGUGCAAAUGAAUCCAUUGAUGCUCAGAAGGUGUUUGGUUAUGCUCUCUACAAAGAUGGGAAGGAUACAAAACUUUCUUAUCCCUUGGAAAAGUACAGUUCGGAUAUAGCUGGGAGAAGUUUCCACAAUGGCCGUUUCAUCCAAAGAAUGCGUGAAAAGGCAGCAACACUUUCAAAGUAAUCAUCAUUUCCCUCAAGUUUAUUAUUCCUUUUCGUGUGUGAUUUCUUGUAAGUUUGAUGUUAAAUGUAUCGACUUCUUACUCAUGUCCGUGGAAUAUCUUUACAGUGUGAAAUUGGAACAAGGGACGGUGACAACACUAAUUGAAGAAAAGGGCACUAUCAAAGGAGUGAUUUACAAGAACAAAUCUGGAGAGGAGUUCAGAACAUAUGCUCCACUAACAAUCGUGUGCGAUGGCUGCUUUUCAAAUCUGCGCAAAAAUCUCAGUGCUCCAAAGGUAAUGAAGUGUCCCGAACCUGGGGAUAUCAAGCCUUUGUUAAAUAUUUGUAUUCAAAUUUAGCACAGGCAUGCUUGCUCUUUCAUGAGACCAACAGGGUUAUUUGUUGUUACUGCAGGUUGAAAGUCCCUCUUGUUUUGUUGGUUUGGUAUUGGAGAACUGUGACCUUCCACAUGCAAAUCAUGGUCAUGUGAUUUUGGGAGACCCUUCACCUGUCCUGUUUUAUCCCAUCAGUAGCACAGAGAUUCGUUGUUUGGUUGAUAUACCUGGAACAAAAGUUCCUUCUGUAGCUAAUGGUGAAAUGGCCAAGUAUUUGAAAACCGUGGUGGCUCCUCAGGUAUAUUAUCAAUAAUUUGCUUGACUUGAUUAGAGAUUAGUUGUUUAGCUUUCACAUGAUACAUGUGCCUACCUGAAACUGAACUGAACUGAUAUUGGGGCUACUUUGUAUUUCAGAUUCCUCCUCAGCUCUACAAUUCUUUUAUAGCUGCAAUUGACAAGGGAAACAUCAGGUCCAUGCAAAACAAAAGCAUGGCUGCAAAUCCGCUUCCCACUCCUGGUGCACUUUUGUUGGGGGAUUCAUUCAACAUGAGGCAUCCCUUAACCGGAGGAGGGAUGACUGUGGCUCUUUCAGACAUCGUUCUUCUUCGUGAUCUUCUUAGACCCCUACAUGAUCUCAAUGAUGCAUCUGCAUUGUCCCAUUACCUCGAAUCAUUCUACACAUUGCGCAAGGUAAAGCCUUCACUAAAUUACCUUAUAACUGAAAGCAUUUAUGUUCCAACAAUAUUCACCCGAUGUGGCAUUGUGUUGUUUCUGCUUUGCUGAUAUUGUGCUUGGUGUUCAUUGCAGCCUGUGUCAUCUACCAUAAACACAUUGGCAGGUGCCUUGUACAAGGUGUUUUGUGCUUCGCCUGAUCCAGCAAGACAGGAAAUGCGUGAAGCAUGUUUCGGUUAUUUGAGCCUUGGAGGUAUCUGUUCGUAUGGACCAGUUUCUCUUCUGUCUGGUCUUAACCCUCGUCCACUGCACCUGUUUCUCCAUUUUUUUGCUGUUGCUGUCUAUGGUGUCGGGCGCUUGAUGCUUCCAUUCCCUUCUCCUCAACGCACAUGGCUUGGGAUUAGACUGAUCCUGGUAAGUUUAACUGAAUACACUUACUUUCUCUACAUGUUUGUCAUUUACAAUAUCCUUGCACAUAACUGGCUGCUUAUACAAAUCUUUCUGGUUUCGAUUUUCAGAGUGCAUCAGGGAUCAUAUUUCCCAUCAUAAAGGGUGAAGGAGUUAGACAGAUGUUCUUUCCUACAACAAUACCAGCAUAUUACAGAGCUCCUCCUGUUCAUUGAAGACAUCAAUACAACCAUAUUCUUGGAGAAAAAUUUGGUACUUGGAUCUUUCUUUUAUUGUAAAACCAAUCUGUAUCAAAUCAACUGCAUUAGUUCCUCCCACAAAUAAAUAUCAUGAUGGGAGUUCAAUGCUCAAAUUAGGAGAGCAAGAAAACUAUGUUCUUAAUUCUUUUAGGAUUUGUUCUUCUGCAGUGGAGAAAACAAGCAAGGUUUUCUCAUGAAAGUUGUAACUGUAUGAAACUAUAGUAGUUGGUAAAUAAUAACAUAAAUUUUGGGUCCCUAUCUUACCCUCUUUCAAGUUUCAAACUACACGUUCUCUUUGGCUUUUCACACACGAAUAUGCACAAAGUCAGCUAUUGCUGGCUUUCCCAUAUUCUAAAUUUCCAACAACCAUGGUUUUUGUCUCCACUGUCUUUUUCUUUUCGUGUUUUAUUUGCAUGAGAUAUCUCUAUUUCUGACGUGAAAGCACAUUAUUUAAAGGGACCAUGUUAAUUUGGAUGGCUGAAAUAAUAGUACUCAGUUCAUAUUCUUCUUUGUCCUGUUGUGAUUUUCUUCUUCUACAUGAUUUGUAUACUCAUUCAUGUGCUGCAUAAGGGUCACAAUAAUGCAGAAUAUCAACUAUGGUGUGCUGUUUCAUUCAUGAAUUGAAUGAUAUCAAGUACAUGGUGAUAUGUGACAUUUACUGUGUAUACUGAUCGAGGGAUGAUGGGGAAUUGGGUUGGUAUUAGGCUUGCUUUAGUUUACCCAAUAUAUAUAUACACAGGGCCUUCCACUAAAGGAUUCCUUUUUUUGACAUAUAUGAGGGAUGGGGGAUUACACCAACUUUUCGAUCACAAAAUCAUAUCUUCACCGUUCAAUAUGUAGUUCUAUAUGAGUAGAUCAUUUCUACAAAUUUUCAGAAAUUUUGGUAAUCGUUAAGACAUUCAAAAUUACGAUUUAUAAUUAUAAGCAUAAACGGUUCAUGUUUGGCAGAUUUAGUUCGUUCAUUGAUUUAAUCUUGUUUGACACCUUAACGAUCACCAAAUUGGCUGAAAAUUUGCAUAAUUGAUCUAUAUAUAAGAACCAACAAACUGAACGGUGGAGAUUCAAAAAUAUAAUCGAAAAGUUGGUGUAAUCCCCCAUCCCUUAUAUNNNNNNNNNNNNNNNNNNNNNNNNNNNNNNNNNNNNNNNNNNNNNNNNNNNNNNNNNNNNNNNNNNNNNNNNNNNNNNNNNNNNNNNNNNNNNNNNNNNNNNNNNNNNNNNNNNNNNNNNNNNNNNNNNNNNNNNNNNNNNNNNNNNNNNNNNNNNNNNNNNNNNNNNNNNNNNNNNNNNNNNNNNNNNNNNNNNNNNNNNNNNNNNNNNNNNNNNNNNNNNNNNNNNNNNNNNNNNNNNNNNNNNNNNNNNNNNNNNNNNNNNNNNNNNNNNNNNNNNNNNNNNNNNNNNNNNNNNNNNNNNNNNNNNNNNNNNNNNNNNNNNNNNNNNNNNNNNNNNNNNNNNNNNNNNNNNNNNNNNNNNNNNNNNNNNNNNNNNNNNNNNNNNNNNNNNNNNNNNNNNNNNNNNNNNNNNNNNNNNNNNNNNNNNNNNNNNNNNNNNNNNNNNNNNNNNNNNNNNNNNNNNNNNNNNNNNNNNNNNNNNNNNNNNNNNNNNNNNNNNNNNNNNNNNNNNNNNNNNNNNNNNNNNNNNNNNNNNNNNNNNNNNNNNNNNNNNNNNNNNNNNNNNNNNNNNNNNNNNNNNNNNNNNNNNNNNNNNNNNNNNNNNNNNNNNNNNNNNNNNNNNNNNNNNNNNNNNNNNNNNNNNNNNNNNNNNNNNNNNNNNNNNNNNNNNNNNNNNNNNNNNNNNNNNNNNNNNNNNNNNNNNNNNNNUGGAGGCGCGCCAUCGUCGGCGCCGGAGGGUGGAGAAUGACGGACGUUCGCACUUUAAGCCGAGUGCGGACGUCCGCUUCUGAUCCUUUAUAUAUAUAUACAGUCCGUCUCUGCUACGGACGUCCGCACCGUUUUACGGUGUGGAUUUUCGUCCGUUCGCCACCGUACGGUGCCGCGCGAGGGCACGCCUCCACCCCAGCCGACUCUAGCAGCUUUCCCGACCACUUUCCAUCCCCGGUGAGUCCGCCGAAUUCCAGUUUUCCGGCCAGAUCACCCAAAACUUGAAACUUUGGUGCUAUGGCCGGANNNNNNNNNNNNNNNNNNNNNNNNNNNNNNNNNNNNNNNNNNNNNNNNNNNNNNNNNNNNNNNNNNNNNNNNNNNNNNNNNNNNNNNNNNNNNNNNNNNNNNNNNNNNNNNNNNNNNNNNNNNNNNNNNNNNNNNNNNNNNNNNNNNNNNNNNNNNNNNNNNNNNNNNNNNNNNNNNNNNNNNNNNNNNNNNNNNNNNNNNNNNNNNNNNNNNNNNNNNNNNNNNNNNNNNNNNNNNNNNNNNNNNNNNNNNNNNNNNNNNNNNNNNNNNNNNNNNNNNNNNNNNNNNNNNNNNNNNNNNNNNNNNNNNNNNNNNNNNNNNNNNNNNNNNNNNNNNNNNNNNNNNNNNNNNNNNNNNNNNNNNNNNNNNNNNNNNNNNNNNNNNNNNNNNNNNNNNNNNNNNNNNNNNNNNNNNNNNNNNNNNNNNNNNNNNNNNNNNNNNNNNNNNNNNNNNNNNNNNNNNNNNNNNNNNNNNNNNNNNNNNNNNNNNNNNNNNNNNNNNNNNNNNNNNNNNNNNNNNNNNNNNNNNNNNNNNNNNNNNNNNNNNNNNNNNNNNNNNNNNNNNNNNNNNNNNNNNNNNNNNNNNNNNNNNNNNNNNNNNNNNNNNNNNNNNNNNNNNNNNNNNNNNNNNNNNNNNNNNNNNNNNNNNNNNNNNNNNNNNNNNNNNNNNNNNNNNNNNNNNNNNNNNNNNNNNNNNNNNNNNNNNNNNNNNNNNNNNNNNNNNNNNNNNNNNNNNNNNNNNNNNNNNNNNNNNNNNNNNNNNNNNNNNNNNNNNNNNNNNNNNNNNNNNNNNNNNNNNNNNNNNNNNNNNNNNNNNNNNNNNNNNNNNNNNNNNNNNNNNNNNNNNNNNNNNNNNNNNNNNNNNNNNNNNNNNNNNNNNNNNNNNNNNNNNNNNNNNNNNNNNNNNNNNNNNNNNNNNNNNNNNNNNNNNNNNNNNNNNNNNNNNNNNNNNNNNNNNNNNNNNNNNNNNNNNNNNNNNNNNNNNNNNNNNNNNNNNNNNNNNNNNNNNNNNNNNNNNNNNNNNNNNNNNNNNNNNNNNNNNNNNNNNNNNNNNNNNNNNNNNNNNNNNNNNNNNNNNNNNNNNNNNNNNNNNNNNNNNNNNNNNNNNNNNNNNNNNNNNNNNNNNNNNNNNNNNNNNNNNNNNNNNNNNNNNNNNNNNNNNNNNNNNNNNNNNNNNNNNNNNNNNNNNNNNNNNNNNNNNNNNNNNNNNNNNNNNNNNNNNNNNNNNNNNNNNNNNNNNNNNNNNNNNNNNNNNNNNNNNNNNNNNNNNNNNNNNNNNNNNNNNNNNNNNNNNNNNNNNNNNNNNNNNNNNNNNNNNNNNNNNNNNNNNNNNNNNNNNNNNNNNNNNNNNNNNNNNNNNNNNNNNNNNNNNNNNNNNNNNNNNNNNNNNNNNNNNNNNNNNNNNNNNNNNNNNNNNNNNNNNNNNNNNNNNNNNNNNNNNNNNNNNNNNNNNNNNNNNNNNNNNNNNNNNNNNNNNNNNNNNNNNNNNNNNNNNNNNNNNNNNNNNNNNNNNNNNNNNNNNNNNNNNNNNNNNNNNNNNNNNNNNNNNNNNNNUAUAUAUAUAUAUAUAUAUAUAUAUAUAUAUUAUCUCCUAACACUUGACAUUCAAUCACUUUACAUUUCAAGCUUCUGAGUUUUGCAUCCCAUAAUCACAUUCACUCACUGAAAGAGAUGCAGAAGUUUAUCCUUUAGUUGUGUAAAUAUGAGUAUUCUAGGCUUUAGAGCUCUAAGUACAAUUUACCCAGAACAUAGAACUAAAUAUACUGCAAGUAACCAUGAUGUCCUUAAUGAGUAUCAGCAUCUAUAUAACAUCAAUAUCCUCUUGUUGGAUGAUUGCAUUUGGGGCAGAGAAUAUCCUAUACCUAAAGUCUUGUACCUGAUAAUAGUGGUUAAUUAAAAGUUGCUGUCCUGCUUACUUCAAUCUUGUUUCUUCAAAAAUAUUUGAAACUGACAAGAGGUUAGGUAGUUCAGUGAUCAGUUAGGUCAAGAAGAUAAGUCUACAUCUUAAAGCAAGAGAUUCCUCUUCAUGCUUAAUAUGUCUAACAGGCCCUAUAAGUUCAUACUAGUGAACCCUUCUUUAGUGCAACAUCAGCUAAAGCUUUUGGAAUAGUAGUUCUUAUAUGUAUCAGCGCUUUGAUGGUACUAAUUUCGUGUUUGAUACUGCUAAUCCAAAUCUCGACUCUACUUCCUUGUCGAGUUGCAGAUUGUUUGAAUGAAACACGAACGCACAUAGCUCAUUAAGAUUCAUUGCAGCAAGACAUGAAUAAUAUUACUGGAAAUGCUUUUCUACAAAUAUGGUGACUUGGUGAGGUCUGCGAGUUGUGUGUACUGUGUAGUUGAAAAAAUAGUGUAUUAAUAUGAGUAAAUAUACCAGUAAUAUGCAGGUGCACACAUAAAAAUAUUAAAAUUUAAAAAAGGAUUGUCACCCUGACUUGACCCAGCAGCCACCUGCGUGACAGAUUAUUGUAGAAGACUGCAGACAUAAUAUCAGUAUUUGCUGUAAUUUGUUUACAUGAUUAGAGAAAUGUGUUUUCUUCUGUCUAACCUUUUAAUGUUUUAAAUUUAUUUAUCACUACUAGCUGUGAUCACCCCCUGUUUGGCACCCAUGGUUUCAAAAACUAAAGAAAAUUAGUUUUUGACCUUGCAUCUCUGGAAAUUUUGAUAAUCUGUACUAGAUAUAUGUUACCCGCUACUUCCUACAUAUCACCAACCCCAUCUCUGACCAAAAUCCAGUCUAACUUGGACAGCCUUCAAGUGCUACUCAAUCACUUACCAUGAACAUCAUCUUUGGAAGUUAAAUCAUUAUGCCUACUGAUGAGUGAUGACAAAUUUCUUUGUGGUUUUAUUCAAAUUCUACUCAAUCACUUAUCAUGAACAUCAUCUUUUGGCAGUUAAAUCAUUAUACUAAUGAAUGAUGACAAAUUUCUUUGUGGUGUUAUUGAGAGUUAAUCAGUAACAAGUGAAGAAGACUAAUGGUAAUUUUUAAAGGUGUCCCAUUUUUAGUAUGUUAGAUUAUCACAUUGUAUCGAUAUUGUCUUUAACUUAACUACUCAUGCCUAAUAUAUCCAGCUCGGUUUGGCGGUAUAUAUUGUGACACCAGACUUUUGCUAGCACAAAUAUUUUAAUGGAGAAUCCUAAUUGCCAACCUUUCUUUGUGUAUUCUGGUAUACAAACCUUUUCUAAAUGGUGGGCGCAUGAUCACAUAAACCCCAAUUGCCCCAAAAAGCAGUUUUGAAAGUUGGCUGAGUCUAUAUAAAGGCGCCAAGUUUAGUUUGAGGCACAAACUCAAACACUUGCAGUAGUGCCUUGCAGUAGUGCCUCAGAGAACUAAAAUGGAUUACCUUUAUAUAACAGGAGCAGUCAUAGCUUCAUUGUUAAGUGUUGUUUUCUUGUAUACUUUGCCAGGGAAGAGGAAGAAUGCCAUAGCUUCAGUGAAGACUCAAAAUGGGAAACUUUUGAAGAGCUACGGAAAUGGAAUGUGUCUGCCGGCAGAAAUAGGUACAAGUCCUGACAUUGUCAUCGUUGGUGCUGGAGUUGUUGGUUCGGCACUCGCUUAUACUCUUGGGAAGGUGACAUUCUCUAACUCAUGCCCUAAGCUCUCUAACUCUAAGCCUCUUUCUAUGCUUAUCUGAUAUAAAAGUAAUAAAACCUUAUAAGGUUUAAACUUUACGUUAUAAUUAAUUUCUACAGAGGACAUUACAUUAAGGAAUGAUGAGAUGUUGGAUCUGUUUGUGGUUUUCAAGAUUUACUCAAUUGUGGUACAUUUGGAAACUUUCUGCUAGCCAGUUUAGCAUAAAUGGUUGUUAGCUUAUACAUGUAGCAACUAUAUAUCAUACUGUUACAAUAUCUUGAAUAUUUAUUAUGACUGGGUUCCUUCCCUUGGGUUUGGCUGUGUUCUGACAGUAUGUGCAUUUGCAGGAUGGGCGCCGAGUGCAUGUGAUUGAAAGAGACUUGACUGAACCUGAUAGAAUUGUUGGUGAACUCCUGCAACCUGGAGGAUAUCUUAGUUUGAUUGAGUUGGGCCUUGAAGGUAAGUAAGGACACUUGUUGAUACGGAAAUAAUAAACAAUAGUUCUUAUAGGGAUGUAUGAUUUCCAAAGAUUCUUCAUGAUUUUGUACAUGCCUAAUUUAGUUGAGCUUUCUUCUCUCUUAGAGUAGUCUUAGACAGUAUAUGCUAAUUGCUCAUCUGUUUGUUUUGCUGAAUUAGAUUGUGUGAAUGAGAUUGAUGCUCAGAGAGUUUUUGGCUAUGCACUUUACAAGGACGGGAAAAGUACCAAGCUGCCAUAUCCUUUGGAAGAUUUCCAUCCAGAUGUGGCUGGGAGAAGUUUUCACCAUGGCCGUUUCAUUCAAAAGAUGCGUGAAAAGGCCGCAUCUUUUCCCAAGUAUGCUCCAUUUGCUUUAAAUGUUUCCGAACUGUUGUGCUGUCACUAGGCUGGCUCUCUGUUGUGUGAUUGAAUGUUGUAUAAUUCUGCUUCAGUCUUUUGAACCUUUUCUUUCAAGUAUUGAAUAUUAUGACACAACUAUUUGAAAAAGAAAAUCUUUUGAGAAACUAAUGUCUAUCAAAAUAUGUCUGUUAUGGAGGAUUUGCAAUCUUGCAUGUUCUAUUGGGACUCCCAAUUUGGGAGACUUAUUACUGUCCUAACUUGAAGUUUUGAUAUCAGUGUAAGAUUGGAGCAAGGCACAGUGACUUCUCUGCUUGAAGAAAAGGGUACUGUCAAAGGGGUCCAAUACAAAUCCAAAGGCAGUGAUCAAGAGCUCACUGCACAUGCUCCCCUCACGAUAGUCUGUGAUGGUUGCUAUUCAAACUUGCGACGCUCUCUCUGUAAUGCGAAGGUGAAGUUAACAUGUUAACCAUGUGAAAAAACAAGAGCAUGAAGUUAUAAUUGGUUUAGCUAAUACUUGGAAGGUUUGAAUAGGAAAUAUUCAUGGUCAUUAUUAUUUCUGCAGGUUGAUAUUCCUUCAUGUUUCGUUGGUUUAGUUCUUGAGAAUUGCCAGCUUCCAUACGCAAAUCAUGGGCAUGUGAUCUUAGCAGAUCCUUCACCCAUAUUGUUUUAUCCUAUCAGCAGCACCGAGAUUCGCUGCCUGGUUGAUGUACCAGGCCAGAAAGUACCUUCAAUUUCCGCUGGUGAUAUGGCUCACUACUUGAAAACAAAAGUGGCACCCCAAGUACGUAUAGUUUCAUAGUUUGCUUCACAUACGUUGAUUGUUUUGCUUUCUACUUCUCUUAUCUAAUUCUUUGGACUAAUGAGUUGUUCAGGUUCCACUUGAACUGCAUGCUGCUUUCUUGGCUGCCAUUGAUAAAGGAAACAUAAAGUCAAUGCCAAACAGAAGCAUGCCUGCUGCUCCUCAUCCCACCCCUGGUGCCUUUCUAAUGGGUGAUGCAGUCAAUAUGCGCCAUCCUUUAACCGGAGGAGGCAUGACUGUGGCUCUAGCUGACAUUGUGGUUGUAAGGGAUCUUCUAAACCCUCUGAACAAUCUGAAUGAUGCAUCAGCCCUUUGCAAGUACCUUGGAUCGUUCUAUACUCUACGUAAGGUAAGCAGCCUAUCCAUAUUUGAUAAUUUUAGCACAGACUAUAUUGGUAAGUUUUUAAAAACCUGCUAAUGAAGCCAAAGUCUUAAUUUCAGCUCAAACUUGGUAGUAAUUUUAUAUAAGAGACUGCUUGGUUUUUCUGCAGCCUGUGUCUUCUACCAUAAACACAUUGGCAGGCGCUCUAUACAAGGUAUUCUGUGCAUCUCCUGAUCCAGCAAGGAAAGAAAUGCGGGAAGCAUGCUUCGACUACUUGAGCCUUGGUGGCAUCUUUUCCAAUGGACCUCUGGCUCUUCUCUCCGGUCUAAAUCCUCACCCAUUGAGCUUGAUUCUCCACUUCUUUUCUGUGGCUAUCUACGCUGUUGGCCGGCUGUUACUUCCAUUCCCUUCACCCAAACGCAUGUGGAUUGGAACUAGAUUGAUUAUGGUGUGCAUCUGUCCCUUUAUGAAUUUUUGGGGAAUUGGGGUUGUCACACAUUCCACUAGGAAGACUUUAAACAUAUAUUGAUUUUCUUUCUUUCUGCAGGGCGCAUCGGGUAUCAUUUUCCCAAUAAUCAGCGCUGAAGGAGUAAGACAAAUGUUCUUCCCUGUAAUGGUUCCAUCCUAUCACAGAGCUCCUCCAGUUCAUUUAAAUGAUGUUGAUGAUAAACAAGAAAAAGCAAUUUAUGGCAUGGAGCAACUUUCAACAUUAUGAGAUAAGCUAGUUCUAAUACAGAUUCUUCGAUGUAACCAUUUUCUGGGUUAGUCCAGAAAACCAUUGUAUGAAAAAGAUGAAAUUGAUCGAAUGAAAUACUUACAUUGUGACAUUAAAAGCUAGCACAUAUGUUAUUUUUGGAGAGAAAUGAAUAUUUCAUUAAUCAAGGGGCGAACCCAAAUUACAAACCUGCAAAUGCAAGGCCGAUAAACUAAUAACAAAAAGCAUAAGUCUCCAACUCGAUCAAUAAAGAAAGAGUGAAAGGACACCACCAGCUCACUAAACUAUGGACCGAAAAGCCUACAUCCGAAAUCAUAAAUACAACAAUACUAACAAAGCUACCACACACACCACCCAUGCACGCUAACAUUGUUGUUGCCAUCGCCGCCAGCAACUGUGAGUAAGUGAGAAGUGCUAAAUCGGAGCAUUGUUGCCCGAGUACCUGAUAUCUACCAAAUCUCAAUGCACAAAUCAUAUGGAAACCCACAAACAAAAGAAAAAACUUCCUCAAAACAACACCAUACAAUCCACCAACUAAACCAAAGCCAUGAUAAAGCUGAGGCUGCCGAGAGAGGACCGAAAAACAUACCCAAGAACCGUAACCAAUGAAGAUGGGGGAAGCACAUAUGUUAUACUUUGUUGUAGUUACAAAUAUUUUUUUUGGUCAAUUGUUACGAAUAAUUGACUACGACUUAUUUUAGUAGAGGCGAACAAUAAUAUUAAUUAAUAAUAUAAUGGUAGCCUUAAAAUCAUGUUACAUAGUGACCGGUCAAAAUAAAUGCCUCAAUCGGUUUCCCUAUAUGUCACACAAUAGACGAGGAUUAAACUCAGCAUUAGCGAGAUUUGAAACUGAGCAUAGGAGUCCUAGAAGCUCUUACAAACUCAAUCACAUGUACUUGUUUUUUUAACUGAAAGCUUCAAAUCAUCCUUAACUUAAGAAAAACACAAAUCAAGUAGCUACUCCUCUUCCUCUUUUCCCACCGAACCAACGAGGCAACUGUGCCGCUCUCUACCACUAGUGGAGGAGAUCACCAACUAAAACCAUUCCCAAGAGGCUAACAAAUACCACAUAUACCACACAUGCAAAAUUGCAGAUACUCAAAACUAUUCUUUAGGUAAGUAGGAAACUUGAAUCAAUUGAAGUUCCAAAAACAUUGGAUCGGAUUAUACUUUCAAAACUGACCCGAACUGACCCUACACAAUCUGGCCCAUUAGAUACUUCAAAAACCUUUGCCAAAAGAAGAUGGCGGUCAGUUUAGUUUAGAAUUCCAAGCAUCAAUAAUUCAAAAUCCUCUCAAUCCAAAUAAAGAACCACAUAGCCACUUCCUACUCCCCUACUCGACCUCAUUGGAGCCCUCAAACUUCUCACCAGAGGUACUGACGUCAGUCACGCUCGGCCGAGCAAUCUAUAUGAGUAGCUUGUUCCAGCUUACAAAUUGCACUUAGGAAGAUUGAAAUGUUUAACACAAUGAUAGUUGUUUUGUAAGGUGCCUGAGAGAUAGGCAUAGUUCCGGGAAGUAAUUUUAUAGAGAAGUCUAUCUCCCUUGCAGGAGGUAAACCAGGCAACUCUUCAGGAAAAACAUCCGGGAACUCCCUUACAACAGGAAUAUCUUCUAUUUCCAAGACUCUCAUACUUGUAUCCACCACAUGAGCUAAAUAUGCCUGACAACCUUUACUCAACAAUUUCCUUGUAGCAAUAGCGGAAAUUAUGCAACUAGAAAUAACAUCUCUUUCCCCUUGGAAAGCAACCUCAAAACCAUCUGGACUUCGAAGCACCACUACUUUCUGAAAACAAUCUACCAUAGCUCUAUAUGCUUCCAAAAAGUCUAUUCCCAAAAUCACAUCAAACUCCACUAUCUCUAAAGGAAUUAAAUCGGCCUUGAAAUUAAAUCAUUCAACUAAAACUUCACAACCAUUAAACACCUAAUUUAUUCUCAUCACCUCACCGGAGGGUAGAGACACAUGCCACUCGCUUGGAAGAGACGAUGAUGGCACAUUGGCAUGGAGGGCAAAUCUACUAGACAUGAAUGAAUGCGUGGCUCCGGGAUCAAUUAAAGUAAAUGCAGGCUGACCAAAAAUUAAUAACGUACCAAUGAUGACAUAUGGAGAAGUACGACCCUCCUGCUGGGUCAUAGCAUGCAGUCUAGCGCGAGUCAUAGGACGUCCACGCUGACCACCGCUCCACUGAGAGCCACCUCUGACCGAUGCACUGCCCUGGGCACCAUUACUGGAGCCUCCAGCUGAAAACUGACCAACUGGCUGAGUAGGGGUGGGGGUGGUCCUCUGAGCCAACAAUGGGCAAUCUCUCCUGAAGUGGUCUUGACCACCACACUCAAAGCACCCAGAAAACUGUUGCUACCCAUAAGAAAAAGUCUGGCUACCGGAUGACCCACCAUGGAAGCUACCACCAGAACCAUACUGCCCAGACUGCUGCCUACCCAAAUGACUCCGAGAAGGUCUCCUGAAACGUCCUCUAGUCCUGUUUCGAGCACCAGAGCUCGAUCCCCCACUACUGCCACUACCAGCAGAUGAUCCAGAAGCGGAUGAUGAAGCAGCCUUCUUGGAUGGACCCUAACUAGGACCACCAAAAUCACGGGGCCGAGCACCAUAUGUCCCCCUGAACUCAAUGGCCAUGGCUGCACCAACUGCAUCCGUAAAGGUCGGGUAAAUUACCCCUGUCAUCUUGUCCGCAUACACCCCACCAAGUGCCCCAAUGAACAUCUCAAUCCUGGUUUUCUCAUCAGGAAUCAAAUAUGACACAUGGUAGCUCAGGGAAGUGAAUCUUUCCUGGAACUCUAUGAUACCCUCAUCAUCCCUCUUUGUCAUAUGCAGGAAAUCCGACUGAAUUCUGCUGUGGUGGGCAUGAUUGAAAUACUGCCCCAAGAAGAGAGUCUUAAACUGCUCCCACGACAUAUUCAGAGCAUCCUCAACAUUUCUGCUGGCAAGCGACCACCAAUGAUAUGCUGAAUCAUCCAGAAAAGUCACUGUCAUCUUCACCUUUCUUUCUUCUGGCAACUCAGUGCUCGCAAAAGCAUUUUCCAUCUUGUCCACCCAAUUGUGAGCAUCAAGAGGUCCCUUGACACCCUUGAACUCUCUGGCACCAUAAACUUCUCUCCUUUUCACCGUAGGAGGGCGUGGAGCUCGAUCCAUGACAUCCUUCAACAUAUUUCCAAUAUCAUCAACCAGUCCCCUGACCUCAUUGCCCUCAUCGGCAUUGGUCGAAGUAGCCACAUGGGGUUACCGUGGGCACCUAGGAGGCAUAGUACCUGAGGAAGAAGAUAUUUAGUAGUCCAUAAACAAGACUAACACAACUAUCACACAUACCCAAUAACACAUAGCAUCAAAAGCAUAAAAUGCCAAUGAAUCCGCCGUGGUCGGAUCAUCACUUUAUAGACACUACGUGCUACUUAGGCAAUUAUGAUAGUGACAAAGAAGCAGGAAAAGGAAACCUAAAGCUUUGAUACCAACUGACACGACCCACCCCGAAUUUCACCAUGAAACCCGGAGUAAGUCGUGCAGGGACCACCUCCAAGGAAGAUAUUACCGAAAAAUUCGGCAUAACCUCCCUUGAAAAUAGACAACCCUUCCUAAGAAAACCUGCAAACACUUUCAAAAUUUUCAAUCCAACCUUAACUCCUGGAGCCUACGUGCUCCCCAAAUACAACCACCACCAACAACACAAUAUUAUCCAAACAUCAGAUAUAAUUAUCCAAAAGAUAACAUAAAUUCUCCGACAAAUAUUUUAAAAUGUCAACAUGCCUUCGCUCACAACCGAAAUAAUAUACAUUAAACCAAAGUAUUCAGAGCUACUAAACACUAGCGGAAAUAAGGAAACACAGGUAGAUUAAACAGGUAACCUACGGAAGAAAAGUGGUGGAAAAGCGGGUGAUUAUGCCUCGUCUCCUACUAGAUCAACCCGUACUCUGCAGACUGGGCAUUUUAAAACGAAUGACCUAGGGGAAAUCAUUUAAUAACGUUAGAGUGAGUGGACAAAAAUAAAUAAAUAAAAAUAUUUAUGCUUCCCCAUUUCAAUUUCCAAAGAAAAAUAUACUGCAUGUGGCAGCUCAAAAGCGUUCAACUCAUAAACUAACAAUUUCACGACUAGCUCCGGCUAGUCACCAACUCAAAUAAAAUGGAGCAUCUCAGGCUAAAUUAUAUAUAAUCAUAUAUAUAUAUAUAUGUGUGUAUGUAUUUAUACUCGUCAUACUCUUUGUACAAAUUCUAUGAAGGAAUAAGCAAAAUAGAAAUUCAUAUAAGGCUACUACGCUUGCGUCUAACGCUCACGUCACACCAUAAUGGAAUUUUUCCUCAUUAUGGCGGAAAAGCACGAGUGUAUAUACGUGUGGACUCCCUAUAUGAAAACCUAUAUGAACCAGAAAAUAAAAUAGUUUUCAUAUAGGGCUACUACGCUUGUGUCUAACACUCACGUCACACCAUAAUGGUAUUUUACCUCAUUAUGGCGGAUCAAGCACGUAUGGCUAGCUAGCAUUUAUAUACAUACUAUACUCAUAAUAUCCAUUAAACAUAUCCACCGAAAAUCUCAUUUUCGGGAUCUCUCCAAAGGAGGAAAAUUGCCAAAUUUCCGAGAAAGAAAUAAAUCUCAGGAAAAGAAAUAAAUGAUCAACAAAUAAUUCAUCGCAUGCUUUUCAAUUAAAACAAAAGUCCACUCACAAAUUAGGCCUAAGCCUGACGACGCUCCGAGGCUUCCUCUGCUCGGGCCUCCUCUCGUCCAGUUCCAAAUAUAUAAUUAAUUUCCCACUAAAAAAUCCAAUAAUCAAACACAAUGGGUAAAAUUAAACGUGAGCCUCCCACACACUCAUCAUUGCCCAACUUCGCCAUUCUUAACUCAAAAUGGCUCAAACUUCACCAAACAUACCGGUAGCCUUAAAUCAACCUUUUACAGAUUAAUGACUUAAAUCCUACGGCCGGAUUCUACAUUAAUUAACCGCCAAAAAUACCAAACUUCGGAAAUUCACAAACCUAUCCAAAACUCAUCCGAAAAUUCUAUAAUUUACUUCAAUAAACUCCCCUUAAUAUUCCAAAUUUAAAAACAUUAAAAUCUCCCAACCGGCGCCGGCAACGGCGGCCGGAGGCCGAUUCCGGCGACCUCCAAUUCCUAUGAAAUUUUGACAGAAUAAUCCUCUCAUCAUGCUCUACAACUUUCUUAACUAGCACAAACCCAAAAUCCAAGCCUAGCUAUGCCAAUCGAGCAAAAACAUCAAAAUCGCCCUAGAACUUCCACCUCAAAUUUCUCCUUACCUGAAGCGAACCGGAGUGAGUCCUUUUAGGGCAAGGCAGCUGAGUUGGAGACCUACAAAACCGUACCAAGUUUGCCUGGAUUGGUGGCCGGAGGAGGGAGUUCCGGCGAGUGAAGCAACACGGCAGUCGCACCUUUCGGGGGAGAAUACUCCUUCACGGCGGCGCUAGGGCGGCUAUCACCGGCCUAGAAUAGAAGCUGGGUCGGAGGGCAACCGAACGGGACCGGUGCGGUAGUCCCAGGCGGCCGGACGCCAGCGGACGAGCGGCCGGAAUGACUAGCAGUGGGAGGGACUCGGGGAGAGAGAGAACCGGGAGGAAGAGAGAAGAAAGAGAGAAGAAAGAAAUGCUUUGGGCCUCCACACCCGGUCCAAGUCCAAAAAUAUACCCAACUCCACCAAAAAUUUACUCCCCAAAAUAAUACCCUAAUAAAAUUACCUUUUACUAGCUAAAAUUUACCAUUUUACCGUCGUCAUAAUUUUCUCUUACAAAUAACUCUCUGAAAUAAUCGUCCCCCAAAACCCCUCUAGGGACCAAUUAAAUUAUAACCUCAAUGACGGAGACAGUAAAAUUCUUAUUAUAACUAAGCUAGUAAAUAAGGUAAAAAUUUAAGAGUCGGGAUGUGACAUAUUCUUUCUUGACAUCGUGAAUGAUUGCAUGGAUUAUAUGGUUACAUUAUCAUGGUUAGUGUUAGUGUGCCCUUAAAAUAUCUUAUUUAAGCUUAUAUGUUUAUUCAUAUAAUUCUUAUUACAACUUUUUGAUUGUUUGUUGUUACACUAACCAUGUCAAUGGGAGUUCGAUCUAGUCUUGUGAGGGAGUUCAUACCCAUCAUUUUUCUCAGCUCAAGCAUAUUUGGAUGAUCUUUAAGUUUACAAGGAUGCCAAUCACAAAUAGCAUUAGUCAGAUGAUCACGAGAUCAAACUAUUGCGAAUGUGUGCUAAUUGACUAUUUGUUAACCUCAAGUUAGGGAUAUUUACUUUCACUAAUUUGCUAUUACACUACUAUUAUAUGUUUAAUUAAUUAAUAUUCUGAAAAACAAUUAAAGUCAAUCUUGGGUUAUCUUGCUACUUGUCAUGACCAUUAGACAGAUUCACAUCUUUGUCAUAAAGAAACUUGGGAGGAACAAAUUCAUAGUCACCUGAUCAACCCCAAUUCACACUCUUUGAAAGCAUCAUCUUCUCCCUUUCUUCAAGCUACUUCAAAUGGUUACCAAUAUAUAUGAGUUACACAAAAUUCAUUCCUAUAACGUUAUGCCUCAAAAGAUCAAGAGUCACCCAAUUCACAACAAUACAUAUACUCACAUUGGCAUUACAAAAUCAUAUUCCAAUAGAAAAAAAUAACGUUAUUCCUCACGCACAGGGCUGCCAUUUAGGUUACCACAACAUUUGUAAACUUCAUCCUCAACACAAAACCGCCGCCACAGAGAGCACCAUGAAUCAUGCACUCACUGAACUUCAACCACCAAACACUCAGUCACACACACUCAAUAGCAUAUAUAAAUUUAGAAAUUUCAUCUCAAUCAUGAAUUUUUUUUUUCUUUUCUUUUUAAAGAUAUUGGAAGUUACACUACUACACAAAAAGUUUCAACAAACAUUAUUAUAGAGCUUUCAUGACGUUUAUCAAAUGUCAUCUACUUCGCCGUCUAUACCAAAAUCAUGGCUUCCCCAUCCUUUUAAAGACGUUUGUAAAACAUCGUGAAAUAUCUUUAAUGACAUUUGAUAAGGGUCCGUGUGAGGGCAAUCUUCCACCUGAAGAAUCGAAGCCGACCAAGGGUGAUUCCAGACAUGACCGUGUUGGCAGACGAUCCUUAACGAACAAAUACCAUAAUUGUGGGUCCGUCAACCAAUACCAAAACCAAUUUAAAGGCCAAAACCUAAAAUAUUGGUGAAAGGGUUCUACAAGGAAUAAAAGUUGGACUCCAUGGCUAAAACCCACAAGCCCCACCUAGAUCCCACACCCAGACACUACUCCAGGCCCUAAUCCAUAUCUGACCCGGAUCACAGGUCCAAACCCAGUACCGCCUCACCCUUGGAACCAACCAUUGCGCCACCUUCUCAUGCCGGAAAAUGCACAUCAACAACUGAGCCCGCGUCUCACUAGGUCUCAUCCAGGCAACCUCAUAUGCUUCAACCCAACAACCCCUGGUGUAAGAUGGAAAUCAUGGCCUGUCACCUCCAUAGAUCUGAGCUUCUUGUACCUUUAGUAAUAAAUGGAACAAUCUACAUUGUUCCAGAAAUAAGUAUUAAGUAUCUAGUAUUAAGUAUGUUAUUUAUUAAGAGUUAGUGUUCUAUGCUUAGAGGGGAUGAAUCUGUAGAUCAGCCCUUAAAAAUAAGAGUUGUAAACUCAUUUUCUGGAGUUCAUGCUCAAUCUAAGUUUACCCUCAUUCUCUCUCUCCUCCCUCCUCUCUCUCUCUCUCUAUCUCUCUCUCUCAUUCAUCUGAGAUCUAGAAGGUUGAGACGUUGAUCUCUUCCUUUUCUUACUUCUGCUACGCUAAGUUGGCAUUAGAGCAGGGAUUAACCUUGUUUCUAUGGCGAAUGAAGCACCAAUUACGCAAGCUGCAUUUCAAGCUUUUCAACCAGAAAUGCGAAAUGCUCUUGCACAAAUCGCCCAAGCUGUGAAUGGAAAUCCUCAGAGUCAAAAUCCUAUUCCAGCCAACAACAAUCAACGGGCUCCUGCUGGCAACAAUCGCAGGCCAAUUUAUGAAGAUGAUUCCAGUGAUGAAGAAGUGGAAAAUAUUCUUCUACAGCCAGAAAAUCAAAAGGAAGGACAGGAUCGUGAUUUUUGCAUCAGGAUGGAUUUACCAUCAUUCAAUGGUAAUUUACACAUCUAGGAUUUCCUUGAUUGGUUAUCGGAAGUGGAGCGUUUCUUUGACUACAUGGAUAUUCAAGAGCACAAAAAGGUGAAACUAGUUGCUUAUAAGCUGAAGGGUGGCGCUUCAGCAUGGUGGGAAUAAUUGUAACUUAGCAGAACACGUCAAGGAAAUGCAGGAAUAAAAAUAUGGCCAAGAAUGAAACAAUUGCUUCGUUCUCGCUUUCUUCCACCAGAUUAUGACCAUGUAUUGUUUCAGCAAUAUCACAACUGCCGGUAAGGAAACCGUUCUGUACGAGACUAUGUUGUUGAGUUCUAUCGCCUUUCGGCUCGAAAUGACUUGUCUGAAACCAAAAUUCUACAUGUUGCAAGGUUUAUUGGAGGGCUGAAGCCAAGUAUCCAUGCUCUUGUUGUCCUAUAACCAGUAUACCUUCUUAAUGAUGCGAUUCAGCUUGCAACAAAAGUAGAAGCUCAACUAGAGCGUUCAAAUACACAACAUUAUUUCUCCGGUAAAGGGAUACUACCCACUCCAGAUCAGGUUCCACCAUAAAAAGUUGCUCCUGGAGUUGACAACCCUCUUAUUGUUGCAAGCCAAGAUUGUGAGUCUAGCAAGGCUAAAACCACCAGAGUCAGCACUACAAAGACCGCAACAGUCAAUCCUUAUGCACCCCCACCUCCAAUCAAGUGUUUUCGUUGCAAUCAGCCAGGGCAUCGCUCUAAUCAAUGUCCUUCUCGCCAAGUGAAUUUAGCAACUCAUGAUGGACAAAAUAUAGUGCUGCAAGAAAAGGAAGAUGAUGUUGAAGAUGAGGCUGAAGUGACUUACAAAGACGAAGGUGUUUCCCUGGUAGUGCGAAGACUGAUGUAUACUCCAAAGCAAGAGUUAAAUCCACAGCAGCACAACAUAUUUCAUACUAGAUGCACUGUCAACCAGCGUGUCUGCAAUCUGAUUAUAGAUGGUGGAAACAGUGAGAAUAUUGUGUCGAAAACAAUGGUGGACAAACUCCAAUUGAAGACUCAGCCAUAUCCAGCUCUUUACACUAUUGGAUGGAUUAAGAAGGUCCGCAAAACCAAGGUAACUGAGCAAUGUAAAAUCCCAUUCUCAAUUGGAAAGUUUUAUAAGGAUGAAGUUCUCUGCGAUGUGGUAAAUAUGGAUGCUUGUUACAUGCUUUUGGGCAGACCAUGGCAAUUCGAUGUUGAUUCUACACAUAAAAGCAGAGAGAACACAAUCACCUUUUUCAAGGAUGAGGUUAAAAUUAUCUUAGCUCCAAUGCGUGAGACUUCGCCCAAAACUUCCCAAGCUGGGAGUCGAUCAUUCCUUAUUGUGAAUGACAUUGUGAAAGAGUUUGCAUAUAACAACAUGGUGAACCACUCUACUGGCAAGACACCACUUGAAGUCAUCCAUGGUCGAACCACUCAUCACACACUUGAUUUGGUGCCUUUACCGAAAUUACCAUGAAUGAGUAUCACUGCCAACCUUAUGGCAGAAAAGAUGGCAGACAGCAUGAUGCACACUAAGAAGGCCAUAGAAGAGUCCAAUGCCCAUUACAAAUCUCAUGCCUACAUGCACAUGCAUCUCAAAGCUUUCAAAGAGAGUGAUGGAGUCAUGGUCCAUCUCAGCAAAGAGGGAUUUCCAGUGGGUACAUACAUACAAUAAGCUGAAGCAAAAGAAGAUUGGACCAGUAAAGAUACUUAAGAAGAUCAACGACAAUGCCUAUGUUGUUGAUUUGCCAGCAGAAUAUUCCAUCUCCAAAACUUUCAAUGUUAAGGAUCUGUAUGAAUAUUAUGCUGCUGCCAAAACUUAUCCGUUACCAGCUAUAACCUCGAGGUCGAGCUUUUCUCAAGAGGAGGGGACUGAUGUAGAACAAAGAGCUGCUUAAGUCGUUGUAUAAUGAUCUUUCAUUAUACAAUGAAUCAGUAAUAAAUGGAAUAAUCUACAUUGUUCCAGAAAUAUGUAUUAAAUAUCUAGUAUUAAGUAUGUUAUUUAUUAAGAGUUAAUGUUCUAUGCCUAGAGGGGAUGGAUAUGUAAAUCAGCCCUUAUAAAUAGGAGUUGCAAACUUAUUUUCUGGAGUUCAUGCUCAAUCUAAGUUUACCCUCAUUCUCUCUCUCUCUCUCUCCUACCCCUUUCAUUUGAUAUCUACAAGGUUGAGACGUUGAUCUCUUCCUUUUCUUACUUCCGCUACACCAGACGCAUCGUAGUCCAUCAUCAAUCAUGAGAUUGGAAGUGAUUAGUAAGGAAGAGGACCAGCGCUGAAACAAAAGGGUGCAGCAACUCGGGGAUUGCCAUGGAGGGAUUCGCGAGGCCAAGAGGCUCGUCAGCCGAGAACCAUAAACAAGAAGGUCGCCGGUCAAGAGAUUUGGGUAGAAAACCCUAAGAUUAGCCGCCGCGGUAACGAGAGAGCGAGCAAGCGCUUUCAUAGGUUUUUUGUUUUUAUGUUAAUAUAUGCCCAACUAAGCUUUGUUUACUUUGACCCCGAUUGAAAUUUUUCACUUUAAAAGAAAAAUAUCAGUCUUUGUUUAUGCUAGUUGACAACCUUAAUUAUAUUAAAUAUGAGUAAACCUAUUAACAAUGACAUGAUAAAUAAAACAAAACGUUACACAAUAAAGAACUAGGUCACUAUUAUAUUUCGAAACCCGAUCCGACCCGGCCCGGUAGAGUACUUCUAAAACCUUUUCCGAUGGAAGAUGGCGGUCAGUUGAGUUUAGAAUUGCAAGUCCCCAAUAGCUCCUGUAAUUUCAAAUCCUCUCAAUCCCAAUGGAAGAACCACAGAGCCACUUCCUACUCCCCCACUCGACCUCGUCGGAGCUCUCAGACUCCUCACCGGAGUCAAUGACUUCAGUCACGCUCGGCCGAGCAAUCUCCUCUCUCCUCUCCGCCCGCCCCAAAAAGCUACACGACGCCGUUUCGCAGCUCUCUCCUCUUCCUCCUCUCGCCUCCGUCUCCGGCUCCCUCGACGACUCGCUCCGCUUCCUCCACAACUACCUAAACGACGCCGCUCGCCGAAACGAGCCUCUCGAUGAAAUCCUCAUCCCUAUGCUCGAUCACGUAAGCCAAAAUUUCAUCUCAUUCGCGCUUUGAAUUCUCCAGAUUAGUGUUGAUUUCGUUUUUCUUGACUCCAGUAUUUGAGGAACAAGGAUUCGAAGCACGGCGGCCAAGCUUUGGUGGUUCUGAACUGGCUAUUUCAAGAUGAAGUGAUUUUCCGAGCUGUUGCGACGGCGCUGGUUAGAGUGAUUUGGACCAAGGAUAAUCGGUUUGUUGUGCUCGGAUGGUGUACUUUCGUGCGUGGUGUAUUGGAGUAUGAGAGCUCUGUUACUCAAUUUCUGAUGAACGGUAACGAAACCUAAGUUUUUAGAAGCAAAAAUGAAGUUGAGAUUAGUGUGUUUAGUGAUGGAGUAUGAUUUUCGACCCGAUGCUUGAAAUGACAGGGAUAAAGGAGAGGUAUCCUGAUUUGUUGAAGAUACUGGCUUCAUGUAUUCCGCAGCUCUCAGUUGUUCUGCACAAAGGAAGGUAAUUGAUGACUAUGAUUUUUUGAUUGUGUAUAUGUUAUGAAUACUUCAUGCACUGAUUGCUUGUUUGUCGGUUUUAGUUGGUCUUAAUGUUGGACCCUUUUGCCUUGGCAGCACUUUGCAGGAUGGAUAUGAACUGCCCUCUCGCCUUGCUGUGUCUGCUGCUGAUUGUUUUCUGGCUCUCUCGGAAGCAUUGAUCAGAAAAGCUAAAGUUUCAAGUAACAAGGCAAAGUUAUUGGAUUCAAAGGCACAAAAGCGUCCGGUUGUGUCCCUUGAUGGUGGUGAAAAGAAAGCAAAGCCAGCUCCUGAAACUUUAGACGCCUCAAACAUGGAGUUGGACUAUAUACUUUGGGAUCAUUUAGAGGAAGUUUAUGGUCUAGUGCAGAAACUCGUUGCUGUAAGUUCCAUACUUUUGCAUUUGUUUUUACCUAUCUUCUGCAUUUUGAGCUUAACAUGUCGUAGAUACGUUUAAAAUGUUGUGCUAUUGAUAUUCGCUGAUUGUGCUGUUUUUCUUUGGCUGCAUAUAGUAUUUCUAAUAGAUAGCUACUGUCAUAUUGUCAUUUGUCAAUUGGGAAAUAAAUAGCCGUUCUGGUUUAGUUACGGUCAUUAUCUCAGCUCUCAAAUUUUCAAUUUGAUGAUGAUGCUUUUAUGUUUAACAGUUAAAAUUACAUAAUUAAGUUUAGAAAGAAGGACUUCCAUGGUAACGGUUCAUCUAGUUGUCACUAAUUCUUUGGUAUAACUGUCUAAGAUUCUUCAAAUCAUUACAUCUUGUGUAACAUGCUUGAAGUUUGUAUCAUGAUAAUGUUUCUAAAUGCACUGCAGUGGAGCAGAAAAAGCCGACCUUUGCAUGCCAAAGGAUUGGAACAAGUGCUUAAGUGGUUGCACGAGUUUAAAGGACAUUAUCGUAACGUGAAAGCUGAGGCAGGUCCUUUACCCAUCUUCAUAAAUAUUACAUAUCUUAUGGUGUCUUAUUUGUGUGGGGUAUGAUGAUUUGUUUGUAUCAUGAAAGACAGGCUCGAAGGUUAUCAAAACUGGAAUGUUGCUACUGUCUUCUUGUUGGAAGCAUUAUGGCAUGCUAAUGCAUUUGGAAGAUCAGAAAUUUUCCCAGCAUUACAAAGAACUGUUGGACCAAUACUUAGCAGGCAUACAGGUUAGUUAUACUAAAUACUUUAAGUUUCAUUAUGUCAUGUAAUCUAUGAUUUUACGACAGGUAAGGUAAUAAGAAUUCCCUGUUCUUAGGUUAUAUCUCUGAGUUUCUCAACUGGUCUUGAUUUGUUCCACUUUGUGGGUGUAUCGACAAUCUAUUUGCAUGACUUCUAUUUAGUUUCACUUGAUGGAAUCACUAGCUUUCUGAUACACUAUACAUACAUAUAUUUGCAGUUUUAUGCAAGUCAGACUGAGAAUAAGGAUGGGAGUUCUGAGACCAUAAAGUUCUUUCUGAAUUGUUUAUGCCUUCUACUGGGGCGAUUUGAUAGCAAGAAAUUUGAGAGCGUAGUCGCCGAAUACGGGAUGAGGAUAUCUCAGGUUCUCUUACCACAGGUAAUAACUGAGGUUUUGAAGAAAAUUUCUGUGGGGUUUAUAUUCUAAGAUAGAGCUCCAUUCAGCUUGGUGGUUUGCAUGUUGUUAUAGUAUGCUUCCCUUGAAAGGCUUGUAGAUGUGUAAUCUAAAAUCUUAGCAAAUUUUUGUUAUUGGGAGUAGCUUACCUUGAACUGUGAUCGCAUCUUACCUGGUUAGUAUGCUUGUCAAUUAUAGAUCACUCAGUGCACAUCAAAUUUAAGAAGUUAUUGUAUUUUAGACAUAGUAAUUUAAGCUCUGUUUGAUAUAUUAGGGUUGGGAACGUAUAUGACGCUUUUCUUUCCGGGUUUGAUCAUGAUACUACUUUCUUUAACCAAAUGUGCUAUAUAAUUGAGACCUAGGUUAUGUAAUUGGUCCUGGGAGUUAACUUGGUCUGGAUGGUACAUUUAAUUUUAUAUUGGGUUGGGCACCUGUUGUGAUAAAAUAGUGUACCGUAAUAAUUUAAUGGGUACUUAAGAGAGAUUCUAUGAAUUAAGAUAAUAUUGCCAUCCUAAGUGCCAUUACAUGAUCAGUUAUCUUUUCAUACUGUUCAAAUUAACUAUGUUUAGCACUUAGUAUUAGAGUUACCUCUUAAUGGCUAUUGUUUUUUGGUUUCCUACUAACAUUUAUUUUCAUCUUGCAGCUUCAUUCUGCUGCUGAUGAUGUUAUUGAAGGGGUUGUGUGUAUAUUCAAAGCAUUAAUAUUUAAGCAAAAAUCAUCUGGAAGCAGUCUCACUGACACCGGAGAGGUGGAUGCUGUGCUUCCGCUGCUGAUUCACCUUCUCGAUGAACGAGAUGGCACAGCAAGAGCUGUGGUUCUGCUUAUAGCAGAAUACUGCUUGAUGUAGUUUUCUUCGCCUAUACUUUUUGUGUUUGGCAAUUUGGCAGAAAUCAAUUAUGAUAUCUCCUUACUGAUUGGCAAUUUGGCAUAAAUGAUCCACCAGGAGCAGAGACAGUCAGUGCCUUAAAGAAGUUAUUGAGCGUCUUACUUCUGAAGAUGUUCAACAGAGAAGAAAUGCAGUUGAUGUUAUAUCAGAAGUCAUACAUUUGUCUUCAGACUCAAAAAACGUACAUACCCAGCUAUCAUGGUACAAAGAAUGUUCUGUCCGAUUUGUUGUUUCAUAAUAGUAUGAUGUUUUUCAUCAUUCUACCUUUCUUUACUUCUUUCUCUGAUAAUUGCAGGCAGGAUAUAGCAAAGCACUUGCUUGUGCUACUUGAAGAUGAAGAUAUUGCAAUUAAGGAACAAGCGUCCAGUUUGCUUCCAUUAAUUGGUUCGUUUCAUAGUUAAAGUUUUAAGCUAUAAUUCAUGCCAAGUGUGAUUUUACAUUUUCAAUGUACUUGCUUUCUGUGUAUAGUUUGGUUGUUUCACAUUAAAUAUAAAAAAUAAUAAAAGAUAAAAUUCUUCGGACCAGAACAUUAUAAAUAUCGGUUAUACACUUAUACUUGAACCAUGUUCUUAAGUAAAAGUAAUGUUGUUUGAAACUGCUUUUAGCACUAUCAUAAUUAGUAAAGAUACAAAUUUAGUUGUAGUAGAUAAUUAUCAUACUCCUUUUAUUGCAGACCCUUCAUUAGUUCUACCUGCUUUAGUUAAUCUGAUUUACUCUGGGGAUGAAAGAUUGCAAGCAACUGCCAGUGAUGCUUGUGUUGCGGUGCUCAAAUAUCAUGGCCAGAAGGCUGAAGUCAUUUGUAUGCUGCUUGACUGUCUUAGGUAUUUUUCCAUUUCAUUUCAUAAUUGUUUCCUUAUUUCUCAAAGUUUCAUAUGUCCGUCUUGUUUAUGUAAAUGUCUUUUCACUCUUUUGAGACUCUAUUGGGUUCAUGUUAUAAAAACAUAUGUGUUGUUAUAGCUAUUAAAAUAAUAAUAUUUAGAGAAUCUUGGUCUGGACCGCUCUGGUGUCAGGUUUAGGGUCAAACCCCCUCAUAGUUUCCUGUCUUCUAAGAUUGUAUGUUUCAGCAGGAGGCCAUAGUUUCAAGAAUGAGUCUGCAAGAUGGGGUUGGGGGGUCUCUGGAUAUAGAAAAAUAAAAUAAAAAUAUGUUAGACAGCAAACAGAAGUUGACCAAUUUUAAUUUCUUCUUCCUUGCAGCAACCUCAGCCAAAGUGUAAAUCUUAACAGUACUGGAGGCACAGGUACAGUUUUAAUGUUACCACUUUCCAUUGUGUUUUAAUGGGGAGAAAUAGUUAAACUUGUUUUUAAUAUUCUCUACCAAUUCUUCGGAGACCAACCAAACUGCACAUUUAAGUAAAUAUUUGUAUGCAACUUGAAGUGUCCAAAUUCUGCAAUUUUAGAAUAUGCUAUGUUUCUACAUCAAGCUCCAUCCAAGUUUUUUGUUUCCAGAUAUUGAAUGAAAAUCUUGCUUUGUCUGUUUCUAGUGUUGUAUAUUCUUCUGUCAACAGAUUUUUUCUUUUGCUUGUUUCUUGUGCUUUUAAAUGGAUCAUAUGUUCCUUUCAAAAAAAUGGAUGAUAUGUUUGGGAGAAUAUCAGUUCCUUUUUUUUUUUUUUUUUUUUUGUUGGUUUUGGCUUCCAGUAUUCUGAUUAUUGCUUCUAUCAUGUACUAUUCCAAUAUGGUGUCCUGUUUGAAACUUGCAGGAUCCAAAUUGGAGAGUGAUCGAGUGCUUAGGCUAAUCCCAGAGUGGUCUAAAAGUGUAAGAUGAUGGAAACUCAAAUUUUUCGCAAGUCUCUAUUACUUUUAAUUACAUGUUAAAGCCUGAUGAUCUUUGUUUCCUACUGAUUUAUCACAGGUCCAAAGCUGGAACCUCUUGAUUGAACCACUGAUUGACAAGAUGUUUGCAGAGCCAUCAAACGCAAACAUUGUUAGGUUUUUGAGUCAUAUAAGUGAACACCUGGCAGAUGCUGCUGAUGUAGUGCUCUCUUGUGUUCUAAGGCAUGCUAAGCGACUUAAAGAGUGAGUACUUGUUGUGCUGGUGUUCUGAAAAGAUGGAUACAAAAAUAAAAAGUACAAUAUAAACGAUGAACUUGAGUUUGUGAAAAUUAUGCAUCAUUAUGUGUUUGCUGCGAUUGAAAGUUUAACAAUUCCUAUAAAAUUACUAUGCUUUGCUUCCUAGUACAAUUCUUAUCCUCAUAAGAUUACUACUGGUGUUCAGUGUCUUGUGUUUAGCUUUUGCACAUAGAUGAGCUUUAACCGUAAAGUAGUGUAAAAAGUGAAUUUAAGGCUUCAUACUCUUAUCUUGGAAAAACACAAGGGUUUGUUGCGAUGAGCUUUCACCCUAAAGUAAUGUCGUUCCGACUAGGAUCUGCUCGUGUACUUUUUACUUUUCANNNNNNNNNNNNNNNNNNNNUGAGAGUAUUUAAUGAUCUCGAUUCAGCUGUCAUGUAUGGCCAACUUGCCAAUAAAGAAAUUGUUCAUGGUAUACAUUUCUCUCUCCUCUCCUUCUACCCUAUGAUAUCUAAGCACUGAUGGACUUGUUAUAUUUCCUGGUGUCUUUGUUAGCUUUUUCUGUGAAGUUUUAACCUUUUAUCUAUCUGCACAAAUGAUCCAGGAGUGUUUCUCUUGUAAGGAAUCUUAGGUCUUGCAUUUUUUUUUUUGGGUCUGAAAGUUGCAUUCAUUAAACACAAAGGGAACAAACUGGGCCUAGGCAAUAGCCUCUAGCCACAGAAAAACAAAGAGCUGGCCAUCAAACCAUGCUCGCAAAAAUGACCCAGAAAGAAUAAAACCAAAAACUGGACAUAAUUUGAAAGCUAAGACAAAGAUGAUAAGACAAUAUAUUUAGGUCUUGCAUGAUCUGGCAUGAUGAUGAUUUAUUAAUUUCAAUUUCAUGCAUUUUUGUGUGGCUAUCAGUAGAUUACAGCUGAACAAUCCUCUAUUUGAAUUCAUGAACUUUUGCCAAAUUUCACUUUGGACUUCUCGACUUGUCAACUAUGUGAUGAUUCUUUCUCGAGUUUAAUCUCCUGGUUGCUUUUUCUUCAUCUUUUGUUUAGUUCUUUUGGGGCACUUCUUUUUGUGAGUUUAUCACAUAAUGUUGGUUUUUGUUUGAUUUCAGACUGUCGAGAUAUCAAUGCCAUCAAUCUGGAUUCUGUUACUGCUCUUCUUUUGAAAAGGUUUAUCCAUAUCAGAAAAAUUUAGUAAAGCAAAUGAAAUUAUUAUUAUUAUUAUUAUUAUUAUUAUUAUUUUUGUCAUUGUUUGAUAAUAUUUAUUUUCAGGACAUUUUGCGAGUUUGAAUUCAACGAUGUUCGGAAACUUGCUACUGAGCUCUGUGGGCGUAUUCAUCCUCAAGUAUAAAACACUUCCCUGUAAUCUAUAAUAUCACUGUAUUUCUCAUUUAUCUUCCAAAACCAAUGAUCUGAAAUCAAAAAGGCCUUUGGGGCAUUUUAGUUCUGAAAUCAAGAAUCCAACUCGGUUAUGUCAUGAUCCAUAUGCUUUUAUCCAUUGAAGAAUUGAUAGAUUCUUACAGAGUGGUCUUAAAUAAUGCUGCUUCAGGUGGCUGAUUAUAGCUUCAAUAUAUAACAAAAAGGCCUUGUGUGUACUUUACUUGAAUACAAAUCCUUUUAAUCUACCUGCUUUGGAUUUUGUAGGUGCUAAUUCCACUCAUCAGCUCCCACUUAGAAUACGCUGCUGUUUCUCAGGAUAUAAUGAAGAUUAAAGGUUGUUUGUUUGCAAUUUGCACGUCCCUUGUGGUAAUUAUCCUUGACAUAAUCUCUUGCCUUUCACUUUUAUUGCUUUGGCUUUAUCUUUCUACCAUGGUCUCUAGGCAUUACACUUCUAUUUGCAGUGAACUAAAGAUAGGGUUCUCAUGGUUGAACAGGUUAGAGGUCGCAAAUCACUUUCUCAUCCUGGUAUGUUGAUAAUUAGAAAAACAUUAGAGACUAUGCUAAUAUGGCCUUCUGUGGAUGGGGAUGAAGGUAUGUAACAACUACAAGUACUGUUCCUCAAAUCCCAAGCAAAAUUUAAUAGUCAUUUGAGUUUGAUGGCUGUAAGGUUACUUUCCUUUCAGUUUCCAGAAUACAGCAUGGAUGCAUUGAUUGCAUGGCAUUAAUGAUAUGUGCUGAGCUGCAAGAUCCAAUAUCAUCUAACAUUGUUGGGACAAAAAAAUAUCUUGGUUAGUAUGUUGUCCUCAGUCUGCAGACUUUUUCCUGAUUGGCAGAAAUCUGACUUUAUUAUAAAACAAUUCAGGCGAUGGUACAUUGAAAAACUCUGUCCUCACCUACGUGAUCAACCAGCUAACAGAAGAUAAAGACACACCUGUUUCAAAGUCCAACUUGGAUGAUGUGAAAUGCACGACUGAGGUGCCAGUUCCAAUCUCAUUUUACCUAUGCAUGGCUAAUGUUCUCAUCAGUGCUUGCCAAAAGAUAUCAGACUCUGGCAAGAAACCUUUUGCUCGAAGAUCUCUUCCCCGUCUCAUUCGUGCCGUCGAGGUACAGUAAAUUACUAAAUUUUCAUUGUUUUAUGAUCUGUGAGGUUGUCUUAUUAAAUCAUGCUUCAUGUCACUUCAUUCAUGCAUGGUGUAAAACACUGCAGGUGAUUACAAAGUCAGAGAUCAGAGCUGCAUGCACUCAAGUUCUCUUCUCAGCUGUGUACCAUCUGAAAUCUAUAAUUCUUCCUUACUCCAUGGAUCUUCUUAAAGUUUCAAUCAAAGCUCUUCAAAAGGGAUCAGAGAAGGUACUGGAAUUGGGUUUCAAUAAAUCUGUUACUCUUUGUGCAUUCACAUUGUUAUCCUGAAGUGUUAUUUUAAUUUCAUCUCGAGAAACCCCAUACUUCAUGAAUUGAUGGCCUAUAUUCAUUUUGUAGGAAAGGAUGGCAAGCGCGAAGCUAAUGGGGUCCCUUAUGGCUAGUGAUGAUGCAAUCAUACAAAGUAUAUCAGCGGGAUUAAUAGAAGCAAGAUCUGUACUGUUGAGUAUUUCUUCGACAGAUCCUUCACCUGAAGUACGUCAAGUCUGCAAAAAGUUGCUAGCAUGCCUAACUUCUUGAGAUGGUGCCUAGGAUUAUAGACACUGCGCUUUGUUUUUCUUUUCGGUAGGUGUAUACAUAAUGUACAGCCGCUAUUGUUUUUUUCAAAUCGACGUAAUUGUUGAUAGUAGUUGCUUUGAGAAACAUAAAGAAAAAGAUGCAACGGUAAAGUAGGAUCUUUUGUUACCAGUUGACAUAUUUAUUGGUAGUCGUCGUUUGAGUAUAGUGAUCUCUGUAGUGGUAGGUUGAUAGCAGUUCCUCUAACCAUUCUUUGGUUUUGACCCAGAACUGGAUAAUUUCGUGGGUAGAGGUUUUAGGGUGGGAAGAAGUCACCAUGGCAAACUGAGGAGAGGAGGUAAAAGAUGAAAAACAGGGUUUGAGAUAGGAAAGGAAAAAGCUUUGAGAUCAGAAGCUAGGUGACAAGUACAUGCUCCCCAAUGUCAACAAGAACACUAUCAUUGGAUCCAAGGAAUAUUUUGCUGUACCUAACAAGCUUCGACUUUUGCUCAGCAGCAACCCACGACCUUAAACCACUUAUACCGUCGAAUGCGAAGAAGUUUUAUGUGUGACAAUUAUCAGAUGAAGAAACACCCCCCCAUUGGUGACAGAUGACCCAAAUGCCAUAUGUCCAAUGUGUCGUGGUAGAGCCAUGUUCAUCGCAGCCGCCUAUGUUGCUCCUCCUCCGGAAGAAACUGGCUUGAUGACUUGGGAUGAUGGGUAUGUGGGAGGAGGUUUUUGCUUCAUACACGAUAAUGGACGAUCUGAGAGUCCAACCUGCAUCUGUCUUCGCAAAUUUGAAUAUGAAGUACAUUCAUAUCAGUAGUAGUGGUUUUGAUAAUCAUGAAGAGAAGGUGGUACAUGUUGAAAUCGAUCAGGUGUGAAUCUUUAGUCUUAUAUCUCUGUACCUCACUUCUGUACGUAUACGUUUUGUAUAGCAGAAAAGUGUGUCCUAUCAUAUGUAAACUCUUGAUACUUCAUUUGGGUUUUUAGGUAGAUGAAUGGUUGAAGCAGAAUCAAACUCAGUUCUUACCGAUAUCUUCCUCGGAAGAAAGCAAUUGCUUGAGAAAUGGUUCCAACCUGAAGCAGAUUCUCAGGACGGAUUCACACUUUUCCCGGUUCUUAACAACUUUCAUUUUGGUCGGUUCUUAAUAACUAUUAUAAGAAGCAAAUUGCAUGAAGGGAAAACAAUGUCCUAAAUAACCAAAUAAAGCUUAGGGAAAGCUGAUGGAAAUCUCAACAAACAAGGACUUAAUAGCAUAUGCUCCACUAACAAUAAUGUGUGAGAGGUAUUUGGAACAAGGCUGCUUUUCAAAUCUGCGCAAAUCUCUCAGUGCUCCAAAGGUAACAAUGGGGGUACCUCAUGUUAUUGUCGACACAGUAUUUGUUGUUUCAUAAGACCAACAGAGGUAUUUGGUAUUGUUGCAGGUUGAAAGUCCCUUUUGUUUUGUUGGUAUGAUCUUGAAGAGUUGUGAGCUUCCACAUACAAACGCAUGUGGCUAGGGGCUAGAUUGAUCUCGGUAAGCUGGUCAAUCAUUCCCAUCAUACUCAACAUUUUGCCAUCAGUUACAAAUAAUGUUUCCGGUUUUUAAUUUGCAGAGUGCAUCAGACAUUAUAUUUCCCAUUGUAAAGGGUGAGGAGUUGACAGAUGUUUUUUCAUGCCACUGUGCCAGCAUAUUACAGAUCUUCUCCUAUUCAUUGAAGAUUUCCAAACAAGAACGUCUUAAGAGAAAAGUCGGUACCCAGAUUCUUUUAUUCCAUUGAUCUGAUAGACCAAUUUGUAUCAAAUGAUCAAAUCAGAAGCAUUAGUACCAUAUAGAAAGUAAAGAUCAAGAUGAAAGUACAGUAACAAAUGUAAUCAGUAACAGAUGUCUAUCUUAAGAGAAAAGUCGGUACUCGGUACCCAGAUUCUUUCUGUGUUAUUCCUAAAUGCAAAAUACUACUCUAAAACAGUAACAAAUCUAAAUGUAACCCAUUUACAAGGUCACAAGAUAUUAAGUAUGGUUCCAGGAGGUUAUUGCCUCUCUUUUUUGGGAAGCUAAAUAUAAUUUAUUUUAGCUUUUGAACCCACUAAAUUUGUUAGUUGAUAGUAUCAUCCAAAGCAAUCAGAAGUUUUUUAGAAAAGAGAAAUUCGAAAUUCGCUCAAGUUCCAAUUGUUUCAAGUUUAUCCUACCUAGCAAUCAUGACAAGAAGCAAUGGUACUGAAACAAAAUUUACCCAAGACCUGAAUAGAACAGUGUUGAUGCUUGGGUUACAUCAAAUUUAUAACCAUGUGAAACAUCUCCCAACACAUGAGGGAAUAAAUUCCUCCGGCACUAGAAGCUUCAUUCUACUUCUGCCAAUAUGAAUACUGUGAUGACUAUUUGUAAAUGAGAGCAUCACGUCCAGGUCCGACACCAAUGUAAUGGAUAGGUACACCAACAAGUUCUUCUAUUCUUUCCACGUACUGUCUUGCAGCUUUUGGAAGUUCAGAGUAGCUUCUUACAUUGGAGAUAUCGGAAUUCUAUCCGGGUAAUACUUCAUAUUCAACCUAAACACAUAAAAACAACAUCACCACCAAUAGCUAACCAAAAUUUCAUUGUUUAACAUGUAGAACCAGCGGCUAUAUUGCUCAACAGAAAAUUUAGUGCUCGUAAUUUAAUUAUCCAACUGAAAUCAAGUAAUAAGAGAAACAAAACAUCCUGAUAAAUAAGGGAGAGAAGAAAACUUACUUUCACUUGCUCAAGAAGGCGAAGAUCUCCAGGGAAUGAUUUGAUUGGUGUCCCAUCACUAGUUUUGUAGGCAAUACCCAACUGAAUUGCGGGAAAAUCAGACAAAACAUCUAGUUUGGUGAGAUUGAGAGAAGAAAAGCCAUUAAUCUGGCAGCAGUAUUUCAGUGCUACUAUAUCAAGCCAACCACAGCGACGAGGGCGACCGGUAGUUGUUCCAAACUCUUGACCUUGCAACCUAAGAAGGUCACCCUCUUUACCUAAGUUUUCAGUGGGGAAAGGACCAGAACCAACUCUUGUAGUGUAUGCUUUCACCUGGGAAGCCAAAAACCAAGUUAGCAACAUGAAUUUUAUACCAACACAUAUACAUUUACACUAACAGGAUGCAGCUUAAUAACUUGAAAGAAUAACCUAAAGAUACAUAAAGCAAAUUAGAUUUACAAAAUUGAACAUUAACCCCAUAAAAAGAGAACUGUAGAAGAUGCAAUUUUCUUAAAUUGUUCAUAGAAGUCUAAAACUUCAACAACAAUGAAAAAUGGGAACAAGGCAGGUUUUUUUUUUUUUUUUUGGUUCUGAAACAAGGCAAGGUUACAAUAGUGAUAUCAAAGAAUUGAAAAACUAAAUUUAUAAAUACAAGAAAAAACCUUCUACUUACCACUCCAACAAGAUCACCUAAAACUCUGGGAGCAAUACCCAAACCAGUACAAAUCCCACCAGCUGAAGGACUUGAGGAAGUGACAAAGGGGUAUGUUCCAAAGUCAAUAUCCAACAUUGUUGCCUGACCCCCUUCAACUAAAAUCUUUUUCUUCUCGGAGAUGGCUUCAUUCACAACAAGUACAGUAUCAGCAAUGAAGGGUUCCAAUCUCUCAGCAAAUCUCUUGUACUUUUCUACUUCUUCUCUAAGCAUCUGGGGGUCAUACUUAAAAUCUUUGAAUCUUGAUGCAGCAUCUGACAACAGAAUAUCUAGCUUCUGAGGUAAAGUGUCCAUGUGCCUCAAGUCACCAACUCGAAUGCCAUUCCGGAUAACCUUGCUAGAAUAACAAGGUCCAAUGCCUCUCUUGGUUGUACCGAUGAAAGAUUUAGCAAGCUCAGCUUCUCGAAGCCUAUCCACUUCUUGGUGGAAAUCAAAUAAAAGGUGAGCACGAUCAGAGACCAAUAUCCUUCCCUUGCAAGACACUCCAUUGGAUUCAAGGCCAUCAAUCUCUUUAAAGAGGCCUGGAAGAUGCACCACAACACCAUUCCCAAUANNNNNNNNNNNNNNNNNNNNAGAGUGUUUCUUUGUCUUACCUGACAACGAGCAACAACGUCAAAGUGCUGGGCCAAGAUGUCAACGAGUUUGCCUUUACCUUCAUCACCCCACUGGCAGCCCAAAACUCCGGACACCUGGGUUAGAGACUCAAUUCGAUUAGGUCCGCUGUUGGGUGACCCAGCCACACUUAGCGAUGAGGGCGAGGCAACUGAGGGCUUCACAGAGCAUACAACAACAUUUCUGGGGCGCUGGAGGAGGUUAAACCUAUUGUGUUGGGCGCCCAAGUAGCAAGGUUUAGAGAGUGGGUUGGCAUCAAGGGCUGCGAAGGUCGACAGGUUGUUCAUGGUGAAGCACUGAGUUAGAAAGAAAUUGUCAAGUCAAAACUUUACAACUCUCAAAAGACAGGGUUUUUGAGAAAUUGAGCAUAACCACAAUUUUUCAUAAAGACCACAUCAAAAAGUCCAUUAUCACUUAUUAUUGGAUUACAAUUGAGCUUUGAUGUAAUGCAUUACACUAGUUUGAGAACACAAUAAAUUAAUAGGCCUAAAUAUAGAAGCACUACUCUUUAAACCAAGAGAUUUUCUUCAGCCAUCUACUUAUAUCAACGUUUCAUAAAAUCAGGCUUAAAACAUGACCAACAAGAACACAAAAACUACGAACACUAGCAAACAAGAAAAAUCUCUUCCCCUGGAGGUUACAAAGCAUUACAAUUUGAUAAUACUCGCAACAAUUGAUACAUACAAACAAGAUAAAUGAAACAUGAAAACCGAUCAGUCAUAACACACAGACUGCUCAAUACUAGCAAUCAGAAACCCAAAAAACCAGAAGUAAAAAUUUGCAGCAAAGAUUACAAAACUACACAAACAAACGAUAAGCAAACCAAUAAUUAAUAAACGAAAUUUCUAUUCCAAUAAACUAUUGCUAGCUGAGCUCUGUAAUCAUUACCAAUAUCUACUAAUCGAAUGCUACACCCUAACUCACCAAAGCCACAGGCCACCAUUACGAAUUCACAAUAGGCAAGAAGCCCUUAACAUUUAGCAGGAAAAUAGAGAGAGAGAGAGAGAGAGAGAGAGAGAGAGAGANNNNNNNNNNNNNNNNNNNNAAAUGAUCUGGCAAUGCUAGCAGAGUGUUCUUUGUCUUACCUGACAACGAGCAACAACGUCAAAGUGCUGGGCCAAGAUGUCAACGAGUUUGCCUUUACCUUCAUCACCCCACUGGCAGCCUAAAACUCCGGACACCUGGGUUAGAGACUCAAUUCGAUUAGGUCCGCUGUUGGGUGACCCAGCCACACUUAGCGAUGAGGGCGAGGCAACUGAGGGUUUCACAGAGCAUACAACAACAUUUCUGGGGCGCUGGAGGAGGUUAAACCUAUUGUGUUGGGCGCCCAAGUAGCAAGGUUUGGAGAGUGGGUUGGCAUCAAGGGCUGCGAAGGUUGAUAGGUUGUUCAUGGUGAAGCACUGAGUUAGAAAGAAACUGUCAAGUCAAAACUUUACAACUCUCAAAAGACAGGGUUUUUGAGAUAGAGCAUAAUCACAAUUUUUCAUAAAGACCACAUCAAAAAGUCCAUUAUCACUUAUUAUUGGAUUACAAUUGAGCUUUGAUGUAAUGCAUUACACUAUAGAAGCACUACUCUUUAAACCAAGAGAUUUUUUUCAGCCAUCUACUUAUAUUAAUGUUUCACAAAAUCAGGCUUAAAACAGGACCAACAAGAACACAAAAACUACAAACACAAUAAAUUAAUAGGCCUAAAUAUAGAACCACUACUCUUUAAACCAAGAGAUUUUCUUCAGCAAUCUACUUAUAUCAACAUUUCACAAAAUUAGGCUUAAAACAGGACCAACAUGAACACAAAAACUACGAACACUAGCAAACAAGAAAAAUCUCUUCCCCUGGAGGUUACAAAGCAUUACAAAUUGAUAAUACUCACAACAAUUGAUACAUACAAACAAGGUAAAUGAAACAUGAAGGCCAAUCAGUCAUAACACACAGACUGCUCAAUACUAGCAAUCAGAAACCCAAAAAACCAGAAGUAAAAAUUUGCAGCAAAGAUUACAAAAACUACACAAACAAAUGAUAAGCAAACCAAUAAUUAAUAAACAAAAUUUCUAUUCCAAUAAACUAUUGCUAGCUGAGCCCUAUAAUCAUUACCAAUACCUACUAAUCGAAUACUACAUCCUAACUCACCAAAGCCACAUGCCACCAUUACGAAUUCACAAUAGGCAAGAAGCCCUUAACAUUUAGCAGGAAGAGAGAGAGAGAGAGAGAGAGAGAGAGAGAGAGAGAACNNNNNNNNNNNNNNNNNNNNGGAGGAGGAGGCGCGGUGCUUGUUGCUGCUGCUUCGUUUGGAAGAUUGGGGUUGCCUCGUAGCCGGUUGUAGUUCGUGAGGAGGAAGUGGAGGAGGAAGCGGGCGCCGAGGAGGAAUCGGGCGGUGAGAUGCCGAGGCGGAGGAAGCGGGCGGUGGAGGAGUUCGAAAGAGAGACUGAGAGAGUGAGGAGGAAGAGACUGGAGAGAGUGAGGAGGAAGAGUUGGAGACUGAAGAGAGUGAAAGAGAUGAGAGACUGAGAGAGUGAGAGAGUGAACGAGAGUUGGUAUUAAGGUUAAAAAUGAAAGGUUGAAAUCAAAACAUCUAAAAAAUUUAAUGGCUGAGAUUACUUUAUAUUUUACACGGGACGGGACGGGCCUGACGGGCCUUAACUUUUCAGUCCCGCGUCCCGUUCCGUUGUUUUUCUACGGGACGGGCCUAGUGUUUUUAAACAUAGAUCUCGUCCCAUCUCGUCAAAUUUUGGGAUGGGACCGGGAUUUAGGUUUUUUAUGCCCACCCCUAGUUUUCAAUCAAUCUUAAUUACCGAGUACAGAAUAAACAUCAAACCCAUAUUGAAUCCAAGCUAUAAAUACCUUCAAGUGAACAAAUUCGAGUUCAAUAGACCCAGUUCAGAUUUUGACCAAGAACAAUAAAUCCCAAAAACAAAGCAAUUCAGACACUGAAACGAACAGGGGAAAAAUCACAUUACAAUAAACUAAUGGUUCAAAAAAAAUCACACCCAAAACAGGACCAACUAGAACACAAAAACCAGAAACACUAACAGACAUGAAAAACUCAUAUCAAUAUUACAAUCCUCUUCUCCUGGAGGUUACAAAGCAUCUAAUUUGAUAAUACUCAGAACAAUCAAUACAAAACAGGGUAAGCCACAGCACUCAAUACUAAUAUCAAUACUAAAAAAACGCAGAAGUAAAAAUUCACACCAAAGAUUACAAAAAGUAAACUAACAUAUAAUUUAUGACGAAAUUUCUAUUACUCCAAUAAACUAUAGAUAGCUGAGUUCAGUAAACAUUACCAAUACCACACAUGAUUCUGUUAACCCAAUCCUAAAUCCUAACCCACCACAGCCACCAUUACCAAUUCACAACAAAACACACAUGGAAGCCCUUAACAUGCAGUAAAGAAAAUAGAGAGCUUAAACCCUAAUGAGUAAAAAGAGUACCUUUUGGGCAGUAAUGAGAGAGAAUCAAACAACCGAAGAGAGGAGGAGAAGAAGAAGAAGAAAAAGGAGGCGGAAGGCUGCUGAGUGGGUUAUGGAGACUGUUAUGACGACUGUGAUAGAGCCACUCACUCUUUUGUUUGCCCAAAACGCCCUUUUUAUCUGGUUUUCCUUUUAAAGACUAUUUUUAUUUUUUUGGAAAAUAGUCCAAAUACAGAAGAUCAUUCCUUAAAUAUGCUGGCUUGGGAAUUUUGUCUUCAAUGGGGAAGAGGAAUGUUACAAAUCAAAAAUAGUUUCUAAAAUUUAGGAGAUAAUUUUGAAUUUGCGAUCAGACUCAAUAUAAUCAAAGGAUCGAAAAGUGUAUUCAGUCUCGAUACAUUUGGUCAAAAUCAUAUGAACAAUGUAUCUAAUAAACACAAACACGUUAUAGAGAAAAUAGAUAGAAUGUUUUGACUUUAUAGAGUUAGACAAAAAUAUCAGUUACACAAAUAGAAUUUGUACAUUGUUGAUAUCAUAGAUUUGAAUAAUUUUGAUAUAUUUUGUUAUGUUGAUACGUAUAUUUUUUUAUGAACAUAAAUUUAUAUAAAAAUUCAACUUUUAUAAUCUGAAAAGAAAUCUAUAAGGAUAAAAUAGGAAGGAAAGACAGAAUCAAACUAAAAAAGUUGGAUGCUAAACAAACAUUAGUACUUUUUCAGACUUGUGGUGUUCAGAUUUUCCAUUUUGUAUCAAUAGCUUUGAUAUCUUUUCAAAUGACGAAAAUGCCUAUAAUCAGGUAAUUGACAAUCCCAACUCCCAAGUGACCCAAUCAACCCUAACCUUUUGGGAGAAUACCCAAAGUCUUCUCUCUCUCACUGCUUCGAUUUCCCUCUGCUGCUCUUGAUCGCCUGCUUCUUCUUCUUCUUCUUCAGGUGAGCUGCACACCCAAUUCUCUGACGUCACCCUCGAACAUAUAUUUAACACUGACUGUGUAUUGCUCUCUUCUUGAUUCAAAUCUCAAAGCUGUAGAUCCUUAGAUUCACACCCAAAGUUUGUUUUCAUGUAUAAUUUGUUGUUAUUAUCUCAAGUUGUGGUUAAUUUCCAGCUCAAAUGCUUCAAAUUUUCACUUCUAUAUGAUUCACUGUGUUAAAAGCUGUCAACUUUAAACUGUGUUUACUGCAAUUUGUAUGAGCUUUAAAUGGCAUCAUUUGGAAUUUUACAGACUUCGUCAUGACAAUGUACAUUUCGGAGUUUUGAGUUAGAUGGAGAAGUUUAUUGUUACAUUCGAUAUAAAUUGCGAAGAAGGGUGGUUGUGAACUGUGAUUGUUUUGGUUUGGUUUUCGCCUUUUUGGAUUUGCCCACAUGGAGGAGGAUGAGGAGGAGACAUUUUUUGUUGGUCAGGAGUUCCCUGAUGUCAAGGUCUUUAGGAAUGCGAUUAAAGAAGCAGCAAUUGCACAGCACUUUGAGCUUCGUAUAAUAAAGAGUGAUCUUAUCCGCUACUUUGCCAAGUGUGCUGCUGAGGCUUGUCCUUGGCGCAUUCGUGCUGUGAAGCUUCCUAAUGCCCCGACAUUUGCGAUAAGAAGUCUGGAAGGGAAGCACACUUGUGGUAGAAAUGCACUCAAUGGGCACCAUCAGGCGUCUAUUGAUUGGAUAGUCAGUUUUAUUGAGCAACGUCUGCGGGAUAACAUUAAUUACAAGCCAAAGGAUAUAUUGCAUGAUAUCCAUCAGCAAUAUGGGAUUACCAUACCAUAUAAGCAGGCUUGGCGUGCAAAGGAACGGGGACUUGCUGCGAUAUAUGGAUCUUCCGAGGAAGGGUAUUGCCUUCUUCCUUUGUACUGUGAUGAAAUAAAGAAGACCAACCGUGGUAGCAUUGCUGAGGUGUUUACUACUGGUCCAGAUCACCGGUUCCAGCGAUUAUUUGUUUCCUUUUAUUCAUCCAUUUAUGGAUUUCUGAAUGGUUGUUUGCCCGUUAUUGGGCUUGGUGGAAUCCAUCUUAAGAGCAAAUAUCUGGGUACUUUACUUUCUGCAACUUCUUUCGAUGCUGAGGGGGCUUUAUUUCCACUUGCAUUCGGUGUUGUUGAUGAAGAAAAUGAUGAGAGCUGGAUGUGGUUCUUGUCAGAGUUGCACAAGGCACUAGAGAUGAACACCCCAGAUAUGCCACAGUUCACAUUUAUAUCGGAGACACAGAAGGGCAUUGCAGAUGCAGUGAGAAGGAAAUUCCCACAUUCUGUACAUGAUAUUUGCAUUCGCCACUUGAGUGAAAGCAUUGGAAAAGAAUUCAAGAACCCAAGGCUCGUACAUCUGUUAUGGAAAGCUGCACAAGCCACUACUACCAUUGGUUUCAAAGAAAAAAUGGCUGAAAUAGAGGAGGUAUCUUUGGAUGCUGCAAAAUGGCUACAACAAUUUCAUCCUUCCCGCUGGGCAUUCAUGUAUUUUGAAGGAACUCGUUAUGGUCAUUUCUCAUCAAAUAUUGAGGAGUUCAAUAAAUGGAUUCUGGAAGCUCGUGAACUGCCUGUAAUUCAGGUGAUUGAGAGGAUUCAUGGUAAAUUGAUGACAGAGUUUGAAGAACGGCGGAAGCAAAGUAAUUCUUGGUUUUCCUUCCUUGCUCCAUCUGCUGAGAACUAUAUUUUAGAAGCCAUCAGCCGUGCAUCCACAUAUCAGGUCCUUCGAUCAGAUCAAGUUGAAUUUGAGAUCCUCUCAGCUGAUCGAUCAGACAUUGUGAAUAUUGGAACCCGUUGUUGUUCCUGCCGCGAUUGGCAGCUAUAUGGUUUACCAUGUUCCCAUGCUGUUGCUGCCCUCAUCUCAUGUCGGAAAGAUGUAUAUGCCUUUACAGAGAGAUGUUUUACUGCAGCAAGUUACCGUGAGACGUAUGCUGGAGCGAUAAAUCCUAUUGAAGCAAAACCUCGAUGGGUAAAGACAGAAGAGGCUGCAAUGACUGAUGAUGAUGAUACUCGAGUUUUUGUACGACCCCCAAAGAUUCGUAGACUGCCAGGGCGCCCCGAAAAGAAACGGAUUUGUGUAGAGGACAUUAAUCCAGGCAAACAUACUGUACGUUGCAGUCUGUGUAACCAAACUGGACAUUAUAAGACAACCUGCAAAGAGAGAUUGUGAAGAGCAGUGAACAGAUCUAAGUGCCUAACUUCGUAUUCUAGAGAUGGCCGCAGUUUGUACUGUUACUUUAGUGUAUAAUACUGUUCCUGCAAUUAUGCCAAACUAGUUAUUCAGGUCUUGUAAAAUAGGAAUUUCCGGUUUUACCAGUAGGUGCUUUGUAAAUUGUUCACUGUUAACGCUGAGGUACUUAGAAGCACACAUUCUGAUUUGGUCAUUGUGAUUCCGAAUCUUCCCUCUUUUUGUUUAUCAAGAGGCAUUAGAAGCUAAUCCCUCGUAGUAUCUUCUCUCUGGAACUGAAUCGGUUUACUAGAUUGGGGUGGUGUGUCCGUGUGUGUGAUUCACUAACUGCAGAAUCUCCACUAGUGAUCUUAGUUCAUUCUUUCCGCUCAGGAAAAAUUCAAAUGAAACCAGUGAAGUGAAACUGAUGGAACAAGUGGUCGUUGCCAAAUUAACUGAAAUGUUUUAAAUCCACCAUUUUGCAGUAAGAAUGUAUGGAACAAUGUGCCCGUGGAGUGUGGAUCACUAUAACAGAUGUUCUGUUUACAACUUUUGUCAUCUUUAACAUACUAACUUCAGCAUUGGCCUCCAUGGAAAUUCUGAGAUAGCAAAAUAUAUUGUGAUUAUUGAACAGGAGUCGAUUCACAACUGAUUUGCAGGCCAAGAAAGAUCAACAACUUUAUUUAGGUAAAAUUAUACUAUUCUAGCAAACAGAAUCAAAGCUUCUGAUCCUUAGAAAUGUUACAGCAAUUAAGUGUGUAACACAUGAAAACAAGGCUGAUCGAAUCAUUUUCACAACAGCUAAAAUCUCCAUAAUUCAUAAACUAAAGCCGACAAACUGAAUAAGGAAUUGGAACGUGCUAAAAUAUUUAGCAUAGAACGGAAAUGGGAGGCAAAUAGGUUCAACUAGCAUGCAGCAGAAACUGGUCUACAAUUCAGAUCCCCAGUCCUCACUUGUAUAAUUGCUUGAAUCUUUUGCAUGCUUCUAAUAUAUUUUCCCUGUGUCCAAAGGCACUGACCCUGAUGAAACCUUCACCACCAGGUCCAAAGCCACUUCCAGGUGUGGUUACCACAUGAGUCUUCUCAAGGAUCUCAGCAAACACAUCCCAGGAGCUUUGUCCGGGGAAGUGAACCCACACAUAUGGAGCAUUCGUCCCUCCAUACACGUUAAAGCCAAGAGAGUUAAAUGUCUCCAUUAUGAUCUUAGUAUUUUCUUUGUAGAAAUUUAUCACACCGUGCAUAGCCUACAAGGAGUUGAAAACAAGGAGUUGAAAACAAAUAACAUAAGUAAAGAAACAAUAAUUAGACCUUAAAUGUGAAUUCCAGAUUCAAAACUGUAGGAAAACAAUCAAGAAACAGUAAUUAGACCUUAAGACCCUCUGGUUGAAGGCAAGCCAGACCACCAGCUUGGACAAUAGUGGAUGCACCAUUGAAGCAAGUACAAACAAUGCGGUUGAAAUCCUUGGCAACUGGAAAACCAUCUGAAUACUGCAACUGCUUUGGAACCACAGUCCACCCCAAACGAACUCCAGUGAAUCCGGCAUACUUACUAAAUGAUGAUGUCUCAAGUGCAACCUUGAAUGCCCAUAAAGAAGCAACAUUGUUAGAUCUAGGAUAUUGAUAAAUAUAACAUUCAAAAGGAGGUUUUAAAAAACAUGAGUACACAGGCCAAAACACAUCAAAAAAUGUACAGCUCUCAACAAAACAAUACCUUUAACAAUUUUAUUAUCAACACGGGUAAAGAUAAAGUUUGUAGUAAGAUGAUCACGAGCCUUAGAGUAGCAAAUUACUGAUUGCAAACUUACAUCUUUAGCUCCAGGGAUUUCAAAGAUGGAGCGUGGAUUAUCAUCUGACAUAUACAUGGCAUAUGCAGAAUCAUAGACUAUGAUUGAACCAUUAUCCUUGGCAAACUUUACAAGUUGUGUCAGUUGCUCCCUUGUUGCAGCAGAACCAGUAGGAUUGUUUGGUGAACAGAAAAAUAUGAUAUCUGUUCGCUUAGUAGAGGACAGAUCAGGAAAAAAUCCAUUAUCGGGAGUACACCUCAUGUACUCGAUGUUUCCAAACUUCUCAACAGAUUUCUGAUACUGUCCUGUCUGGCCCAUAAUAACACUUGAAUCUACAUAAGCCUGCAUACACGAAAAAAAAUCCCCUCAAAACUAGACACAAGUCUUUCCAAAUAUUUUCUUUUAGCAGAAGGAAUACUUAGGUGUGUGUGUGUGUGUGUGUGUGUGUGAGAGAGAGAGAGAGAGAGAGAGAGAGAGACGAAGAGUAUAGUAGAGAUGGACAUGAGAGACGAUUUACAGAUCUUAAAGCACAAAAACAAAAGUUACCGGAUACGAUGGAUCUUGCACUGCUAUUGUUUUAUCCGCCCCAAAAAGAACCUGCCACAAAGUAAAGAAACAACAAAGCCCUCAAAUUGUUAGUUAUUCUCUAUAUAUCAAUCAAUCAAACUAACAAAAAAAACAGUGAAACAAAACAAAUACAAAUUUUAUGAUAGUUAUGCAAACCUGAAGGCGGGAUAUGUCACAUUUUGCCCCAUCAGAAACAAAUAUGUCAUCUUCCUCUAUGCCAAGGUCGCCAUAAAACGUUUUAGCAAUUGCAACUCUCAGUGGCUGCACACAUUAAUGACACAGGUAAGUCUUGAUUAUCAGUUUAUCACACACGUUACUUAAUCCUGAUCAUUGUAGAAUCACUGCUCAAGGAAAUGAAUAACAGAUGUUAGAAAGGAAUUAUAAAUGAAGGAAAAAAAAAUCUUGACAGUCUCUAGUUUGGACUGAAAAAAAAAAUGAAAAAAAAAAGAAGAAGAAGAAUAUCUAUCUGAGUGAGUAGAAAUUGAGAAUGAGGUUUUCAAAUAUAACUUACUCAAAUAGAUACAUCAAUGUAUCAACAUUAACAGCAGAAAGUAAAUCUCAAUUCUGCAUAAAAAGAAUUACACUAGAAAUUUCAAUCCAAAUCUCACGUAUAUUUUACCCAAGUGAAACCUCAAAUCUGAUUUUCGAGCAUGACAAUUGGUAGUAUAGAUAGGACAUAUUUUGCACAGAUGAAGUAUCAAUUGAAACUUUGUAAAUGCCUAAAUGGAAAAUAAAUAUAAGAAGGCCAAGUACCUUUUCACCUUGUUCAGGUCCAUAACCACUGUAACCCUCUAGGGUGGACAUGGCAAGUGCUCUCUGCCAAAUAAACAAUACAUAUUUUAAACAGUAAGUCUAUGUAUUGGUUGCUUCAUUUUCCUUUAAUGCUACAAACUCCAGACUAGUAAGAUUUCACUUCUGUACAUGCAAUCAAAACAAAACAAACUGUUUUUCCCCACUGAAUAUAGUAUCUUCCGUUGGUUCAAGGCUGGCAUUUCAGACAUUCAAAUUCGAAACAAGCCACAUUCAUAUUGAUCAGUAGCAAAGCGCCAUUAACCAUGAGAGCCGAGAAGUACCUUUGCCAUUGCAGAGGUUAUAUAUUCUGGAAUUGGCUCGGUAGUAUCUCCAAUUCCAAGUGGAAUUAUCUUCGCAUCAGGGUGCUUCUGCAAGUGCGCAUUCCUCCUCCUCGCAAUCUAAAAACACACAAAAACACGAAAAAUCUCAUAUCAAAAACUCAAUCACAAACAGCAUUGCAACAUACUCGAAACACUUGCAAACUCAAUCCUAUUCUUUUUACUACAGUAAACAAAAAAAAGGUUAUGCUAGCGGAAACAAAUUACAGACCUCUGGAAAAAGAUAACCGGCUUGAAGCUUGGCCAUGUUGGCAUUGCGAUUCACCUGAGUCUUGUACUCUGUCACAUUACAACACAUACACAAUCAGAGACUUCAUUUCUCUAAAAAAAUAUAAAAAAAUAACGAUUCGAAGAAGCACCGACCUGUCUUCUCCGGAGCGGCGACGCAUUUGCAGACGCCGACGGUUUUGGCGGGAACCGCGACGGUCUGCGCCCUGCGAAACAGUGACGUAUGUUUAGCAGCUAAAUUAGAAAAAAAAAAAAAAAAAAAUUGAAAAGGUGCGGUGGCGGAGUUGAACCUGGAGGUCCUGGACUUGAAAUCCAAGGCGGUCUGAGCGAAGAAGGCCGACGAAGACGACGCGAUUGAAGCUUGACUCAGUGCCAUUGUUGUGGUUCGAGACGGCGCUGCUAACACUUUUAUAUCAGCUUUUCUGUUACAGUGGGGUGUGAGACUGGUACUCAAAACGCAGCGUUUCGAUUGGGAUUUAUGUUUUGAAGGAAGCGGAGGGUAUUUUUGUCCGAGAACAAAAUACUUGGGUGACACGUGGCUAUUGGUUUUUUAAAGAAGAAAGGGAGAGAGAGGAAGAAUUUGACUCUCUCUAUUUCUCUCUGUGGCUCUCGUCGCCGCCAGAAGAAGCAAUCGGAGAUUACAGGGUACGACACCGUUUCGACGCCGAGCCGACUCAGCCGCCGUUGCUAAGUCUUCUUAAUUUUUUCUUUUUUUGAAAAUUACAUAUUUUGAGGUAAAGGAAUGGAUUUUCAGAUUGACGCAAAAUUGGGUCUUUAAUUGUUACUGUUGAUUUUCUGUGAUUUUGAUUGGGUUUUGUUGGUUUUGAGUAUGAAAUUUUGUAAAUUUGAAACAUUUGAGGGAAUUUGGUUCUAAAUGGAUGUGUUCAUUCUAUUAAGUUCUGGAUUAAGAUGCUACUCUAUAUUUUUUUAUAUAUAAUAAUUUGAUUAAUGAUAGUGUUAUAUUGCUCUACUGCACUAAAGGAAGAAUUGUUAUGCAUCAGGUUGAGGACAAGUGAAAUCAAGCUUGACGCUUGCGAGGGAGCAGAAGAGAUUAUAUAAGGUGAUUUACUUUUGUCUGUGUCUUCAGUUUGGAUCAUAGAGAUGUUUUAAUAUAUAGUUGAUAGUGCCUGAUUUGCAGUUAGAAAAUACCAAGUUUAUAACUAAGGCUAAUACAAAGCAUUGGAAUAACUAAUACACGGUACUUAUGCAAGGGAUGAGAUGGCAUUAGAAAGGUUACAAAGUUUAUGAUAUCAUAUGCCCUCCUAUGAGUAUAGUAGUGUCGCAUUACAUUCCAUUAUUGCUUCUGUUUCCAAACAACUGAAAAUACAGAUCAGACUCAAUAUCCUGAACAUGCGAUGUUUGCUGUUACCGCUCUUGGUAAUAUUAGCAGUCUGGAUGACCUUGUUGGUCAAGUAUUUUCUGUUUCAUUUACCCGGUUAUCGUCCUAAGGUGGUGCUUAGAUGCUUCUUUUCUGUUUGUCCCAAUUCUCCAUCUACAAAGGGCGCUGUUUCUAACUGUUUAGAUCAAAAGUCUGAUUAAAAAUCUGAAAAAAGUUGUUACCAAACAUGCUGUGCUAUUUGGCUAUAUUGUGAAAGGGUUGUGGAAUUGACUGUCUCGGUUGGCUGUCUCGGUUGGUUGGCCUGAUUUUCAGUUUUUUUUUUUUUGCCUUGUUUCUGUCUUGUUUUUCCCCCUUCUUAUGUUAAAAUGGUUCUGUUAAUUCAGACGAUCCUGAAGUUUCACAACAUUUGUUAUAUAGAAAAAUACCCUUUUUACUGUAUGAUUUAAAUGCUUUCUUCGUUUUUCUACUUUUCACAGGAAGUUGUUUGCCCUGGUCAGAUGGAUCUUGAGACAGAGAACAGAAUAGCUGCGAUUCUUAUGAGAGAAGCAGCAGAAUUGCGGCGCCAAGCUGAGAAGGAAGGUGUCCAUGCGUAUCUUCAACAACCUAAAGCAAGAUUUAAGCCAAAUUCACGGUUCCUCAGUGCUACUGUUCGUGGUGUUGAACAAGGUCUGUUCUGAUUGCCAUAUCAGUUCUUUCAUCAUCUUUACAUGCCCAAUUUAAACACUAUGCUAGUACCUUUUGAUUGCGUUUAAUUGAAUCAAGUCACUUUUGUUAUUAGAGAUACUGUACAUGAUGAGCACAUAGUGAUUUUAUUAGUAUACGCAAAGUUCUAUGAUGCAAUAAACCUACUGCCUAGAUACCUGGAUCAACAAGCUCUAAGGCUUAGGGUCUUAAACACACACAAAACACUUUUAUUUGGGAAUCACUCCCUGGUUUGAAACCAAAUCUAGGCUUCUCACCCAAAACUAGGCUUCACGCCAAUCCCAUCACAGGAAAACUCAGAAACAUUCUUAAGAUGCCUGGGCAUUAGGCCCUUACACUUAUUUGUACUUGAGCAGAUAGCCCACAUUAACAGCAUCAAAGACUCUUCUAAAACUGAAACAUUAAAGACUCAAUAGAAGACCUUAAAACUUCUAAACUGCAAUUAAAAUAUGAAAAGACAGCAGCAGCUUAGAGACUUCUAGAAUCAGCUUGGUGUUUCCCCCAAGCUGGGAAAAUUAUAUCAAGAGCAACUAAUCAAACCAUACGGAAAAGGGAUGAUUAGGUGCUUUCUUUUUCCUGUUUUUUCCUCUCAUAAACCUUGAAAGGUUUGGCUGUGAUGUCCUCAUCAUUCUAUUUAUCAUUUUUCAGUAUAGUACAGUUAGUUGUAGUAGACUAUCCAAUAUUGUUGGUUUCAGAUCAAUUUUGAUUCUCUUUUGAUAUAAAUUUUGAUUCCCUUUUGUUUGUUUAGCAAAUAAAGCUGUGGAAGUGAAUGAAAUGUGGCGAAUCCGGCAGAAAGAGCUUGAAUUGGAUGAAAGGCUUAAAGGCAAGAUGAAGGAUCCAAGCAGAAGUGACAGGAAUCCUGGAAAUGGUAACACUGCUAGAAGCGAUAGUAAGAGGCACGCUGCUAUGGAUGAUUAUGCUAGUGCUACUUGUUCAUCAAGUCAAAGAGUAGAUGAGAGAUGUCAUUCAAGGGAAGAGAGUGGAUUAAGAGACAAAGAACUUGAAGAAUUCUUACAUUCAAGGUAAUAAAUUAAAAGACUCUUGUUUUGUGUUGUGUGCAUGCAUGUUGGUAUCUGAUCAUGUCUGCUGUUGCAGUACUACAGAGUACAUGAUGGAUACUAGUUGACGUGAACUUUUUGCUAUGGCAGGGUCAAGCGUGGCAGAGGUGCUGUUGGGUCGAGGAUGGAUGAAACAGGUCCAUAUCUACCACGUUCACAUUCUGAGGAACAGGUAGCCGGUCCCAGUCUACUAGAACGUCGUGUUUAUGGACCAAAGAAGCCUUCAAAGAAGUUAUGUGAUUCUUCUGAAGAGGAGCUUGACAACAGGAAGAGAUCGAAAAAGGUUUCUUCUGGGAGCUCAAAGAAACAUAAAUCCAAGGAUAAGUCUAAAGAGCGGAAAAAAAGAAAGAGGAAAGAAGAGAAAAGAAGUAAAUAUCAUGAUUAAAAAGUGCUGUGUACCACUGCAUGUUUUAGAUGGGUCACAACAUGACGUUUCUUAAAGGUUCAUCCUAGUUUGUACAGAGGUGAUCUGAGUCGGCUUUCAACUCUAGAAUGUGGCAGGCUGUGGAACACAGAAGAGGAGACGAGUAAAUGUUUUUCCUGCCUGACUUUAACCUGUCUGGUUUUCAAGGAAUAUCAGAUAUCAGUGGGCUGAAGAAAUGUGAAUAUUCCGGGAAUUGAUGCAAGAUUACUGCUAAGGGAUCGCAUGCCAAUUGUAUCUCAUCUGGUUUAUUUUUGGCCUUCAAUUUGGAAACUGAUGUUCCUUGUCAAUGCUCUAUGACCAUCUUUCAUUUCCAUUUUUAUGGAUAUUCUAUUCAGCAGUGCUGACUUGGGAUAUUCUAUUAAGCACUUUUUAUGGAUGUUAAAUCACUUGCAUCUGUGGAAUCAUAUUCUUAAUUUUAGAUUGGGGCAAAUAGAGAGGGUCUUGCCGUACAACCCCAUAUAGAGGGAGGUGAGGGGUGGGAAGAAAGGAAUAAACUUUCAACAGAAAUUAUCAGUACCUGAAUUUUUUUCAUUAUAGAGAUGAUGCCUGAGUUUAAUUUUUUAUCGCAACCAGAAGUUCUUAAUUUGAUAUCAACUCGUAUUUCCUUGCAUUUUUCGUCAAAGAUGCAAUAAAGGAGCUUGUGUGAGGAAUCUGCAAGUCAUUUUCAUAUGUAGUUUUGGCUGAAAUAUUGUGUUAUUAAAUAGUAUUACAUUCUUUUUUUCGAUACUGUAUAGUGGUACUCUGAGUAUUGAACUGAGAAGUCUCGAGCACUCCGAAAAAUGAUUCAACUUGAGCUAAUGAAUUCUCAAAAUCGGCCCUGAGUCCCUGACAAUGAAAAAUUGAUGAAGAAGACUAAUGCAUUAAGUGGGUGAAAAAAAAAAAAAAAAUUAAUCUCCAAACCGGUUUCGAUCAUGCUUGUAUCAGUUGUAUGGGGUAGAGGAACAUGCAAAUUUCAUAUUUAUAUGAAUCACAAAAUGCUUAUGAAUAUAAAAAAAAUCUUACGAGUAAUUUAUUGUUGCGCAACGACUAUAUAUAUAGACUCACACACGCAUUAUUGAUCUGUUAUAUGUUUGCAAUCUAUUGUAGUUAAAAUUGCUACAAAUCUAUCAUCUAUGGUUCCCUGAGAAUGAAUGAGAAAGUCGUAAUUACGACUUACGAGUAUAUAUACAAUAUAUUGUGAGAUAUUGGUAGAAGCUAAGUAAGAUUAUGGAAAACUUUAGCAUAAUUAAUUACGAAAAAUAUUGAUAGUUUAGAAUUUAAAACGUCUUUUAGAAAAUAAAUUUUAUGUAAAACACGACAUUUUCAAUUAAUAAUCAUAUCGUUAUUUAGUUCUAGAAGAGAUACAUGACCGGUCUCAAUUGUUACUGUUCUUACCUUGUAGAUUGUAAUUGUGGUUGUCUUUCUUUGGUGUUCUUCUCCAUGAAAUUUAUAAUCAUAGAAACUUCUUCAAUUGUACUGCUUAAGAAGAAUGAGAUAGAGAAAUACUAUAUUGAUAUAAACUCAAUGUUCCAUUAUUGUAUCUUAGUUAAUACAUGCAAUUCCUACUGGUAUUCAGUUUUGUCGGCCAUAAAUUAACAUUCAAAAUGAACUUGAGUUUCCUCAAAUAAAGAGAAUGCAAGUCCUAAACCAAUAUCCAUGUUUCACAUGUAUAUUAACCUUACAAUGACAUUGUAGUGUUAGUUUCUUACCUAAAUACUGCAGGCUACAUUGCAUCUCAACAAUAGUUCGUUUUCGUUAGUUACCUCACAACAAUUCAUAUAAUGAGCACCUAUAUAUGUUUGCCCGCGGGUGCUUGAUGAUUGACUAAUGGUUACAUUUGGCUUCUGGCAUUGAGGAAUUAGAUUGAGUAAUUCCCAAUUGUGAUUUAUGGCCUCACUGUCAAGUGUUUCUCGAUCUGUUCCAGUUUCACUAAAUUACCAACAUUGUACAACUGAUAUCAAAGUUUACAGGUCUAUUGAUGCUAAUGUUCCGUUUCGUUUGGACGUCGGACAAUGAUGAGAGGGCUCGUGCUGCAUAUUGAUCGAGCAAAAUAAUAUUAACGGGUGCCAUACAAAGGAACAAGUGAAAGAGCUUUCUGUGUUGGGAGCAAGUGAACAUUGUUAAGAUGAAGAAAGAUGUAUCAGCUGAUGCAGUAUCAUUUGAGAUCAUGCAGUACAGUUGAUGUACACCAUAGUCAUAGUCUAAGAAAUUGAAACAGUCUCCUGACAUUCCCAAUUCCGUCCAAGUGGAAGUCCUUACAGUCAUGAGUAGACUGUGCCGGAACGGUGUGCUUGUGUAAACAUUUGGUAAUUCGACACAAGCAGACUGAAAUUACCAACCGAUAUAUAUCAGAAUUUCAUGCCUCCAAAAUUUAACUUCUGCCAAAUUUAAGCUUAGUGAUGAUGUCCCAUGUUCUCUUCUCUCUCUGUACUAAGCCUGGAGAAAAUUUUCCAUUCACCUCAACACAUAAAAGUUGGUGAUAUACUAUGGUACUAACAAAUGGCACAUCACUUCCAUGGCUUUAGGCAAGUUCCAGUAUUGCACCUGAUUAUCUAUUUUAGAACCUAGGGGCAAACAAAUAUAACGAAUAUUGUGUGUUUCAUAUGUACUACAAGACACUGCUUCCUAGAGAGACUGGUGUUAUGACUCCUCGUAUUGAUGAUCAGUUUCAUCAAAUAUUUCCUCCUGCAAAAUAAUGUACAGUUGAUGUCAGUAAAUCAAGAAGCAAAGGCUUUGUAUUAGAAACUCUUGAAGAAAAUCUGAAACAUAGCUCAAGCAGUCAAGCAUGAUAGUUGGUACCUGUAAAAGCUCUUCAAUGACGUCUUCCAUUGUUAUAAUGCCAACAGCCACUUCCUCUUCGGGGAGCCUCGGGAGUGCUUCAUCAUCUAUCUGAAGGAUGUCUGAAUACAUCUCCUUUGACCAUUUCUUGCUUCUAGACCCGCUUUUGAAAGAAGUAUGCCCACUGUUAGGGAAACUCUUCCAUUUAUUCAGUGAUCUUUUGCUCUUCAAAGUCUUCUCCUGAAGAGGCUUUUCACCAUCAAUGUCCACUCUCACUUCUUUCACUGGACCUGUUGAAACAGGCAAAGAUUGGUUAAAGAGGUAGAAGCAGCAGAUGGAGAUAUAUUUUGUAUGGAACUUUUUCAAGGCAUUUUAGAAAGGGAACUUACUGUCAGCUGUAUUGCCAUCAGGUUGCUCCGCAGUAUUGCACCGUCUUACAACAAUAGCCAUGUGACUGUGACCUUUCUGAAAUUCAUUCAGUAUGUCAUACAAGGGCAAUGUUUCUUGAACCCUAUCAAACAAAUAGGAGUGAGAAAUUAGAUCAUCAGUAAUGUUAUAGUUGAUACCUUGACAUGUAAUGCAACCUUCAACUAACAUCAAUAGAAAAGUACCUUGGAAUCUUGCGUAUAGUCACAUUCUUUACAGGUGUUUCAUCUUCUGGAUGAACAGUCAACAAAUUUUUGACCUGAGAUUUGAAGUUAAGACGUAAUGUCAACAACCAAUAAAUACAAGACCAAUCAGAAAGCUAAAACAAAAUUGUAUUUGUGAAUAGCAUUCACAAAUAAAACCCACAUUAUCUUUAACCUGAUUCUUUACAAAAGCUGUUCAGAAGUGGCGUACCACCCUUCUUUUCAACAAUAUAUGUUACUAAAACUGUACUCACAUGUUUAAGAUUCAAAGUUGAUGAAGGCAUACUUUAAGCCAAGUCUAAUGACUUAGAUCGGUAAGUAACAAAAGAAAAGGACAUGCUAAAGACAGCAGUUCAGGAAAUAAAAAUCUUAAAAUAACCAUGCCAAAACAAAAUUGUAUUUUGUAUUCACAAAUAAACCCACAUUAUCUUUAACCCAAUUCUUUACAAAAUCUGCUCAGAAGUGUCAUACCACCCUUCUUCUCAACAAUAUCUGUUACUAUAACUGUAUUUACUCACAUAUUUAAGAUUCAAAGUUGAUGAAGACAUACUUUGAGCCCAGUAUAAUGACUUAGAUCGGUAAGUAACAAAAGAAAAGGACAUACAAAAGAAAAGGACAUGCUAAUGACAGCAGUUCAGGAAAUAAGAAUUUUAAUUUUAAAAUAACGAUGCCAGAUUCUACGAUGAAUAAGAAAUUUAUUCCCUUUAUGAAGUAAAGAAGAGUUCAGAUAUUUGAGAUGCAGUUAAAAGCGUUAAGAAAUUACCAGAACAAGUCCAAUUAUGUUUGUGGGCUCCUCAUAGUACACUGGCACUCUACUAUGCCCUUUCUCCAUUAUCAAAUUCAUCAGAUUCCUGUGUGAAAGUUCAAUGAGCAGCAUUCAGGAAUUAGGAUUACAGAUCCAAAACAUCAGUUAUUCAAAUAAACAGGUGGUUCUCUGCCCAAAAUAAACCUGUCAAGCUUGUCAUUGAUAUCAAUUGCAAAAGUUUCAGCUAUAGGCGUCAUGGCAUCACUAGCAGUUUUCUCACUGAGCUCAAGGGCUCCAGCAAUAAUGGUGGUCUCAUCAUGUGUCAAUUCUCCACCUUUCCCAGCCUAGAAAAGAUAUCACAAAUCAUUAUAGAGCAGCUGUUAUAGCAUAAAAAUAAUAAAAAUUCCAAAUGAAAAAGGUUGAGAGAGCAAAGGAGAUAAAGGUUGGAUUGACAAAGAAAUGGUAUGAGAGCUAUUAGACACACCUCAUUGCCAUGAAAAUCUACAAGUGUUUUUAACUCUGCUCUGCGAAACAGAGCUACAUGUCCGUGGCCAAGAAGAUAGUCCAAUAACUGGAAAGCACAUAGAACAUACAGUAGUCAGAGAAAAUAUUUGAAUAUCAAGCAAUUGCGUUCCCCUCCUACCACUGGCAUAUAAAUGCAAAGAAAGAGUGUUUAUAACCAUGUCACACCUUGCUAAUUGGAUAUGCAAUAGGAAAGCAGACCCACAGAAGAACACGGACAAAUGGAGUCACUGCUGCACCUAUCGCCAAACCAUAUCGGGUACAGAUAGAUUGUGGUAUAAUCUGCUCAAAGUGGUAAGUAGAAUUUAGUGACACACCAUAAAAUCACACACUCUCAUACACACCAUGUUUGACAUCAUAACAAUUUGAAGAAUAUAUGUGAGGGUAUUAUCAAAUAGCCAGACUGAAAGUAACAUCAUGGUAAGGCCAUGGAUCUAUCGAUUCAACUGGUCCAUAUCCGUGAGCUGCUUAGUUAACUUUGAUGAACUAAUUUGUUAAAACCAUCCACACAUGACUCAGACUUACAAACUCCUAAGUGAUUGUGAAUCCAGCUCAAGACAACUUACCUCUCCAAACAGAAGAAUCAGUGUCACCGAAAUUAGGAUUGCACCCCAAGCCGUCACCAGACCAUCCAGAAAAAUGGGAAGUGCCUGGCACGAAAGAACAAACAUAUCAAUAUCAACUUUUGAUCUCAAGUGAAAAAAAAAAAAUGUUUUUCUUCUAUCCAAAAUAAACAUCAAUAACAUUCACCUCCAUUGCAGCAGCAUUGCAAAUCAGCAGGGUGCAAAGCAACAGAUGCUGCUUUCUGACAACUGGCAAGAUCUUUUCUGCAAUCAGCAACGAAAAACACACACGAAAACACACAAAUGAUCAGUUACAAGAACAACACAAAUCAAAAUCACGCAGCACUAGUAAAACCAUAAUCUUCUAUCACAAAGCUCAAGUCCUUGCACAAAUCCUCUCUUUUUCCAUCGUAAGCACUACCUUAACUCCACAUCUUCCAUCUCAAAAACUCAGGAAAUUAAAUAAAGAAUAAUAAUCACAGAUGAAACCUCAUCAUCAAAAUCUUGCCAAAUCACAAUUCACUCAAAUAAAGAAGUCUGAUUACAUUUCAACCAAACACAGCCACCAACUAUUACUUUUACCUACACAAAUCACAACAAUUUUGGAAAUUUCUUGAACUUUCUUUAAUCCAAAAUCAUGAACUCUUUUUUUAAUCCAAAAUAGCCAAUAAAACUCGAAUUAAAUCUCACAAAUUUAGGUCCUCUGAUCAUCUUCCAUUACUAUUUUGAUCACAUUUUCCAGAGCAAAACCAAAAAGAAGUCUCAAUUUCAAAACCAGACGCAGUCAAAAGAAUCAAAACCAUACCGGCGUGCUUGCGAUCCUUGGGCUUCCCAGACUUGGCCAAGACCUCAAGAUCGACGAUGCUGAGGGACAUGAGGCCCAAGGUGAGCCCAGACAUUAGCCCCGCGAACAAAACCAGAAACACGAUCACCAGUAUGUGUAUGAAGAAGGCGCUACUGCAACACUCAUACUCCACCGCCAUUCUUGAAAGCUCUCUUUUCUGCUCUCAGCUCCCAAAAUUCAAUCGCUGCUUCUCUCAACUCCGAAUUCGGAAACCGAGCGACGGCUCAGAGCUACACUUGGCAAUGGUGGAGAGAAAAGAGGAGAGAGAGAGAGAUGGAUUUUCUUCUUUUUUAUUUCUGGAGAAUGGUGGGAAGUCUGGGAAUUUAUAUCAGAGUGGAACUUGGCAAUGGCAUCACUUCUUUUUGGUUUUCUUUUGGUUGCGAUUAUUAGACGAAAAUUGACAGGGAGGUAAUGACAGUGAACGGUAACAGUCAAAACUCUUUUGUUUUCUAGUUUGUUUACUUUUCAGUUUUUACUGUUCAUCUUUCUUAUCUUCUUUUCAGACAGAAAUUACGGUUUAGGUCAAAUCAAGGAGAAAAAACAUGGUUAUCGUUUUGGUCUUUGAAUUGAUUUGAUGAAGAUAUUUUUCUUGUUAAGCGAGUGAGGUAAUAGUAUCUCCCAAAAAUAGUUAGUUAAUUUGUCGAAGAGCCAAUUGGAAGGCGAAAAAGAAUACGUGGAGUUGAGUAAGCGACGCUAGGUAGACCUUGUCAAAUUCAACACGAGUACAUGGCUGAUGAAGUGACACAGUGAAAGUUAUGAGUUAGAUCAUGUCAAACUUUACAGGAAAAUCUUAUAAACUGAAAUAGUGAUAAAUUGAUAAUAAUUGUAAAAAAAUUAAAUCAUGUUAAACAAACACAAAAACAAUUGAAUGAACACACAAUGUCUUAAUUAGUUACAUAUUUCAAAAAUCUAACCAAUUACCACAUCAACAACGUUCUCACUCCUAUUUGGGAACUCAUCAAUAUGUCAUUGUAAUUAGUUUCAGUCAUAUAUUCGUUUUAUGUGUAAGUUUUUUUUUAUACAACUUGCGUUUUAUGUGUAAGUUGUUUCGCAGUUGUUCCUCAAAGGUGAGUCUGUGAAUCAUGUAUCUCAAAAAGUUUUUGUAGCCUUCUUUGAUUGAUCAGUCAUCUCAUUUAGUUUGAUGUUUAAUUUCAUUCUGAAAAUUCAUCGUUUUAGGUGAACUACUUUUUAUAAACAGUAUCAUUUCAAGAAUUAUAAAUUAUCGAUCCUUUUAGAGAAGAGAAAAUUAACUUUACUUGAAAAUUACUUUUUUGAAAGAUAAAAUUAAUAGAAUAAUGAGAGUGAAAAGGCCUAAUCUUACAGAAUCAAAUAAGAUAAAGAGUGUUGUACGAGAGACAAGGAUAUGGUAAAUAUAAUAAUAGUACUGCUAUAACAAUCAUCGAUCAGAAGCAGAUCUUUUAAUUUGUUAUGUAUUAGUUGGUUUUAAGCUGGCUUUUGUUGUGUUGGGAGGUGACGUGUCGUGCAAAGCGCCAGUGGGUGAUAUGGAGCAUCCGAACCGAAUACCCGAAUAUGCGGGUUUGGCUGUGUCGGUUAUCGACGACCUAUCGUCAUCUUCAACCUUCUUCUUCUUCCUCAUCAUCUAUCUGUAAUUGGCGGGGUCUGAAACGAUGCUGGUUUUCUUUUGGUUAGGGCACAGUUGCAGUGUUUGCCCUACAUCAUCUGCAUCUCCAUAAUAAGUAUCGCAAAUAAUGGCCUUAUAUUAUCAAUGCUUCAAUGGGACACUGUGUUCAAUGAUGGAGGGAAGACGUAAGUCUUAACUAAUGUUAAGACCAUGACAUCGCAUGCAUGGCCUAUAGUGGAACAUCCUUUGGGGUUCUUAAUGCGUACCAUACCAUAAGAGAAUAGCUAGCUAGCUCGUCAAAUGAACAACAUUUUAAGAGUUAGGACUUAGGACUACAAACCUUGCUAAGUUUUAUAAUUGACGGAAUGACUAUUUAAAAAGAAAAUCGUGACUUUAAGGACUAUUUAGAUUAAAAUGAAACCAUAAAGACUGAAUAUAUGUCAACUUCAAACCAUAUGAACUAUACAAUAUUUAACGGUUUAACCCAUAGAAAAAACUCUUAAUCUAGACCGUAUAUCUGAUAAUUUGAUAUUAGCAUAUAACUAUUUAGGAUAUGCUAAUCAAAUGGCAAAAUGUGUCCCCAAUACCUUUUUAUUCAUGAUAACGUACUAUUGGUAUUGAUCAAACUUUGUUGCCCAAAAUAUAAUCUAGCUAUAUCUACCUUUUAAGCCAAAGUAAAAUAGAACCACUUGUUAUAGAUCGAUGUUAUUUUCAUAUAGAUUAAAAGCAGGAGAUCGACAACUGCAGUGGUCAUGACUCAUGACUUGGAUCGAUAUGUUAUGAUGCUUUGCGUAUAGAAUUACUUAAGCUUAUUAUUUCAUAAUCUGUCGAUUUCAUGCACACACAUACUAAACAGCGAGACUUGAAAAUGACACAAAAGCCAAAUUAUACAUGGUUUAAUUAAAUAAUUCGAUCAUGGGUGCUUUCAGUUAGGUAACAAUUUAAAGGCUAAUUAGGCAUUGGUUAAUAGAAGUCCUGCUGCUAAAAGGGUAAUAAUAUCAAUUGUUGCAGAUAUGAUUGAGGAAUAGUUAGUAAUACAUCUUUCACAUCUUUUGGAUAUUAGCUAGAUAAAUUUGAUUUUGCAAUUGCUGCAAGCAAUGCAACAUACAUAGUUAGUAAAUAAAUGUUCAUAUAUAUUUUGGCUUUACGUUGGGUUUACUUAUUAUUCAUGUUUUUGUCAAAUAUAUAGUGAUUUUUCUUUUGAAUCAGAUUAAAACUAUAUGUCUUUUCAACGUUGGCAACAAAUCGAUGUGAUAUUUAUAUAGUGAGCCUAUUGUGUAAUCUUAGUCGACAUGAGUGAGGUGGGUCAUGACGGCCUUAAUUAUGACUAUAAAUGUCGAACAUUAUUCUUGUUUCUUCUAUUUACUUGUAUGCGCGCUUCUCUGUUGUCACUAACCUUUAUCCACAUACACUAAAGCAUUGCGUAUCAACUGUCAAAUAUAUGCAUCGAAACGGAUCAGAAAGAGGAGGCCAUGCACAAAUUAAAGCCAUGCAUUAUGUUUUGGAAAAAAAUAGUGAUGAUUUUUGGUGCUUCCAGUUAAGUAUCCAUUUAAUCCGCCAGCUGAACUCGACUACCAUUAAACUAAUUGGAAGUGCAGCUUGCUAUAUGAAUUUAUAAGCAGAUCGAGUGGAAAUAGUGAAAUAUCCACGUACCAUUUAUUAUUUUGCUUAACUACGACCCUGUUCAUUAUUAUCAAAAUGGUGAUGGAGAUAUUAGAUAUAAUGGUAAUUUUUAGUACACUAUAUAUAUAGGAUUGAGAAUUUGAAAUUCAUCUCAAUCAAAAUAGUUCAUGAUCACUCAUGUUGAUUUUGUACGUUCAGCCGUAAACGCAAAUGCAUACAGUUAAUUAGCUUGUCCAUAUAUAUAUAUGCGUGUAACGGUGUUGAAAACUUGCAAUUGAUCUGUGCAUAUGUGCCGUGAUCUGUGUUUCUUACAUUGUUACUACUAAUGCAUGGUCACCUUCCACUAGAAAAUUUCCAAUAAUCAUCGAAAAUUUUCAAAUAGUUCUUGUUGAUCUAAUUGCAACAAUUUGUUGUUUUGAGAAAUUGUUCUUUUUGGAUAUAGAAAAUUGAUAAAGAAAUCCUACAACAUGCAUUUGAAAGAAAAUUAGAACACCAGUGACCGGUGUGGUUCCGGCCAAUGACCUUUCUUUUGGUGACAAAAUAAAUUACUCAUUAUAUCAUAAAACCGGUAAUUAAUUUGCUACAAUAAAAUUUCAAUUACGUAAAUACAUGGCUUGCACAAUUAGAACGACAAAAAAUGUGGUUGAAUCGCAACAUAUGAAAUUCUUUGACAUAGCUAGAAGGAAAUAUAAAGAAUACAAGGAGAGUGUGCUAUAUAUCGCUGGGUUUGAUGAUAUUGGCUGAUCGACGCCCCUUAAUUUGAUCGCAUGAGUAUAAUUGAAGAAGGUUUAUCCUGAAGAAGAUUCUCCUAGGGUUUGUCCUUCUGAACCAAGGAAAGGUUCCAGUUUAAUAUCUCCAACACCCUUUGGAUCAGAGCCGAUGCUGCAACGAGUAGUGUUGUGUAAUUGAAUAGCAUCCUUUAUUUUCUGGAAGCUAGCUAAUGAACAUGCAAAGGAUUCGAGCUGUCCCUCAGAUGCACUGUAAAAGUGGAAAUAGGGAAGGACCUUCACUUUCAUAAUUUCGCACAAUUUCUUGUUCUCAUCAAAAUUCACUUUCAGAAAUAGAAUCUCAGGGUGAUCCUCAGCUGUUUUGCAGAGCUUAGGAAAUAAUGCACGGCAAGAACGACACGAAGGAGCGUAGAAUUCUACGAGAACUAAUCUAUCUCCAGCUUCAGCUAAAGCACUUACGAAUUCUUGAGUUGAACGUAUGUCAAUCAUAUUCGGAACACUUCUUUCCCACCAUUCUGGUUGGUCUGUUUCAGCAACAGCGGCCUGUGCCUUGAAAUGUACAAACUGCUUUCUGGGUCUGUAAGAAACAGAGCGAGCAAGGGAAGAAUCCGGGAGAGAAUAGGCCCUCCUAAAUGGGUUUUGAUUAACAAAGAGACCCGGUUGCUGUGAAUUCAAAGAGGUGGACUUGGACAAAUUAGAAAACCGAAGCGUAUGGAGUUGUAAGCGAGCAACACUUGCCAUUUGAAUUCACUGAUUUAGUCUUCUAGUGAAAAAAGAAGACGAUCGAAGAAGAUAUGUGGAUAUAUGGAUAUUCUGGCCGGAGCUUUGGAACAGGAGAAAAGGUUAUCGACAGUCAAUAAUGUUUUCAGAGAUAGCUCCUUGUGAUGUAGUGAGGGGGUUUUAUAUACUAACUUAGGUCCUUGAACUAGUAGGAGUCCUUGAACUGGUAGGAGUCCAUAUGUCGUAUUGAGUAGGAAAAUAUCAAAUCCUUUUUCUUUUCUAAGAAGGGGACAAGCCCAAAAAGGUCCAGAACAAGUCCCGUAUUUUAACAAAAAUUAUACAGCUCCUGCCUCCGGCCACUUAUUCCGAACAAAAGCAUAAUACGUACAAUACAUAAACCCAAAAAAGAAUCUUAUUAACCACCAAAUUCUCUACUUGCUCAACACUUGGACAAUUAAUAUUUUUAUUUUCGUUAGAGUAAUUUUAUUUUAAAUAUAGAGGUACCAAGUCACAUCAAUUACAUUAACGUACACUCGGUCACUAUUCAAGUGAAGGUCUGCGAGGGUGUCCCAAUAAAGUCACACUCAUUUCAAGCCUCAAAUGAGCAGACUUAAUAACCCCUCAAACAUGUUAGGUCAAAAAUUAGUGGGAGCUGAAAUAUGAAUGCUAGAUAUGAAUAUUACAUGUUAACUUGCUCGAUUAGCCUUAUCAUAUCGUGGUAGUAAAAAAAAAAAAAAGGAAAAAGAGAAAAAAAGUGAAAAAGACCGGUUCGGCUAGAAUCCAUUAAUUUAUUCAAUAUAAGUUGUAGUCUUGUAGAUGUAGAUGUAGAAAUCGGUGUGUCCCAAGCUACGACUCUCUUCAACCUUCAGUAUUAGAAACUUAGUCUAAGCUCUCCAAAGUGUAAGACCAGCAGUCCAGCACAGAUCUGAAUCGGCCUUCCCCUAGAUCUCAUAUUCCACUUAAGGUUACUCCCUGCUUCUUCUUACACUACUACUCUUUGCUUUCCUUUGCCAGCAGUCUCUAUAUCCACGUUUUCAAUGCGAAACAAUUCAGCUUUGUUCACCCACUUAGCUUACUCGAUCUGAAAUCGUUGUCAUUUUCUUAUGGCAAUUGCCUUUUCAUGCAUGUUUCAAUUUCUUAAUCAAGUUAUAGUAUUUGAAAUGCUUUACUGAAAUGGGUUAUGGGUGUUGCUGAUCUAUGUGAUUGAAAAUAGUGUUGAAUACUAAUUUGCAUUAGAAAGCUGGCAGUGUGUGUGUGAUUGGGUUGCUUCUAGGAAAGAUUGAAUCUUUUGUGAGGUGCAUGAUAUUAGAGAGGUAUUGCUUAAUAAAACGGAGCCAAACUUGAUGAAUUGGGGAGUCUUCAAUGUAAAGUCUGAAAUUUGAACUGUCCCGAUUUCGAUUUUAGAUACCCAGCUAACAUCAGUUUAAAGAUUUUAUACAUUUCGACUGUGGGAUCCUCUUUGGCUGAAUCUUUGGUGGUUGAUCUCAAGUUAGCUAAAUUUAUAUGGAAAAUUUUGAGUUCAGUGAGUAGUAAACUGUGAGGAAAGUGUAUCACACUAGGCACUUGGAAAUACUGUAAAGUUCUGUUUCAACUUUCAACUAUUUUUGGUUUUUGCAGGUCCAUUGCUAUUAUAUCAGCAUGUCCAGGAGGCCAGUCAAUCCUGCUAGGCGCAUUGGUGAUGGUGGAAGCAUCCCAUUUGUGGGUGCGGUGCAGGCCAAAGCGAGCUCAUCACCUGUACUGUCUGUAGCGCUUGUGCUUCUGGUACUUUUUCUUACCAUCAAUGGCUAUUCAUCCCAACCUUCAAAUUAAAUAGUCAUAUCACUGUAUCUUUAAUUCAUUCUACCUUAUCCUUAUUGCAUACAAAAUUGAUAAUCCUAGAGUAACUGAAAAUAGAACACAGUCCCAACAUAAUUGAGCGCAAAUAGAAUAGUUCUAACAUAAUUGAGCACAAAUACAUGACUAAAAUGUCUUGCUAUAUUUGUAAAUCCUGAUUAUUAUUUCUAUACUUUCAGGGUACAAUUCUUCUUGUCUGCUAUGCUUUUAGCGGGUCAGGUUUGUGAUUCAUUUGACAACUCUAUUACUAGUGCAUAGAAGUGUUAAAGUUAUUCAUUUUACAGCUCAUUUGUUCACAAUCAUUACUUCUAUGCAUGAUAGGUGGAGUGAGCAGUAAAGAGGCUGUGAUUAAACUUGAAGGUAACAUUCGUGAUACAUUCGUUUAUAGUCUCGAUGCCUCUAAAUCAUUUUGGUUAUUGAGUGCAAUUUGCAAGUACAUGCAUAUUAUAAUAAAGGGAUUAAGGGAGGACCUCAAUUUUAUUAGAUCAAACGUAAAGUAAACUUUCCACUGACAAUUGCAGCAAUUGUAACCCGUCUAUACACAUCACCAUGCAUGGAGUUUAGAUUUAACUUGUAAUGUCAGAAUUCCUUUAUUGUGUAUAAAAGUUUUUCUGAAUUCAGAAGACAUCUUCCAUUUCAUAUAUCUUUGUAUGUUUAGGUUUUAUUCAUGAAGUAUGUCAGAUCUUGUGGUGUGAGAUAGCAUAGUUUAGAUUUUGUGAUGAAUUGGUAUACUGUAUGGUCCGAGAGGCACACAGAUUUUAGAACUAAUCCUGUAUCACAUAAGACUCACUGAGUUCACGUGUUCAGUUGUUUUAGAAUUUAUACCAUGCAAAUCCUAGACUCUUUUUGCUGUGAGAGACUAUUAGUUCUCUGAGUUGUUUGUGAUCAACUGUUAGCAUGAAAGUUUUGUCAGUCAGAGAAUCUAUUUACAGUUUGAAAUGUAAAUGCAGGUGGUGUUUCAUGUACACUCGAAGUUCAGAGAGCAAUACCUAUACUAAAGAAGGCAUAUGGUGAUAGCAUGCAUAAGGUAUUGCAUGUAGGCCCUGAAACAUGUUCAGUUGUAUCUAAAUUAUUAAAAGAGGAGGAGACUGAAGCCUGGGGUGUGGAACCAUAUGACUUGGAAGAUGUUGAUGGAAAUUGCAAGAGUCUUGUGAACAAAGGCAUUGUGCGUGCUGCUGAUAUAAAGUUUCCUCUUCCAUACCGGGCAAAAUCAUUUUCUCUGGUAAUAGUAUCAGAUGCAUUAGAUUACUUGUCUCCGAAGUACCUCAACAGAACUCUUCCAGAGUUAGCAAGGGUAUCUGCUGAUGGCGUAAUUAUUUUCUCUGGUAAAAUUUCCAUAUUACACUUGCAUUUUUCAUUUUCAUUUUGACGUACCCAAAAGUGAUCUCUUUACUUGAACAACAACCAUCUCUCCACUAUAGCUGAUUCCAUUUCACAAACAAACCAAAGACAAUUAAUCUGUGCUUGUGAAAAUUGUUCAAAUUUCUGUCUUCCUAAAUCUGCUUUACCAUAAGCUCUAUAAUUGGAUGGUCUCUGAUGAAUGGCUGAAAUAUGAUUUGAGAAAACCUAUUGAUAGCUAGUUGAUUUGAAGUUGACUGUGAGGGGCAAAUAAACCCUGAUGCCUGUGCUAAUGAUCUCUUUCUAUUUUCAUUUGUAGGUUAUCCAGGUCAACAAAGAGCUAAAGUUGCAGAGCUAUCCAAAUUUGGCCGUCCAGUAAGUAACAAUAUUUUUUUUUUAUCAUAUAACGAAUUUAUUGUUGAAACCCUAAAUGUCAAUCAUUAGUUUUCAUUGGCCUGCUUUUGUACAUGUGAAUAUCUAACUUGACGUUUACAAUGAUUUUCAUAGGCCAAAUUGCGAAGCUCAUCCUGGUGGAUAAGAUUUUUUGUUCAAACAAGCUUAGAAGAGAAUGAAUCAGCCUCGAAGAAGUUUGAACAGGCUGCAUUAAAGAGAUCUUAUAAGCCCGAAUGUCAGGUAUUCCACCUUAAGUCAUACCAUUGAGAAUCACAUCAUUGUAUCUUUCAUUGUAUCAGUUAUACCAUUGCACAAAAGGUAACUAUAUAUUUUGUGAAAUACGGAACCUCAUUAUGUGCUCCUUUAUGAGACGAGAUUUCUGAUAGAUGUGUACUAAGGAAUGAUUUCCCAAGAAUUGGGUACUGUCAUCACUUUGUAUUCUUUUAUACGAUGUAUUUGCCGCCCACAUUGCUGGUUCUUGUUGUUGCAAUGAUAGAUUUGUUAGAAUGUUCAGAUAUACAUUUGUUGAUUAUAUUGAUAAGACAGUCGUAUAUCGUUUUAGUGAUGCAAUCAAUUCUAUCUUUUGAUGCAUGCCCUCAGUGGAGAAGUCAAUUUCCACUAAAAUUAAAACUUAUUUUACCACGUUGAGGACCUUAUUUACGCCAUGACUGGAGGCUGUACCUGACGCCAUGGCCGGAGGCUUUACCUUAAUGUGUCAUAGAUCCACAUAGUAUUGAAAAGGGAAUAGAGAAACCACGUAAAUCCAGCAACUAUUGAAUUUACAACCAAAUGAUACCGGAGUGGUCCAUGGUUCCAUGACAUUCUGUAGCUCUUCAUUAACAAUGUCUAUAUAUGUAACAGAGGUCGAUUACUUUGGAGUGUAAUAUAACUUUUCGGGAGAAGUGUUGAUAACAAGAACAAUGAACUUACGUUCACAAAUCAGUAUAUUCCUCCAAUCCCCGGGAGAAAGAAUUAUGAAAUAUGUUCCAGAUCCAGACUGAAAAUAAUCAAAAUAUACUAAGCUAAAGCAGUAUAGCACACACCAAGACUAAGAAAAGCUACGGUUCGUACACGCUUCGGACACGAAAUGAGAAGCUAUUCUAUUUGUUCUCCACUCCUGCCGAGCCUGGCCUGCACAGUCUUAUUGUUUAUAUAGUUAGUUUAAUCUUCUAGCCUCGUACUAAUUACUACUUUCUACUACCAUUUUGAUUAUAUCAAAGACGCUGUCCUCCAUCUUAUACCCUGUUAGAGAUUCCUGACUUGAACGUUCCACCACUAUGACGAACCAAUUCUUCAUGUCUUUCUUUAGAAAACCACGCGAUUUCUUCAUCUUAUUCUUUUGUUUGGAAAAAGAAAGUGUUCAGACUUUUUCUUUCAUGAUCAUCUAGUGUUGGCCUGGUCGCCAAGUGAACAAGAUGGUUUGCUAAUCUAGUAUUCAUGUUGUGAACCAUUUAUCUUCUUCAAUAAGAUCAAAGUUUGGAAUUUUCAGGUAGCUGUUGCUUACCUCUAUCGUAAAACAUAGACAAAGACUUCCACACAAACAGCCAGACUAGAACACUAUAGUAUUUGUAAGUAUAAAAACUAAGGUCAGAUGGGUGGUUGGCCCUUCUCUACGUACCACCACACCGGCUGCACCUCCCCCGUGUGGCUACUGGCAGUGGCAUCAAGAAAAAGAAAAGCUAGCUAAUCGUGUACGAAUAUUCUUUAAGCAAAUGCAUGCAUUUCCCAUACCCAAAAAAUAAGAGACAAACCAAAGCAUCAUUUCCUUACCCCCCACUCCACUACUUUGCCUACUGCUUGUUCUAUAAAUAGCCUUAUUCCUAGGCCUUUCUCCACUCCUUCACCUUAUAGAUCUUCCAAGUCUCUCUUCCAAAUUAGUACAUCAUUCCAAAGAUGGCUUCCGGCUACGAAGUAGAGCUCACGAUUUCUUCCGCCAAAGACCUCAAAAACGUGAAUUGGCGCCACGGAGAGCUGAAACCCUACGCCGUGGUUUGGGUGGAUCCAAACAACAAAUGCUCUACCCACGUGGACGAAUACGGUGACGACUCGCCCACGUGGGAUGAGACGCUCUCAAUCCCGCUACGGGGCCCGGUCGAGGACUCGACCCUCUUCGUGGACGUUAUCCAUGUUAAGGCGGACGAGGACGUUAAGCCUUUGAUCGGGUCCGCGAAACUCCCACUUAGGGAGGUCCUCGAUGACGUGGGGCUCGGUGCGCCGUCCGUUCAUAAGUUGAAACUCAAGCGCCCCUCGGGUAGGCCUCAAGGAAAAUUAGAAGUCAAAGUCACGAUCCGCCCGCCCCGAUACCAAGCACCCGACCCAUAUCACGCCCCCGCGCCAUACGGGUACGGGGUCCCUCCACCGCAGUCGAGAGACUACGGCGCACCUCAGCAGUACAAUUACCCAUAUGCCCCUUCCGCCCAACCCCAAUACUACCAAAGCGUCCCACAAGCAGGGUACGGUUACAAUCAGCAGUCUUACGAUCAGAGUCAGUAUGGGAGUGGCGGGUCGUACGGGUACGGGUCUUCGGAGAAGCCGAAGGAGAAGAGCAAGUUUGGGGUCGGGACCGGAGUGGCUGUUGGCGCUGUAGCCGGAGUUUUGGGUGGACUUGCGAUUGCUGAAGGAGUGGAUUACUUGGAGGACAAGGUAGCUGAUGACGCGGCGGAGAAAGUGGAGGAGGAUCUCGGCUAUGACGAUUUCGGUGAUGAUGAUUGAAACUGAUGAUCGAACAAAAGGAGUCAUAUAUAGGCUUCUGCAUGUGUGUCUUCUUUGCUUUCUCCCUCUUUUAUGUAUUGGUUAUGUGAUACCAUUACUUCUACUGGUUGCUAUAAGCGAUCGGGUAUCAGAUGAGUUCAUGGCCAAUUCACGCAUUCAUUUUUUACUUCUCUUUUCAGUGAUAUUGGGAUGACGGAAAUGCAUCAAAAGCUUGCAAUUACAGUGGUUUUCAGGGAAUCUUCUUAUUUGUGCUCAAAUGACAUGUUUGAUUUGAAAAGUAACUCCCAAAAAAGGGUAUAUUUUGAUACUUCCAUCCAACUUCGAUUGGAAUAUUGCCAUAUAUAUGCCAAUAUGUGAGCUUUUCUUGUACUCUUGUAGUGGCCAAUAUGUCCAAAUUAGUAGAUUGCUCAUUCAAAUAUUGAAAUCCCAACGAAAAACCUAAGUAUGCAUGGUACUCAAUUUUGUAUAUUGAAGCAUUUAAACCCUAGCCUCGCGGUAGGAUCAGAAUGAGAUGGCUAGGACGACAAUAUGGCCGGUCUAUGACAUUUACAAAUGGGCAAGAAAAUGGAGAGCAAGAACUUUUGAUAUAGGUGGAUUUGAAAUACAAUUAUCAGAAGUAGUUAUUAAUGGAAAUACUGUAUUUAAAUUGGUGAAAAAGAAGACUAAACAUUUGGGUUUUGGUACAAUAUAUUGAUAUAAGGUUCUGGAUGAGAAUUCGAAGCUUAUUUGACCUCCAGGGUCCAUCCCUUCUUGUCCUCGAGACGAGCAGUUUGGAUUCCUGUUAGCGUUUCAUACAGCUUCUGAGAUACUGUUCCCUCCCAUGUUUUGUACUCCACUCUGCAACAGUGACAUGUAGAAAAAAAGUUUAUGUCGUUGAAGUAAUUAAAUAAUAGCUAGCUGAUCACAUAUAAAACAAACUUGUUUGCGAUUUGUCACACUGAUUGUUACAUUAGAAUCUAAUACGACACUGUUAUUGCAAGCACCUUUUAGUGUCAUAAGUUACUGAACCAACAGGGUUGACAGUCACGGCAGUUCCGGUGCAGAAGGCUUCAUCAGCUUCAAGCAAAUCCUCCAGCGGAAUUAGACGCUCCUCCACCUGAUUCACAAAUCAUCAAGAGAAUAUAUAUGUUCUCUGAAAGUUAAUUUCAUGUACAAAAAGUAAUGUCUGAAUUGUACAGUUCAGCUAGCUGAUUGUAGCUUAUAUGUUGAUCUAGCUAAUCAUGGAGGAGAAAAAUGGUGUUCACCUGAUAACCUAAAUCAAGGGCAAUCUCCAUUAUGCUUGAACGAGUAACUCCGGGCAGAAUAGUUCCAUGUACUAAUGCUGGAGUGGAAAUAACAUUAUCCUACAACAAUAGAAGUGCAUUUAUUUUGUGUGAAAAUUCAUAAUAGUUAGAAUAUAUUUGUUUAAGAGUAACAGAUCAUUGGUAGUACCUUGACAAUGAAAAUGUUAGCAGCAGAUAUCUCCUCAAUACAUUUACCGGUUACAGAAUCCAGGUAUAAGAUAUCAGAGAACCCUUUGGCUCUUGCUUGCUUCUGUGCCUGGUAAACCUAUAAGAAAGAAACGAAGUUGAGAAAGUAUUACGCACUAUAUCAAAGUUCAGGAUUACUCUCAUGUGUGUUAGACAAACAUAUAUAGAUCGAUAUCAUAUUUAUAUCAUGCUUAAUUACUGGUGCAUAAUUGGUGAUAGACUUGAUCCCUCCAGUUCCACCGGGGGUAGCUCUACGGAGUUUAUCCUCAACAUACAGGUUCAGGGAUGUCCUUCCCUAUUAUGUAGAAUUCCUAAGUUAUUAGUCAAGUUGAAAAUGUAUAUCAUAUUAAGACAUUAGACAUGCAUAUAUGCAGACAAGAAGAAAUAUUACCUUGUGGUAAUUACCAACCGGAGAAGAGUUACCAACCGGAGAAGCAUAUAUCAGGAAUGUGCACUCUGGUGCCGGUCCAACACUAAGAACAGAUCCACUUCCCAUGAGCAAAGGCCUAAGAUAUAGUGAUCCUUUUCCUGGAGGUGGUACCUAUAUAAAAUCCCAGCCCUUCAUUUUCAUUAAACUAGAUCUGAUGGUAAAGAGCCUAUCCCUAUAAAAGAUCCAAAAAAAGGGAUCCCUCAUUAGAAGGGUUCUGUAUAGUUAUAUACCAUACACAUGUUUAGAGAUAAAUAUUUUCCAAUUGACCAUGAAACAGGUUCAUUAGAUCAUCAUCCCAAAAUGUUUCCUAGCCUGACAAGGAUUUAUAUACGUACUUUAUAAGUUGUAACUUAAGAAUAUAUAAUAGUACCCAACGCUUAUUGGCGAGGACAGUUUGCUUCACAGCAUCAACAAAUUGCUCUACGGAUGGAGAGGGCAUGCACAUCCUCUCUGCACCCAUCUUCAUUCUUAGAGCAUUCUCUUCCGGCCGGAAUAGCAUAAUACGACCAUCUUCUGUUCUCACGGCCUUAAGAGCUUCCAAUAUUCCCUGCAGAGAUCGAUGUAUAUAUAGGCAUUCGUUGUAUCAACUAAUAUAUGGGUCAACAAUCUGUGUAUAUAUAUAUAUAUAUAUAUAUAUAUAUAUGUUUAAUAUUUUCUGACCUACAUACCUGUCCAUAAUUCAAGAUUCCAGCAGAUGGACAAAGCUCAAUAUUCCUAUAGGGGAUGAGAUGUCCUUGUGAAAAGAUAUUUCCAUCGGAGCAGUUCAUGGUGUACAUGAAAUCAGUUGGAGUUAUUACAAAUCCCAGUUCAUCCCAUUUGACACCAUCAGCGUACUUUUCACCAUCAUCACUGCAAGUUGAGAGAGAAAAUAAGAUCUAAUGAUCGAUACCGAAGAACCAGUAUGAAGAAACGUACAUGAAUGAGUAAAUUGACGUGGUAAUAUUAAGAACAAAAUUAAGGUCCUAAUUUAGGGUUAAACUUAUUUAUCUGAAAUUAAGUACCUGUGGUUGAUAGAUUCAGAAGUUGUCUGCAAAUCUGAAGAAGCUGCCAUAGCUGCAGACUGUAAGAAAGACUUGGCGAGCGCGCUGUAAUUAGUUUCGCAAGUGGUUUCUAAUUACAUUUGUGUUAACAAAAGUGGGUUGGUGGCUUUUGGAGGCCAAGGCCAUGGCUAAUAAUGUCAACAGAACGAAGUAACGGUGAAGCUACCAUUUUUGUGUUUGGUACGAAUAUUUGCCUUUGAAGCCGGCGGGUUAGAUUAGUACGUAGUCAUGUUCAAAUAAUAAUUUGAAUUUUUUCAAUUCAUUAAUUUGCUACGGAUCGGAUGUCAUCUUUUAGCUAGUAGCAGGUAAGUGACGAUUUGAAUGGGCUAUAAUUACUUAUUUUCACUUCUGAAAGAUUAUUGUGCGCAACAAGAUAGGAGCAUAACCAGUAUCCGUAAAUUCUCUUUAACCAGGGGAGCAUAAGCGAAAUACAGGAAAAUAUAUAUGAUGUAUUUAACCUGGAUAAAGCUAAAAACACAGAGAGUAAAAAGGCGAGAAAGAAAAGACAAUAAGCUACAUGUACAAAACUCGUCAGCAGUCACAUUCACUGUUUAAAAUCCAAAUAUUAUACCUGAAACUGAAUUGCAUAAUAACUUAAGUCAAGAUCGUUUCACAAUAAACACAAACACAGAACUGUAGAAAUAAAAAACCAAUAGCUUAAAGAGUUUCCUAGUUGCUCUAGGUGAUUACCAUAAGGACCAGCAUCAAUUGGGGUUCCAUUCACGGUAGUCAUCUUCUCAGCAACACAACUGCAAUCUCACAAUACACAAAACCAAGGAAAAUCUUCUAUGCUAGACUACUGUUUCUUCACAGAAUGGGACUGUUAUUUCUUUAGGAAAAACGUCGUUAGCAUAGGGACUUUCUAUUGGUAUAUAUAGUGGCCUAGAAACAUAACUCGUGCUCAUCCCAUAAGGAGUCCGGAUUCACUUAAUGUUUAUUUAUCUCAAGAACUCAAUGUUGAUCAGGUUAAUCAACUUGAUAAGUCUCCAAUUUCUAAUGAGAGACAUACACCUCAAUAGGUAACAGGAUAGAGUUUUAUAUUUAUAUUUCUACUGAUUAUAUUCAAGUUAAUCUCAAAACUAUUUUAUGUAGACAAAGAUAAAUGCAGUGUUCAAUAUUAUUUUCCAACAAUCUCCCACUUGGACCAAGUUAUCUUUGUUCAUAGUAAUUGAGAUGUAAUCAGAAUUGUAACAGUUCUAAAGUGCGCAUUGAAAUAUAAGAAUAACUCAUAGCUUAUCCAGCUUGGUCAAUAUGCAGAAAUGAUGCAGAACCUAAGAUUGAAUUUAAUCAGAAGACUAAAUCAAUUGAAGAUCACUAACACCAGAUACUGCAUACCACACAAGCAUAGUAAGAUACACAGAAGAGCAAAAUAGAAUAUGUCUAUCUUGAAUUUCUUUUGCUCAAGUCCUCUGAAUGAUUUUGAAUAAACCAAAAUCUUGUCAGCAAGCUGUAGUACAGUGAACCUGUCACUUGCUUUUCUUAACCUGCAUAAUGGUUCACUUCAUGAUAUAUUUACACAUUCAUAUACAUAUAUAUACAUACUUAUAUAUAUAUAUAUAUAUUAAUCAUUUAGAAGAUAUGAAUUUUGAAAAUUGAACUUUAUUGAUGAAUAAGAUACAAUGGAAUGAAAUGAUCCUAAAAAUUGAAUAGAAAUCUACUCAUGAUGAGAACUAAAAUACCUAAAAAUGAAAAGGUGACUCCCAACAGAACUCAGGCAUCUAAAUCUGAGAGNNNNNNNNNNNNNNNNNNNNAUUUUCUGUGUCAAUAUUGAGUACUUCUAUGUCACCCAAUUCAACCCUUUGUCUCACACUGUAGUACUUAAGGUCCAAGUGUUUUGAAUUGUUUGAUCUUUUUGCUGUUCUUGGCAAAGCAAACAGCUGCUUCAUUGUCACAGAACAUCUUAAGUGCUCCCUGAACUAUGAAUUUUAGAGCUUCAAUCUGUAUCAAAAAAUUCCUGAUCCAUAAGCCUUCACAGACUCCUUCAUACAAAGCUAUGGACUCAGCUUGCAUUGUGGAGGUGGUAAUUAAUUUCUGUUUCAUGGUUCUCCAUGUCACAGCACCUCCUACAAGCAUAAAAACAUAGCCACUUGUGGACUUCAUGUCAUUAGGAUAUUCACCUGCAAAAUCUGAAUCGGUAUAACCUAGUAACUCAAGCUUUUCAACUUUUCUGUAGACUAGCAAGUGAGACUUAGUUCUCUGUAGAUAUCUUAAGACUUUCUUUCCUGCACAUCAAUGUUCAUGACUAGGAUUUGACUGAUACCUAGAUAAAAUGCCUACAACAAAAGCUAUGUCAGGUCUGGUGCAGACCUACGCAUACAUCAAACUACCAAUUAACCCUGCAUAAGGCUUACUGUCCAUAAGCUUGUCACCUUCAUACUUCCCCCCAUUUUUAGUGAUUUUAGUGAGCUUAUCACCCUUAGACAUAGGGACUGGACUAGGAUUACAAGUUUCCAUAUGAAAACGUUUCAUAACCUUACAGAUGUAAGCAUUCUGUGAUAAACCUAAAGUUCCUUGUUUCCUGUUUCUCUUAAUUUCAAUCCCCAAAACAAAAUGAGCUUCACCUAGGUCUUUCAUAUCAAACUUGCUAGAUAAAAAGUUUUUUGUGGCUUUUAGCAGUUUCAUAUUAGUGCUGGCUAACAUGAUAUCAUCUACAUACAAGAUGAGAAAAAUAAAAUUCUUCCCAACUGUCUUUAGGUAUACACACUCAUCAACUGUAUUUUCUGUAAAACCAAAAGAUGAAAUUACUGAAUGAAACUUCUUGUACCAUUGUCUAGAAGCCUGCUUAAGUACAUAAAUUGAUUUUUGAAGUUUGCAUACAUAGUUUUCCUUUCCAGGUUCCACAAAACCCUCAGGUUGCUUCAUAUAGAUUUCUUCUUCUAAUUCUCCAUUGAGAAAUGCAGUUUUAACAUCCAUUUGAUGAAGUUCCAUAUCAAAAUGUGCUACUAGAGCCAUGAUAAUCCAAAAGGAAUCUUUAGUGGAUACAAGAGAAAAAUUUUCAUUAUAAUCUAUUCCUUUUUUUUGUGUGAACCCUCUAGCCACAAGCCUAGUUUUAUGUCUCUCGGCGUUUCCUUUCUCAUCUCUUUUUGUUUUAAAAACCCAUUUACAACCUAUGGCGUUAUGUUGUGGAUUUGGUUUUACUAGUUUCCACACUGAAUUUUGUCUCAUGGACUGAAGUUCAGCUUCCAUGGCCAACUGCCACUGUUCUUGAUGAUGUUCAUCUUCAACAGCUUGCCUAUAGGUUUCUGGAUCAUUGUCUUCUGCAAGAAGCUCAUCCAUUUCUUGCAAAUAGACAAUGUAGUCACUGUUUUCAUCAUAAGUGGGUUUUCUUUGUCUUUGGGAUCUUCUAAUUGAUGGUUUAGCAAUUUCUGGUUGUUCUGCAGUUUCUAGCUCUAUGUUUUUAUUGUUUUCAGCUGCAACAUGAUCAUUUUCUGCUGGUUUUUCUUCUACUACAAUUGGAUUUUGAUAUAUGUUUUGAGUUUGCAUAUUUUCUGAAUUUGUGGUUUGAUCAUGCAGUAAGCGUAGAUAAGCUUUUAACAUUUCAUCAUUUGAGACUUCCUCAAAAUCUGAAGAAAGAUCUUCAAAAACUGAGUUAUGUAUAGUCUCAUCUAGGAAUUUUGCUUGACCUGUUUCAAAAAUCCUUGGUGAAUGUUUAGCUACAUAAAACUUAUAACCCUUUGAUUUUUCACAAUACCCUAUAAAAUUGUAACUCACUGUUUUGGACCCCAAUUUUUCAGUUAACUCAUUUGGUAUUUUAGCUUCGGCCUUGCAUCCCCAUACAUGUAAGUGGUGCAGGCUUGACUUUUUGCCACACCAAGUCUGAAAAGGUGUUGUUUCUACAGCCUUGCUGGGUGCUCUAUUGCAAAUAUAAUUUGUAGUUCUUAAGGCUUCACCCCACAAGAAUUUAGGCAGACCUAAGGUGCACAUCAUGCUCCUCACCAUAUUUAGGAGUGUUCUAUUUUUUCUUUCUGCUACUCCGUUUUGUUGAGGGUUGUAGGGAUUAGUGUAUUGGGCCUUAAUGCCAUGUUCCUGAAGGUAAAUAGCAAAAGGUCCUUUUGCUGGCUUGCCUUAGUAUAUCGAUCUACCAUAAAAUUCCCCUCCUUUAUCAGAUCUCACAUUUUUAAUUUUUCUUUCAAGCUGUAGCUCCACUUCAGUUUUGUAAAUUUUAAAGGCUUGGAGUGCUUGUGAUUUUUCUGAUAAUAAAUAAGUAUCUUGAAUAGUCAUCUGUGAAAGUUAUGAAGUAUGUGUUUUUACAUAUAGUUUCAUGCCUAAGGGGUCCACAUAUAUCUGUGUGUAUAAGUUCUAAGAGAUUUUGGCUUCUUACUGCAGUUUUGUUGUGUUUGUUAGCCAAUUUUCCCUUAUAGCAUUCCACACAUUCAUUUAGAUCAUUAAAGUUAAGUUCAUAUAGAGUCUUAUUUUUGAUAAGUGUUUUAAGCCGGUCCUUAGAAAUAUGCCCUAAUCUUCUAUGCCAUAAAAAUGCAGACUUAUCAUUAUGAAGUGAUCUUUUAACACCAACAGUAGUGUUAUUUUUAAGUGUGUUUUCAUUAUAUUCAAUUAACAUAAUAUCUGGUUUUGCAACAGAACAGUUUAAUUGUAAAUAAUCAUUAACAAAAACACCACAUCCAAGAUAAUCUGAACCUUGAAAAAUUUGUAAUCCAUUAUGAUCAAUGAUUAGUUUGCAUCGCAACUUAACUAGCAAAGAAAUUGAAAGCAGAUUCCUUUUAAGGGAAGGAAUAAAGAAAACAUUAUCUACAAAAAGACUUUUAUUUGAACCUAAAUCCAACUGAAGUGAGCCAAUGGCUUUAACAGCCAUCUUCAUGCCAUUUGCCACGCAGACUGUAUUCUCAUGCCUCUGAGGUGCCCUCCUGCUUAGCAAACCUUGCAUUGAGUUGGUUAUAUGAAUUGGUGAGCCUGAAUCUAACCAAAAUGAGUUUGCUUUCACAUUUAUGAAGUUUACUUCCAAAGCAAAUGCAGUUUUAUCAAACAAAGAAACAGAAUAAUAACCAAAAAAAUUACUGAAAUCAAUUAAAGAAUUAUAGCUCUUACCUUUCUUCACCAUCCACUUUUUGAAGCCAUCACAGUUCUUCUUGAUAUGGCCAACCUUUAUGUAGAAAAAACAUUUCACUUUAUGCAAUUUUUCAGCAGCAGCAGCAGCAGGGAGGCAAGCCUUCUUCCCAUCUUUCUUGAAUUUGUUCUUCUUUGGCCUGAGGGUGAUGUCCCUCUUUCCCUUGUACUUUCGUACAAGGUUGACAGAUGUAGUUGGUGCCUUCUCCUUCUGAUCCUUCAAUAUUCUGUUUUGUUCAUUGACGCAGAUGGAGAUCAGUUCAUCAAUCUCCCAUUUUUCCUUUGUAGUUACUCUUAAAAUUUCCAUAUUCAGCAGGAAGAGAUUCAAGAGCUAUAUGCACCACCUGUGCAUCAUUGACCCCCAUUUGUAGGUCCCUCAGCAUGUUGUUAAUUUCUUCUAGCUGCAUCAGGUGAGUUCUGAUGUUUCCUCUGUCGUUGAACUUCAGUUCAUGUAGCUUUCUUGAUAAUCUUGCCCCUUCUGCCUUGCUACAUUCCUUGAACUUCUGCCUUAUGGCAUCCAUGAAGUCAAUAGCCAGCUCUGGUUCCACCACACAGCUCCUAACAGUAUCUGAGAUGGUCCUUCUGAUGACAUUCUUUGCCAUCCGGUUGGCUCUCCACCAAUCAUUGUAGUAUUUCCUGUCCACAGCAGUGCUGUCCUCAUCAAGCUCCUCAGUCUGCUCUUCAUUUAGGCACAUAUCCAUGUUCAGAUUCAUGGACAUGUAAAAUUCAACUUGAUUACGCCAUUUCUGAAAGUUCAGUCAUGUGAGCAAGUGGAUUUGUCCUAGUGUCACCACCUCAACUCCUAAAAUGAUUAAAAUCAAUGCAAAUGAGUUUCAAAAUUCAUGCAUAUAUAUAUAUAUUUGAAUAUGUGUAUAGUACUGCAGUAUACAUUUCAGCCUAUAUAGUUAAACAUGUAAGUUUAGCUACUGAAAACAUAUCUAAAAGUUCCAUAAAGUUCAUACCAGAUAACACAUUUGUGGUAUAAAUCUGAUAUCUUAAUAUUCUAAAUGUAUUACCACAAUCAUGUACUCUUAGAUAUAUGUUAAAAACAGUCAAUAUCUUUGGUAGGAUAAAGAAAAGUCUCAACAUAUCAGAAGUAAAAAUACAGAUCAUACAAGACACUAUUAUUUAAAAUAAAAUUGUACAUGUAAAUAUCUCUUUGGAGACCACAAGACAAUACAGCUUUAUAAACAAUAACACAAGUUUUGAUUCUUCUUCAGCUCUCUAAACAUGAUAGUAAAUGUUACUUUGUGCAACAUAAUUAAUACCACAUCUAGAGUUUUAUGAAUCAUUGAAGUUUAAGAUUUAGGUUUCAGUUUAAGAAACAUCAAAACUUCAUUUUAUGAAUGCAAAAAAUAUGAGGCUAUAACCAAAUUGGGAGAAUUAUAUAUCCAUUAUGUAUUUUGCAUUCAUACAGUAUGCACUUUAGUAGUCUUAUGCAUCAGUUGAUCAAUUUGCAUACGAGAUAAAAGUUUAUUCAUGUAUAUAGUUCAUCAUAUGGAUUAAGUUCUUAACUAUGAUUGAUAUAUGCCUAUGGGUACACGAAUUCAAAACCAUCACCACAGUAUUCCAAUUUCGUAUUCCCAAAUUUCAAACAUAGAAAUGAAUCUCAUAAGAACUAAAUUUAGGUCUUACCUCGGCAUCAGCAUCAUUCAUCUGCAAUAAAAAUUUAACGGAAGCAAAACGAAAAAAGCGCAACCAAUAAGUCCUAAUCUUAUUCUAAGUUUUCUGGAUUUGAAUCCCAUCUGAGGUGAUUAGCCUCAUAUGCCAAGGUUAUCCGUUCCAAAUAAAAAACAACAAAAGAAACAAGUUGGGUUUUAAAACCGGGUUGUUAAUGGACUCGGGCUUUAGGCUGAAACUGUAGGCCCAAAAACAAGAACAAUGAAUUUCCUCUAUUGGUUUUACUGAUUCAAAACUUUAAUCCAUUUGUGAAAUUGUGAAGAGCCAUUGGCUCUGAUACCAUAUAUUAUACCUGAAACUGAAUUGCAUAAUAACUUAAGUCAAGAUCGUUUCACAAUAAACACAAACACAGUACUGUAGAAAUCAAAAACCAAUAGCUUAAAGAGUUUCCUAGUUGCUCUAGGUGAUAACCAUAAGGACCAGCAUCAAUUGGGGUUCAAUUCACGGUAAUCAUCUUCUCAGCAACACAGCAACACAACUGCAAUCUCACAAUACACAAAACCAAGGAAAAUCUUCUAUGCUAUACUACUUGUUUCUUCACAGAAUGGGACUGUUAUUUCUUUAGGAAAAACGUCGUGAGCACAGGGACUUUCUACUGGUAUAUAUAAUGGCCUAGAAACAUAACUCGUGCUCAUCCCAUAAGGAGUCCGAGUUCACUUAAUGUUUAUCAGAUACAAGUCUUUAGGUUUAUCUCAAGAACUCAAUGUUGAUCAGGUUAAUCAACUUGAUAAGUCUCCAACUUCUAAUGAGAGACAUACACCUCAAUAGAUAACAGGAUAGAGUUUUACAUUUAUAUUUCUAUUGAUUAUAUUCAAGUUAAUCUCAAAACUAUUUUAUGUAGACAAAGAUAAAUGCAGUGUCCAAUAUUAUUUUCCAACACCAAAUAGUUCAGCAACUCUCCCAUAUGGACCAGAAAAGAAAAAUUUUAAGAAAAAUGAAUAAAUAAAAAACAAAGAAGCCAUGCAUACACUGGUAUAAUGGUAUUCAACUAUUUUCAAAAAUUUCCAGGCCGGCCAACUUAAACGGUUACAAGUGAAUGCUGGAAAUCCAUCAUUGUUUUUUUUCGAAUACCAUUGGUACGUACAUACAUCCAUUUCUGGAUACCUUCCUAGAUAUUGUUGUCCUGUAAACAAACUUCCGCUCAUCGGAACCACAACCUUCUCCUGCCCUUCGAGGAAGAGGACUUGGGCCUCCACAACACUUCUACUACCUGCACACAAAAAAAAAAAAAAAAAAAA
RNAcentral lists this long non-coding RNA (94924 nucleotides) under Fragaria vesca (wild strawberry). Its description in RNAcentral is "long non-coding RNA (FVES_LNC000478)". Lineage: Eukaryota; Viridiplantae; Streptophyta; Magnoliopsida; Rosales; Rosaceae. The record is from RNAcentral.